CUAUAUACCUAGACAUUGUGCAGCACUCUGAUCUUUCAACAUUAUCAUGGGCUCCGUUAAUGUUCAGGUACCCGUGGAAUGUAGUAUUCGGGAACCUAGGGAAGCAAAACAUCACGGUGGCUGGUGAUGCCAUGCACCCCAUGACACCUGAUUUAGGACAAGGAGGUUGCUUGGCAUUGGAAGAUGCCGUGGUCUUGGGUAGAUACAUAGGGACAUCAUUUGUACAAAAUGGACGACUCGUGCCAAAAGAGAUAGAUAGUGCGAUAGGGAAAUACGUGGAAGAAAGAAGGUGGCGUGUCGCGCUGUUGACUGCAGGAUCAUAUUUAUCCGGAUGGGUGCAGCAUUUAGGGCCUGGAUGGGUGAGGAAGUUCUUGAGGGAUGCCAUAUUUUACAGGUUUAUUUUCACUAAACUUGUUAAACUUUCACAUUAUGAUUGUGGAAAACUUGAUUUCUAGCUAGGGCAUUUCGUUGUCCAAAAGAAAGAAGACAAUCAAGAUUCCCUCCUCUACGGAAUUAAAUUAUUGAUGGCCUUUCAACAAGGAUCAACGAGAGACAGGAAUCUAGGGAGAACAGAGAAGAUUUAUGGAACCUAUUAGCUAUAACAUAAAUUAAUACUUUCACAUAUUGCUGCUUUGUUGUUGAUGUAGUGCAUUUUGAACAGUAGUUGAUAGCAAGGCAUAUUGAUGUAGUCUGAGAUGAAUAGCUAAAUAAGCAGUAUAUACUUUGUGGAGCCUCCAAACGCGUAAUGGAUAAUUUGUUGAUAGAAAAUGUUUGAUUAUACAUCUGAAGAAGAACCUGCUUCUUUACGAUAAAGAAGCCCAGAUUGUUUAGGAUGAUCCAAUGAACCAUUACUUCCCAAGAUUAUAACUACAGACGUGCAUCGACUACAAAGAGAAUGCAACGUAACGCUUACGAUAGAGAACGCAAAUCUCCAAAACCUUUACCAAUCACUUCCAAAGGCCUUCCUUAGUUCCAUACUAGAAAAUACGCAUGCGUGUUGCUGCAGGAACCAACUAUUUCAGGCGUAAUCAGAUGAAUAAAACACAUUUUAAGUUGAAUAAAUUCAACACAAUUUUGAAAAAACAAAGGAAUACAUGAAUAAAUGAGGUCGAUAAGAUAAACAGCUUGGCUUUUAUAUACAUUCAACUGAGCUGACAUGUAAAGACAUUGUAGAAUUAGUAGAACGAAACUUAACGUCCUUGAUCACAAACACGUGGUCGCCAAAAAUGUUCUGUUACCAUAAGAAACAGAAGAAACAAAAGGAACAUGCAGUUCACACAUAAUUUGCCUUUGUAGUUAAAGCUAGCAAAAUAUAUGUCCUGUAAGGCAAGCACCUAUUUUAGCAGUUAAUAAAAAACAUAGAAAGUGGAUACCACCCAAAGCAUCCUUUGAACAAAUUAAGAAAUUCAAAUAAAAUUAAACACCCAAGGAAAUAAUAAACACAGAAAAGAUAUGCUUGAACUGUUAAGCAAAUCAAGAAUACUAACAUAAAUAAAGAUAUGCUUGUACCGUUAAUCAAACCAACAAAAAUAAAAAACAAUUAACAAUGUGAGAAACGACAGCAAGGAUACCAGCAGCAGGCACAACCUUCUCCGAUGAAGCCAUUGGAGCACCUGAAUCGGCAACGAAGAAACAGAGAAAUCAAUCUCCAAUCACCAAACAAAGAUUCAAACCCAAAACUGCAUAAUUUAUCAUAAAAUUCACACAAUUGAUUCGAGUGCUUCCAUUGAACUCUUAGGAGAUCACAACAUCUUUUCAGUAAUCGGGAUAAAAUAAAUUCAAAAUACAAACACAUUGCAAUGAACGAAGACGAAACAACUGUAAGAUCGAAAGCAAAAGUGAAACUGACCAAUUCUUUUUUACUCUCCUCUAAUGUUUCAAGUAUACCCUUCUUUUAAGCUUCUACGUCAUUUUCGGUUUCAACUGUCGUCUUUGGGUCACCAAUGGAUUCAUCUGAUUGACCAGAUCGACUGGCAUCCAAUGCCGUUUGUGCAUUUUCGAGUUCAUAUCUCAAAUUCCUUUCAUUCUCUUCCAUCUCCUGAUAACGUAUGUCGUACCCAGUGCACAAGGCUCCCAUUAACAAAAAAACAAUAUACUCAAGUCUCACCAUUAGCUUCCUCUUCAGCAAAUCUUCUUCUAGAAUUUUCUCUUGUAUUUUAUUUUCAAACGAUAUUGCCCUUCAUAUUCAGCAUUCUCUUCCUGCAAUGUUACCUCCCUCAACUGUGUCUGUCCACAAAUGCAAAUGGGAACUAUUAAGAAAGAUUAAAACAUCGCCUUUUUUAUACUCCAAACUUAAACUACACAACUCCAUAGCCAAAAAUAAACAAUCACAUAAAACCAAGAUAGCAAACAGAGAAAACGCAUUAAAUCAAGUACAUCCUUGAAUUUUUUAGCAUAAAGAACAAAUUUUAGAUACAAAAUAUAUUGCCGCAAAGCGAAUACUAAUAAGCUUUCAGGAGUGCAAGUUGUCCCCUAAGCAAUUCUUAAGCCAAUGUAAUUGGCUUCAGAAUUCUUGGUUCUCUUCACAUAAAUUUUUGGUUAUUGUCAUUCGAUUCUGCCGGCUUCUGAACUAAAGCAUUCUGAAGUAGAAUUGCACCUUAGGAAGCCACUGAGCUAUCCUUCUCCACUUCAGUUGUAUCUGAGCAAUUUAAAAUGCCAUCAGCCAUCUCUAAUUGUGACAAUUCAUUCAACUUAAUUUGGUUAUCAUUUAUAUCCUAAAUCAAACUAAAACUUUAUCCCACGAAAUUAAACUUCUAUCGCAUCCAAUUAAACUACCACAACAACAUACUGACAAAGUGAACAUGGAAAUUCAUAUACCAUUUGACAAUACCAAAUCAAGAAAUUUCUAAAGACCAAAGACAGAUCCUACAAAGCAGAAACCCUAUCUCAUAUGCAUUAAAAUCAUUGACAAAUUCUUGGUGAAUCAUCAUAAAAUUAACCCAAUUUCUCAAUUCCAAAAACAGGAAAGAUUAAGAAAGGGUUCUGAGUUCUCACCAUAACCAAAAUAAACAUAUCGUUUCAGUUUGAACUGAGGUCAAUUUCGGUCAUCUGCAUUAACAGAAACAAUAACUUCUGUCAGUGCAUUCAAACCAAACCCAUAAAUCAAUUCCUAAAAUCAACUGCAAAUCACAAAGUUACCCAAAAAAAUCCCACAAAGAACCAAAAUACAUGAAAAUUACUAUAUUAGCACUCCCUCCACCCCAAAAUCAGAAAAUUUGAAAUUAGAGUUUGAUAACAUUGUACUUAGAAAGCAAGGAAUCGAUAAUUUAGGUGGUUUCCCAGGACAAUAAUGAGCUUGCAGAGAUCAUAUUCAUACAUGGAUGCACAAAUACACACACUACAGAGACCAUUUGAUGAAAAAAUAAAAAAUAGAGAUGCUCAGAGAUUCAACACACACUAUACAUAGAUCCAUGACCUAGAAUUUCUCAGAUCCAGUUGAAAUUAAUAAAAUAAAAUAAAAAAAUUUAGGGACAUGAAUUUAUACCUCUGACAAUCUGAGCUCCAUUCCCCUGAUUCCUUCGCCGGCUUGGUGCAAACCUGAGGAGAUCGGCAAUUAAGGAUAAGAAAGCAGGCGACGGUGGUUUAGUUUUUUUGAGAGAAAAUUCGAGUGAAAAGAAAAAGGAGAAGAAGAAGGGGAUGCCCCUUCCCUUCUCAGAUCGUCAAUAACAUCUGAAGUACUAAACACCCAUACACUAUAUUUACACACAUACGCUAAUCAGCACUCUUAACAUAUCAAUGGUCCAACAAUUAUGGAGCUCGAAAUUUAUAUAAGAAAGGGCCAAUCAAAUCAUAAAUUAAAAUGAAAAUAUGUACGUAAUUAAGAAUUAUUACUUGCUGAGUCAGUUCCUUCUUGUCACUUCAAGAAUUCUUCAAUUCAAACCAAUUCGAUCAAACUGCCUCACCCAACAAAACAAAAAAUAAAUAAAUUAAAAAGAAAAUCAGGGGAACUAAAUUAAAUAUACACUGACCUACUUUCUGGCAAGAAACCAAAAAGAGCGAUUAAAUAGCAGUGCACAAUGACGGAAUUUCUAUGAAAAAAUAUGAAUGAGUUCUUGAGGUUCCUGAUAUCAUUAGAAACUAUUUAUGUGUCAAGAAAAUCCAUUAUUCAAACUGCAGACAGGUUACAAAAAUCUGACAACUUAUGAAUCGUCUCUUGAGCACCUAGGAGUGGGUGGAUCCGGGUCUUGAAAUAUGAUGUUUUAAAGAACUGAUCAACAUGAAAAUCAGAUGUCAAAGCAAAGUAGACAACCAAUCAUGACUAUGCUUAAAAGAAACGAAAAAAGAUAUGGCAGGAGAAAAAAAAAUGUACAAGUAAAGUUUCAGCAGCAACCUCAAAACAUUUAUCAGUUGAAGCAUGCGUUUCUAAUAAAUGGCAUCUCAACAUCCAACAUUUACACAAUUCCAUACCACACAACAAUCCAAAAACAGAUCAAACAGUUAGCAAAUGUCUGAAUUAAUAAUUUGACCAUUAAACUAAACGAAUCCGGUGAUUUAAUGCAAAGAUGGACACAUUUGUAGUACCUUCAUCACGUGAAUAGUUCCAUAUCUGUAACAGAAAAACAAAUUUUGAUGCAUCAGGAUAAUGUUCAAGGAAAUGUAAAUAUUUCCCCAACAAAGCAUAUCAAAGAAAAGGUAACAGAAAAUGUAAACUUUGGCACCUUUAUUGUUCGUAACAGCAGGAUGGCAUUAACUUUCAAUCCUGGCACAAAGCCAACUGUCAAAAGGAUGUCAUAGGUCACAUCACAUCCUUUGCUGGUACAGAGCAAUCUUCAUCACUUCCAUCACCACAAACCUCUCUCCACUUAACCUAAACAAUCACAUUUCAUCCGAAAUCAGUAAAGACUUGAACUUGCUGCAAAUUAAUAAACAAAAACCCGGCAAACACGAAAAACACAACCACAAAACCUCUAUGAAUUCAUGGGUAAGAGCAUCUCUUCCAAAAAUUCCACUUAAAGUAGAAAUGAUGAAUGGAACACUGGACAUUCUAAGGUCAAGUAAAGUACUUCAGAAUAAGAUAAAGAGAAGUAAGAUUCACAAAUCUUGGAAUACAUAAAAAAGGGCGGCAAGACAAAAUUGCACUAUCCCCAUUGAAACCUACACUGACAUUCAAAGGUAACAUUUGGAUUAAAGACAAAAUUUAACACCUUCUCGAGUUUAACUAAUUUAAAGCGGCAAAUAUAUGCAAUUCCUCACGGAUUCCAAGACUACAUUCAAAGUUUAAUCAAAUAUAAUAAUCAUAUUGCUUUGGCAUUUUAUUCCAAUUAAUUUAAGGGAAUGAAAGCCAAUCACUUUGCAAAUGCCACAUGAAACAUACCAUAUGGGUUUAAAUUGCUACUCCAUACACUUCACAUAAAUAAUAGAUUCCAAAUCCAGUCCAAAUUCACCUGUGGCAACUGUGGUUCCUUUGAUCCUGAAAUAACAACUAUGAGGAGUAAGGCCAAGGUUAAUACCAGGACGUAAACAGGGAUACAAACAUAGACCAUAAAAGAGAAUAUAGAGCAUUUUCUCUAUCAUUUCUCUAUCAAGUCGUCGUACCCAGUGCACAAGGCUCCCGCUUUACGCAGGGUUUGGGAGAGGUGAAUGUCGGCUAGCCUUACCCCCAUUUAUGGAGAGGCUGCUCCCAAGUCUCGAACCCAAGACCUACCGCAUUUCUCUAUCAAGUGUAGCAUGUAAUUAUUUAUUACCACAUAGUUGGUGCAAAAUAUUUGAUAAAAAUGAAUAGGCUAAGUAUGGGAAAACUUCACCACCAUUAAUUCAAAACAGUUAUUUAAAAGGAAAUUCAAAAUAAAAUAAAAAAACAAAAGAACUCGCCUGGCAAAUCCUUCUCCAGGAUCUUCCACUCUUCCCGAAUUCUCUUUGCCACAGACACAAUCGUCGGAGUUUGGGAACCGAAUCCUUUGUUUGGAACUGUUGCAGAAGUGACCGACUAUCAGGACCACGGCAUCUUCAAGGGCUGCAGGCAAAGCAAAGUUGAGAUAAACAACAAAGAACUACAAAGAUUUGAUCUUUAUUAAUUUAGUGAAAAAACCAAUUCAUAUAAAACAACAGUUUCCACCACCAUAUUCAUUUCAACAGCAAGAACAGAAACCGCAUAUAAAAGAAAUUUAAAAAAUUGAAGAAACAGAGGUAAUAACAAUACCAAAUCCAGGCCCAUCGGGUCCCGCGCAGUGUAAUCUGCUUCUCUGAGACCAUUUGUUCCAUAAAAUCUGACGCCUUUGAGCUCCAAUCUGUGCGAACACUUCCAGAGCUUGAAGGAGUGCAGUGAAAAAUGGGUUUAGAAAGCAGGGAAGAAAGUGCCAGAAGCUAAAACCCACUAAUCAUUUUUUACUUUAGAUUCUCAGAUUCUGUCACUUUGUCAUCGUUUCUCCCCUUUUUCUUGUCAGCUCACAACAAAACAAAUAUCUUCUGAGUUCUCUUUCUCUCUUUGCAAUUCCCACACCCAGCUCCCUCUCAUCUGUCUCUGACAUCCCCUCUCCCUCACAAUCUCACUGAGUCGAAACCCCUAGCUCCCAUCUCUCUCCAAUCUGUCAGUCCCUCUGUCCUCCUCCCCCAAUGACGCUCUGACCAAAGCAACAGGCACGGUCAUCUCACCAAAUCCCUAUCUCUCUCCCUCCCUCCCUCCCUCUCUCUGCUCGCUCGCUCUCUCUCCCAACGGCAUGGUCUCACCAAGUCCCACUGCAGCUCAGAAUACUUCUCCUCAGUCACUCCAAAUUGCUAAUUGGAUUACACUCCGAAGCCCACAUUUUCUACACAAUCUAAAUGUAACUCUCACUAAGCCACAAACACACAAUUUGACAUCUCAUAAACACUGAAAUAUAACCAUUUCAGGUAAGCAAUGCAAGAUCCAUAAACCAAGACGAAUUACAAUAAAACAAAAUUGAAAAGAAAGCAAGAAUUUACCACCAAUGUAAACAAACCUAAGCAACUAUGUGUAUUAGACAUUUAACCAAAUCUCAUGUAACAAAAUUAGUAACUCCCUGUUCACUGACUCAUAGUCCACUGCACUCAAAUUCAUUGUCUAAAAGAUAUAUCAAAUUUGGUAACAAAAAUGAUGCCUUUCGAUAUAGAGAAUGUUAGGCAACCAAUGAUUUAAGAUCCAAAAAGUUCCCAACUCCAGCACCUUUAUGUGACCAAAAAACUUUACCAAGUGAGCACUGAAGCAGGCCGUUAUAAAUCUACUCAUAGUUGACUGAGUUAUCACUGUUUCAAAUAAAGAAGAAAGGAAGAAGGAUAUUCAGUUGCAGUCGGCCAUUCUCAGAGAAAGACAAAAACUUCUAUGUUUGAUUAUUUCCUGGUUAUUUCUUGUGACCCGAAUCACAAGUUUACCUUGCAUCAAAAUAAAAAUCACGUGACCAUGCAUAUAUAUCACAAUUUAUCUAGAAACCUUCAGCAUUUGAUGAUUCGAAACUUGAAAGGAGCAAUAUCCAGCCCAUGCAUUACUGCAUGGUUUAGGUAUUGAAAAAGUAAGAUGAUAGUGGUACAUCCUUUACACGUUCUGAAAUGUAAUCUUUUUAGUUUGGGAAAAGAUUCUUGCUUGAACAGGUAUUAUAGAUCGUGCAGACAGUGUUUCAUCGUUAGGGUACUGUGAUUUGCAGACAUGGGAUUGGCACCCAAUACUCAACUCAUUUUAACUAAUAUGCGUUAAAAACAAUCAUCCACUAAAUCCCUAUUUCAAUGGAAAAAAACCAAAAAUUACUUAUGACGAAGAUGAAUAAGUUGCAGGAUUUAUUAGAUUAGCACAUAAUAUUGCAGUAUCAGACUCCACCUAAGUAGCUCCUGCCAAUUUUAAUCAACAGAUAAGCACAAUAAAGCACUUGCAAUUGAACCAGAGAAAUUGCAAUACGCAUAAAAUUAAGCUUAAAAAAAGUAUAUUGUGCGUGCAGCUUCUGGAAAGUGUGAAAAUCCAAAUUCCAACUCAUACAAUCAUAACUGCAUAAGAGAUAACGAAAUUGAUUUCACGAAUUCAUCAAACAUUGAGAAUUCAUAACAAAAUUGUGGGAAACAACUUCAACCUCCACUACGCCAUUCAAAUUCCUAGUCCUCAAAUUAAAAACCAUAAGAUUCCAACUUUCGUCCAAAAAAGAAAGAUAAAACAAUAAUGUAAAAGAAAAAGCAUACAUUAGCGAACCCGGCAAAGAAUUCCGCCGGCGAUUCUGCAGAAAAAUUGAAAGCAUGGCUAAUGAAUAUUCAAACUAAAACAUGCGUACAGAAAAAGAAGGCAGAGAGAGAGAGAAACUCUGUUCCAGAACGCUAUCUUUGGGCUUUCUGCGCGUCUUCGAUUGGCGUUUCUUAGGCUCCGUCUGGCUCUUGCUGCUCCCUCGAGCUUCCAUUUCAAACUCCCAAUCAAAUCUUCGCCCCAAAAAAAACCGUCGAUCCUCUUCGAAUUCGAUCAAUUCUAGAGACAGAGAAAGGAGGAGUAAGACGACGGAGGCGAGAGAAGGGAGACGGCGGCGAGAGGAGGAUAGGAUGGAGGCGAGGCCGUCGUUCUCGCGGGGUCUGCGAGACGGAAGAGGCAAGGAGGGUUUGAGAAAUCCCUGGAAAUCAGCCUAACCCUCAAAUCCCGACGGCCACAUGCUUUUCUCUGACUGUACCCCCUCUCCCACUAUGAAAUCGAGGAUCCCCACUCCUCCGUCUCCCUCUGUCUCCCUGAAGCGGCAUGGCCUUCCAUCCCCGAAACCCUCACCGAACGAAGAACAAAGAGGCGGUGGUAAUUUUGUAAAUAAAGCGAAAGUUGGGCUGAAAUCAGUCCGGUGGCAAGCUCGUAAAUAAAGUGAAAUUUCAAUCUGAAACUGAAAAGGCGGUGGUAUUUUUGUAAAUAAGUCAAAAUCCACCCCAAGUCACUGUUGAUUUGAAUAGUGCCAAUUUCAAACCUUACUUUAGACUGAAGUUGUAUAACCAUGCGCGAAUUAUGUCAAAGCUUCUUCAUCAAUUACCAUUUAAUCAGUCUAAUAUAAAACAAGUGUUGAUGUUUACAGACAUUAAUGCUACAUUUUUUUUCAUACAAAGAUAUUCUACUCUAAUGGAGGGGAUAUUCUACUCCAAAAGAAAAUAUUUGUCUUGGCACAUAACGAUCCAUCCAUAACUAGUAUCGAAUUCAUGUUUAGGUACCCGUGGGAUGUAGUAUUCAGGACCUUCCUCCAUGUUCAAGUACCCGUUAAUGUUGUAUAACCAUGCGCGAAUUAUGCCAAGGACCUUCCUCCUAUAUUCAUAGACAUUGUGCAGCACUUGGAUCUUUCCACAUUAUCAUGGGCUCCAUUAAUGUUCAGGUACCCGUGGGAUGUAGUAUUCGGGAACCUAGGGAAGCAAAACAUCACGGUGGCUAGCGAUGCCAAGCACCCCAUGACACCUGAUUUAGGACAAGGAGGUUGCUUGGCAUUGGAAGAUGUCAUGGUCUUGGGUAGAUACAUAGGGACAUCCUUUGUACAAAAUGGACGACUCGUGCCAAAAGAGAUGGAUAAUGCGAUAGGGAAAUACGUGGAAGAAAGAAGAUGGCAUGUCGCGCUGUUGAUUGCAGGAUCAUAUUUAUCCGGAUGGGCACAGCAGGCAGGGUCUAGAUGUGUUAGGAAGUUCUUAAGGGAUGCCAUAUUUUACAGGUUCAUUUUCACUAAACUUGUUAAAACUUUCACAUUAUGAUUGUGGAAAACUUGAUUUCUAGCUAGGGCAUUUCAUUGUCCACAAGAAAGAAAACAAUCAAGAUUCCCUUCUCUACGGAAUUAAAUUAUUGAUGGCCUUUCAACAAGGAUAAAUGAGAGACAGGAAUUAAUCUAAGGAGAAUAGAAAAGAUUUAUGGAACUUAUUAGCUAUAACAUAAAUUUAUACUUCGACAUACCUUUGCUGCUUUGUUGACAAAGCAUAUUUUGAACAGUAGUUGAUAGCAAGGCAUAUGCAUGUAGUCUUAGAUGAAAAGCUAAAUAAGCAGUAUAUACUAUUAGUGUAUAAAUGGCAAUAGGCACAAUUUAAAAAAAAAUGUGCUUUGCCCAGAAUUCAAGUAUGUACGAACCAGUUUACAACGAAUAAAAGCAGUCUUUAUGGAGCCUCCAAAUGCGUAAUGGAUAAUUUGUUGAUAGAAAAUGUUUGAUUAUCUGAAGAUGAACCUGCUUCUUUACGAUACAGAAACCCAGAUUAUUUAGGCUGAUCCCAUGCACCAUUACUUCACAAGAUUAUAACUACAGAUGCCAUGCUCUACAAGAAAAGUACUUGAGCAACAACUACAAAGAGAAUGCAACAUAACACGUACGAUAGAGAACGUGAAUCUCCUAAACAUUGAUCAAUCACUUCCAAAGGCCUUCUUUAUAUUAGUUCUAUAUUUAUCCAUGUAUGAAUUAUGUCAAAGCUCCUUCAUCAAUUACCAUUUAAUCAGUCUAAUAUGUGAAACAGGUGUUGAUGUUUACAGACAUUGCUACAUUUUUUUUUCAUACAAAGAUAUUCUACUUUAAGUGGAGGGGAUAUUCUACUAUAAAAUGAAGGAUUAGACUUGGCACACAACAAUCCAGCCGGUACUAGUAUCGAAUUCAAUGUAAAUAGGCUAAAUAGCCAAAAUGAUCUCUAAGAUUUGUAUAACUCAUCUCUUUGGUCCCUAACAUUUCAAAUUGAUAAAAGUGGUCCCUGAGAUUGUCCACCUUCCAUCAUUUUGGUCCUUUCGUUAAAAACUCCGUUAAGUGUCCCGGAGCUCUUGGCCAGAAGUUUGGGUAACUCAAUCGUUUCUUAACCAAAUUCGACCUAUAACAUAUCAAAAUGAAGAUAGGAAAGUGUAGAAUAAGAUUAUACCUAAUUAGAAGCCCAAUGGCAGCAGGAGAUGGCCGAAAAAUAGCCUCAAAGUUGACUGGUCUGAGGGAAAACUGGAAAACUCGCCGGAAACUAGGUAAACUUUAAACGUUCAUAACUUCUUCAAUACUCAACGAAAUCAAGUGAUUCAAAAACAAAAAUCAUACUUCUCGAUGAGAUGAAGAGAAUGGUACCUUUUUUACGGUUAACUCACCAUGAUUUGGCCGGAAAACGGCUCGAAAGUGGUUGUCUAGGUCUCGAGUUAGCCACUUUCGAGCCAUUUUCCUGCCAAACCACAGAUACUUAGCAGUCUAAAAAGGUACCGUUCUCUUCGUUUCAUCGAGAAGUUUGAUUUUUGUUUUUGAAUCACUUGAUUUCGUUGAGUAUUGAAGAAGUUAUAAACAUUUAAAGUUUACCUAGUUUCCGGCGAGUUUUCCAGUUUUCCCUCGAACCAGUCAACUUUGAGGCUAUUUUCCAGCUAUCUCAGGCAGUCAUUGGGCUUCCAAAUAUGUAUAAUCUUAUUCUACACUUUCCUAUCUUCAUUUUGAUAUAUUAUGGAUCAAAUUUGGUUAAGAAACGAUUGAAUUGCGAAGUUUUAAAAAUUGCCCAAACUUUCGGCCAAGAGCUCUAGGACACUUAACGGAGUUUUUGACGGAAGGACCAAAAUGAUGGAUGGUGGACAAUCUCAAGGACCAUUUUUAUCGAUUUGAAAUGUUAGGGACCAAAGUGAUGAGUUAUGCAAAUCUUAUGAACCAUUUUGGCUAUUUAGCCAUGUAAAUAAUAUACGCCAUUGUUAUCCAUGUGAGCAAGAUGUUGCUACAUUAAUGAAUAUUUAGCAUUUCAACAAACCCAGACAAGAAUAUGUUUUUACAGAUAUUUAAGCAAAAAUCCCAUUGCUUCCGAGCUAGAAUGACUACAGGUCCGCAUGGAACUUCUGAUCAUAAGUGCUCCAUUUAUGACAGACAUUACUUAGCUUUUCAGAGAAGAAAGCUAUAGGUCUCUCUUCUCUUGGGAAAGAACAACACCCACUCCUACUCCACUUUCAUCACAUUCGACCUCGAAUACUUUCUCAAAAUUUUCGGAAGAACGAACACCAAAGUAGUAUAAAGCUUCUCUUUGAUCAAGGCAAAGCUUCGUUCUUGUUCCUCUCCCCAAUAGAACUUGCCGUUCUUCAAACAUGAUGUGAUAGGUGCAGUGAUAUUGCUGAAAUUUCACAUAUAUCUCUGAUAAGAAGUAACCAGACCAUGGAAACUUCUUUUGUCAGAGACAGACUUCGAAGUUGGCCAAUCUCCGAUAGCUUUGGUCUUCUGAUCAUCCACCUGAAUGUCAUUCUCACUUGUAAGUCCCAUAAAUAGCAAUCUAUUUGUACAAAAUAUGCAUUUCUUAAGAUUCAUGUACAAUUUAUUUCUUUCUAAACACUCAAACAUGUCUCAAAUGCAUAAGGUAUUCGAUCUUCUUUGGUCUUGCUAUGGAUUAAAAUGUCGUCAAAGUAAACUGCAACAAAGAAACCAAUAAAAAGAUGAAGAACUUGAUUUAUAAGGCUCAUAAAGGUACUCGACACAUUAAGCAGUCCAAAUGGCAUUACUACUUAACACAUUAAGCAGUCCAAAUGGCAUUAUUAGCCACUCGAACAAUCCAUCCUCACUCUAGGCACCAAAUCAAUUGGAUGAUGAAUGUUUCUCAUGGGGGAAGUUCGUUAGGUAACUCUUCAUAAAUUAGUACGUUCCUGAAACUCCUCUAAUAAUUGUUGCACUUCCAGAGGAAUUCGUUCCCCUUCUCUGCUGUCUGCUAAUAAUCAUUUCAUCACGAUCAGAAAGAAAGAAUCAGCUUCUUGUAUUGCUCUUUCAAUCUCUUGCUCGUUGCUAGUUAGAGUUAGGGAACUAGUAUUACUUGCCUUCGAUACAUCGGAAGGCAAAACAGGAGCCAUUGCAAUCUUUUGAUUGUUCCAAUUGAAUAACAUCACAUUAUCUCGACCUUUCAAUCAAUGUCAAAUUCACAUCAAAUUUCCAAGGUGUCCCUAACAGUAUAUGGUAGGCAUUUGUAUCAAUAACAUCAUAAACUACUUCGUCUCAGUAAUGCUUACUGAUGAAAUGCAAGUUUAUGUGACAUGAACAUAAGGUCAUUUCUUCACCAUCUAAGGGAAUAUAGGGAAAUGAGGCUCUGUUGGUAGUUGCAAAUGCUCCACUACUUUCUUGGCUCCAAAAUUCUCACUACUGUUGUUUACACUAACUUUGCAAACUUUGUCGUUGGUGGAGCAAAGACAACAAAAAAUGCAGUGCCGUUUUUCAACCUCUUUUGGUGCCAAAAGAACUUUGUGUAACACCAAAGUGAGGUGAUCCAUUCCUUCUUCAGUUGCAAAUUCGACGCUUGCAUAAUCAUCAUCACCUCUAACUUCUUCUUCUUUGUAGUUCUUCAUUGUUCCCGUUAGCUUCCAAUACAUUGGCUUGUCUCCAUUCAGGACAAACAUUAGAAUGAUGCCCAGUUUUGUUGCACUGACAACAAAUGUCUCCUAUAGCUUAGGCAUGGGGAUUCUCCCUUGGAGGUUAGUUUCUAUUAUGCCCCUUGUUAAAAGUCAUGAUACUCCUUUCAUUUGAUGUUCGAGAAGGAAAAUUUGAAGGUUUCGACCUUCCAGAAUUUUGUGGCACAAAUUUCCCUUUGUCAGCAGCCAAGCCAACCAGAAUUUCAGAGUUCUCUACCACGUUCUUCUAGAAAGAGGUUUGUCGCUUCUUUUUCUCCAUUAUCUCCACCUUCAAAGCCAUGUUAAUAGGCUCUUGCAUGCUCCAUUGGUUUUGCAUCUUUUCUUGAAUGGAGAGUUUCAAUCCAUUCACAUACCUUGCAACCUUUUAAUUUUCUAGCACUGUCGAAUAGGUUCGCUCCAAAAGUCGAGUGAAAUUAUCUGUAUAAAUUGUCACCUUUAUAUUGCCUUGGACAUAGCUAAUGUUAAUACAAUACAAGAGUUGUUCAUAAUCUGCAAGUAAGAAAUGAUCCAUCAAGAGCUGCUUCAUUUUUCUUCAGUGCGAAUUUGAUUCUUUCCUUGCCUUUGCUAGGUGUUCUGUAAUUAAUCCCAAAAAACAGCAGCAGUUGCUUUGAGGCAGAAGACAACCAUCUUCACCAUCAUUGUCUCAGGGAUCCAUGACGUUGAAAAAUCAUUCUAUAUAUUCCACUAGCCAAUCCAAGAAGUUUUCGAUUUUCAGAUUCCCCACAAAAGUUGGAAUGUCAGCCUUAGGGCUGGUUUGGUAUUGCUGUGCUUUGAAAAAAAGCUGCUGUGAGAAUAAGCGGCUGUGAAAUAAAUCAGCAGAGUGUUUGGUAAACUUUUUUGUAAAAGUGCUUUUGGAAAAAAAAAGCAGUCUGAUAGUGAGUCUUUUCAUUAAAGGAGUACUGUAGUUAUGUGUGCUUUGAAAAAAAGCCAGUUUUCCAAAGCUACAAAUGGCAGCUUCAACUUUUUCCUUUGAUUUCAGCUUAUUCUCACAGCAGCUUCCAAAAUAAGCCCUUUUUUUUUAGUUUACCAAACACCAAAAACACUCCCAGCUUUUUUUCAUAGGAGCUUUUUUUAAAAUCACCUCAACCCCAAAAUGGGGCUUAAUCUGAAAAUCAUCAAAGUUGUUGAUGUUUUGAUGUUUUGGAUUGUUAACUGAGGGAGGUUUUGCAUAUUCUUCAUCGGACUCCGAUUUGUUGUCUUGAACAUGGGGCUUGGGAACUCUUUGAUUAUUGACUACGAUAACUUUUUGGUUAUCUGGACUGAGGAUUUUGAACAACAUCUCACUAAGCUUUCCAAAUUGCAUAGUUAAAUUUGCAAUCUGUUCAACCUGAGCGUCUAGGUCCGUUUGAGUGAUAGAGGCAGAUUCACAAUUACGAUCACCCAUGGAUAGUUAAGACAACGAACGAUGCCAAGAUGGGAGAAACCUGCUACAGUAAUCAAAGGGUUACCUUCUAGAAUCCACCAGAAAACUGAGAGAAAUCUCAAAUGUUGAUUAUUUAAUUGAUAAUUAGAGGAGUAGAUUGAAAUUGUCCAACAACUUUAAAUAGAGUGGUUACAACUCAUUGACCAACUCAAAUGACUCAAGCAACUAAUUGACAUUAUUUCGACAUUAAUCAAACGACAAAUGAAGAGUCUGUUUUUUAUUCUAAAAAUUAAAAUGAUGUUUUGGAGGCGCAAACGACCCCCAAUGGCAAAAUCCAUCAUACAAUUGGACUCGUAGCGUCGUUACUUUUUGAAAAAGUAUCUGGGCCAAAUUUGGAGGUCGAACGCCAAACCUACAAAUUCCCACUGCGCCUUUUUUUCCGACGACCCAUUUCCUCUUCGAUACAUUCUGCCAUUUGUUCUACAUCAAUGAUGGGAAAGUUGAAACUCAUUCUUAUACAACUCCGAAUUAUGAGAUGAGUUUGUAAUAAUUUAAGAUUACAAAUUCUAAAAUGACUGAAAUUAAGGGUUUCUUUGAAAGAACCAGAGUUGGCUAAAGAGCUCGAGCAGGAGUUUUGUCAAACUCAAAUGAGUAUCCAGAAGUAUACUUAUUUGAUCUUAAUGUACUCUUUCUCCCUAUGAUUAGGAGCAUUUUUCCCACUUGGUUUUUGCCACCUAACUAGGUUUUAACGAGGCUCAUAUCCUGGGCUGGUAAGGAUGACAAUUCAAACCGUUAAACUUGAUAACCGUAGAUAACCAUUCGAAUGGAACUGAUUUGGGGAUUAAAAUUCGGUUAUAUUUCGGAUAUGGGGAAACCAGAUAUACUAUUCGGUUAUGGUUUCAGAUAUGAUUAUAGGGGUCCCCGAUCCGUAUCCAUCCCCGAAAUUGACCCGAAUGAUACAUAUAUGUAUAUUCACCGAACUCAUUACUUUGAAAAUUAUAAAAGUUGCAUUUUGUGAGAAAGUUCAAAAGUUUUGGAUCAAAACCAAUAAGAAUUCAAUGAUGCUUAUGGAAGAGAUCAAACAUAAGCCAACAUCAUCAAUGUAUCUAUUAUAUUUGUUGGUAUACCAUGGGUCCAUCCCAAGAUGAAGGACAUUAAAGGUCCAACCCAUUAUGAAGGAUGGAUGCUAGAAAAUUCUAGCAUGCAAAGUAGGAUAACUAGUCUAGAAUUAUCUAAGUUAGAGGUUUGUAGAAUAUACUAGAAACUAGAAACUAGUUCUAGUUUGUAGAAAGAACUAUAAACUAGUAGAAUGCCAAGUCCUCACCUAUAAAUAUGGGUGUGAUGUUGUAGUGAUGUAACCAAUCAAGAAAGAAGUGAGUAGAAAAUGAUCAAGUCUAAAGCUAGAGUUCCAUUCCAAGAGUGAGAGUGAGAGUGUUCCACUACACAUUGUGCGAGUGAAGUUUAGAGUGAUAGAAAGUGUGUGUUAUACUUUCUUGUAUCCAUCAAGCCUUGUCUUUUGCUUGGUAAGACUACUCUUGUUGUACUCAUCAUUUUCAUAUAGUGAAGAUUGAUCAUUGUUCCGUGGACGUAGGCAUAAAUUGCCGAACCAUGUAAAUUCUUGGUGUCCAUUUUCUACUUUACUUUGUGCAUUCUUUAUCUUGUAGCACCGACAUUCCUAACAAGUGGUAUCAGAGCCCGGUUGGCUCGUACUACGAGAUGGAAGGAAAUGGCAUUAUGAUCAAACUCACCAACUCCAAUUGGGUAACAUGGAAGCCAAUGAUGGAUGACAUUCUCUAUUGCAAGGAUCUGCAUAAGCCAAUUGAAGGAUAUGCCACUAAGCCCGAAAGCAUGUCCGAUGCCGAGUGGAAGAAGAUGAAUUGCAAGGCAAUUGACAUAAUUACACAAUGGGUGGACGAUAGUGUUUUUCACCAUAUGUCUAAUGAAACCAAUGCCCGCAAGUUUUGGACGAAGCUUGAGUCCUUGUUCGAUAAGAAAACCCCAACCAAGAAAGCCUUCUUGAUCAAAGAGCUCAUCAAUGUGAAGUAUAAUGAUGGUUUAAGUGUAGCAGAACACUUGAACAAUUUCCAUAAUAUCAUCAACCAGUUUGUUACUAUGAACAUGACGAUUGAGGAUGAGCUGCAAUCGCUCUUGUUACUUGGAUCCUUGCCAGACAGUUGGGAGAUUUUUGUGGUGAGUGUAAGUAACUCUGCUUCUAAUAGUGUUCUUACUCGUGAUAAUGUUAAAAAUAACAUGCUCAAUGAAGAAAGAAGGAGAAAGACUUAUGGCACAGAUAGCAGCCAAGUAUUUGUCACAGAGAAUCACGGAAGAAGCAAGAGUAGAUGGCCUAGAGGUCAUGGUAGAAGUCCUAGCCGAUCCAAGUCAAGGUUCAGGGGUGCAUGCCACCAUUGUGGCAAACAAGGCCAUAUGAAGAAAAAUUGUCGAGUUUGGAAGAGAGAGCAAAGAGAAGGAAACAAUCAGAAGAAAAAUGAUACCGGCAAUACCACUGCUGUCAUAUGUGGUGAUGUACUAGAAAUAUUGUAUUGGUGAAUGUCUGUAUAUAGGUGAUUCUGACAAAGACAUUGAAUGGAUCUUUGACAAUGGAACUUCCUUCCAUGCUACAUCCAAAUGGGAGUUCUUCAGUACAUACAAACAAGGUGACUUUAGCAUAGUGAAGAUGGGAAAUGAAAGUUAUUCCAAAAUUCUUGGAAUUGGUGAUAUUUGCCUAAGAACUAAUUUCGGUUGCUAGUUGAUGUUGAAAGAUGUGAGACAUAUUCCUGAUAUACGUCUCAAUAUGAUAUCCAUCGGUACCCUUGAUCGACAAGGUUAUUAUCACCAUAUUGGCGAAGGAAAAUUAGGCUUAAUAGUGGUAGCAAGAGCAUGACUUUGUUGUACGUUGUAUUGGUCAAAUGCCAAGGUUUUGAAAGGUGAGUUGAAUGUUGUGGAUGACUCAUCUCUAGACUUAUGGCGUAAGAGGCUAGGCCACAUGAGCGAGAAAGGUCUACAAGUUUUGGCAAAUAAGUCACACAUUCCCUUUGCCAAAGGUACAUCAUUAAACUCUUGUGAGCAUUGUUUAUUCAUAAAACAAAGAAGAGUUAGUUUUUAUGUUCCAUCUACAAAGAAAGGAAAUUUGUUAGAUCUUGUUUAUUCAGAUGUUUAUGGUCCUAUGGAAGUCGAGUCACUUGGAAGAAAUAAAUAUUUUGUUACUUAUAUUGAUGAUGCUUCAUAAAGGGUAUAAGUGUUUUUGUUGAAAUCUAAAGACCAAGUGUUUCAAACAUUCUAGGAGUUCAAUGCCAUAGUGGAGAGGAAAACUAGGAAACCUCUCAAGUGCCUUCGUAGCGAUAACGGUGACGAGUACACAUCUCACCAGUUUAGAGAGUAUUGUGACAUACGUCAUGAGAAGGCAGUUCCUGGAACUCCACAACAUAACGGUGUUGCUGAAAGAAUGAACCAAACCAUCAUGGAGAAAGUCAGGUGCAUGUUGAGGACUGCAAAGUUAUCUAAGGAGUUCUGGGGUGAAGCUGUAAAGACAGCCUGCCAUUUGAUCAACCGAUCUUCAUUAGUACUAUUAGGUCUUGAUGUUCUAGAGAGAGUAUGGACUAGUAGUGAUGUGUCUUACUCUCAUCUGAAGAUGUUUGGUUGCAAAGCUUUUAUGCAUGUGCCCAAAAAGUAGAGAUCGAAGUUAUACUACAAAGCUACACCAUGCAUCUUUCUUAGUUAUGGCAAUGAAGAUUUUGGUUACAGAUUAUGGGACCCAUACUAGAAGAAGUGUAUCAGAAGCUGAGAUGUAAUCUUUUAUAAAGAUCAAACAAUUGGGGAUUCAAAUAAAGAGGCACAACCAGAUGGCGCAACCAGAAGAGUUGAUCCAUUAGCUUCAGAUGAAGAAAGUCACGGUGACAUCCCUGAAGCAGCUGCCAAUGAAAUGCCUGUAGAACUAGAUAAUGCUGAUCAGGGGGAGCCUAAUCAAGAUGAGCCAGACCAUGAAAUUGCUGAUCAGGGAGAGCCUGAAGAGCAGAUUCAAAGGGAACUCAAUCAGGGGGAGCCUCCAGCCCCACAAGAGAAUGAAGACCAAGUCAGAAGAUCCAGCAGAAGUCGAAGACCGUCUAUCAAGUAUUCUUCAUCAAAGUAUAUCAUGUUGACUAAUUAUGGAGUGCCCGAAACUUAUGAGAAGGUCAGAACUCAUAACGAUUGUGACAGAUGGAUGAAGGCAAUUGAGUCAAAUAUGGAUUCCUUAUUAAAGACUGAUACCUAUAAGCUGGUGGAGCUUCCAAAUGGUAGAAAAGCAUUGAAAAACAAGUGGGUGCUUAAAUUGAAAAGAGACGACAACAUGACAAGGUACAAGGCUCGUUUGGUUGUCAAAGGUUUUGGUUAAAAGAAAUGAGUUUACUUUGAUGAGAUUUUUUCACUGGUGGUGAAGAUGACUUCUAUUCAAGUUAUCCUUGGUAUGUCAGCAAGCAUGGAUCUUAAGCUCGAGCAGUUAGACGUUAAAACUGCAUUUCUCCACGACAAUUUAGAAGAUGAGACAUUCAUGGAGCAACCCAAAGGCUUUGAAGUCAAAGGUAAAGAAAAUUUGGUAUGCAAGCUGAAGAAAAGCUUAUAUGGUCUUAAGUAGGCUCCGAGACAGUGGAAUAAGAAGUUCAACUCAUUCAUGGUGAGUAAUGGGUACAAGAGAACUCAUGCUGACUCUUGUGUCUAUAUCGAACAAUUUUCUGGAGGUAAAUUCAUCAUUUUAUUACUUUAUGUUGAUGACAUGUUGAUUGUUGGUCAAGAUGCUUCUAUGAUUAAAAAGCUCAAAGAAGAGUUAUUUAAGUCCUUUGACAUGAAGGACUUAGGGCCAGCCAAGCAGAUUUUGGGCAUGAAGAUAAUUUGUGACAGAAAAUCUAAGAAGUUGUGGCCGUCACAAGAAAAGUAUGUUGAAUGGGUGCUUGAAAGAUUCAACAUGAAAGCAACCAAAUCGGUAAGCUCACCUUUAGCCAAUCAUAUCAAGUUGAGCAAAUAGUCGUGUCAAAAAACAUAUGAAGAAAAGGAGAAAAUGGCAGUUGUUCUUUACUCUUCAACAGUAAGAAGUAUCAUGUAUGCAAUGGUGUGCACACGGCCAGAUAUUGCUCAUGCAGUAGGUGUGGUGAGCAAGAUUCUCUCUAAUCCAGGGAAAGACCACUGAGAAGCUGUUUUGUGGAUUCUCAGAUAUUUGAAGGGGACUUCUAUGAUGUGUUUGUGCUUUGGCGGUUCCAAACCAAUCUUGGAAGGAUUUACAGAUACUGACAUAAGAGGUGACCUGGAUGGUAGAAAAUCUACGUCUCGAUACUUGUUUACUUUUGCAGGGGGAGCCGUCUCAUGGCAAUCCAAGCUGCAAAAGUGUGUUGCUUUGUCCACAACCGAUGAUGAAUAUAUAGCCGCUACAAAAACAUGCAAGGAGUUGUUGUGGCUGAAGCAGUUUCUCCAAGAGUUGGGUUUGAAACAAAGUGAUUAUGGCAUUUAUUGUGAUAGUCAGAGUGCUCUGGAUUUGAGCAAGAACACUGCAUAUCAUUCACACAUCAAGCACAUUGAUAUUUGUUAUCACUGGAUUAGAGAUGCUAUUGAGAACAAGUUGCAACGGCUGAAGAAAAUUCAUACCGAUAAUAAUUCCUUAGACAUGUUGACAAAGGUAGUCACAAAAUCAAAGGGGAAUUAUGCAUUAAGGCUGCUGGGAUGGACUCCAAGUAACUUAGAGUCAUGAUCAGAAUUCCUCCCUCAUGGACUGGAAGGGGAGAUUGUUGGUAUACCAUGGGUCCAGCCCAUGAUGAAGGACAUUAAAGGUCCAGCCUAUGAUGAAGGACAUUAAAGGUCCAGCCCAUUAUGAAGGAUGAAUGCUAGAAAAUUCUAGAAUGCAAAGUAGGAUAGCUAGUCUAGAAUUAUCUAAGCUAGAGGUUUGUAGAAUAUACUAGAAACUAGAAAUGAGUUCUAGUUUGUAGAAAGAACUAGAAACUAGUAGAAUGUCAAGUCCAAAGCUUGAGUUCCACUCCAAGAGUGAGAGUGAGAGUGUUCCACUACACAUUGUGUGAGUGAAGUUUAGAGUGAUGUGUGUGUUAUACUUUUUUGUAUCCAUCAAGCCUUGUCUUUUGUUUGGCAAGGCUACUCUUGUUGUACUCAUCAUUUUCAUAUAGUGAAGAUUGAUCGUUGUUCCAUGGACGUAGGCAUAAAUUGCCAAAUCACGUAACUUCUUGGUGUCCAUUUUCUACUUUACUUUGUGCACUCUCUAUCUUGUAGUACCGACAUUCCUAACAAUAUUAUGUUGAUGAAAUUGGUAUCUAUUAUAUUAUAAUGCGUCAAUUAAAUGAAUAUAUUUUUGGUAUUGACGAAGAUGAAUAUAACUGUUAACUGAUGAGAAAUUCGUUACCCGGUGGGUAUGGUUAUGGAUAAUCCCCGAUGGUUAAUUUACGGUUAUGGAUAUGGUUAAUUCUGAUGAUUAUGGGGAUGAAUAUAGCAUUUCCGUCCCCAAACCGAACCGUUGCCAUCCCUAUGGGCUGGUUAUAUCCUUGUAAGGUUUUCCACUUUCUCCCCGUAGGCGUUUAGUUUUGACAUUAUGCAUACUUCUCACAUUUCUACUUUGUCUAUGAGUUUUUCUCCCAUAGUGGGUUUUAUCAUAAUGAUGUUUUGUGAGUUUUACUAUCAAUGUAUACUUCUGUUAAUUUGAGAUUCGUAUUCGCCCAUUAUGCCGACGACUUCACCAACUGAACUUACUUCACCACUGAAGACUUUAUGCAACAUUUUGUUUGAGUAUUUACCUACUCAAGAGGGAGUGUUGCAGUCCUAAUCAAAUUAGGAAUGUAAUUAUGUAAAUCCUAUUGUAAUUCUAUGAUAUCUUUUAGGUAGUGUCCUAAUUUGUUGUAAUACCUAAGGGUAAGAGAUUUACCUUCCCUACUACUAUAAAUAAAAACACAAUGAGUUGAGAUAAUAUACACCUUAGAAUUCACCAAAUUCUUUCUCUCCUUGCCGUCACACCCUUCUUUCCCUCCAACAGGGAUGGGGUUUGACGAGUUAAAUUGUCAUCCCUCCCACACCCAUCAAGGGUUGACCUCCCAAUUUUAAGCAUUAACAAUGUUAUUCUCCAUGUUACCAAUUGGUUUUAUAGUAGUGAAAUAUCAACUUUAUUUAGUAUUUUUCUUUUUGUUAUUUUCUAUUAAUUUUUCAGGAUGAAAAUUCAGUGCCAAAUUCACUUGUACAAAACUUGAACACAUGGAAAAUAUUGAGUUAAGUACAUACGUGGUCAUACCAUAUCACACAAUAUUUUGUAAGAGAUUUGGAAUCCAAAUUUAGUUAAAAUAAAGAGUGUUUUUUAGAGAAAUAGUACAAGGUUGAACACUGCCCCAACAUUUGAAAAGAAUUUUCAUAACACUACAUAAUUGUAUUUCGUUUAACGCGGACAAAACUAAGGCAUGGAAUAUAAAACUAUAUAUAUAUGUAUGUAUGUGUGUGUAUAUGUUUUUUUUAAUAGACGAUAUUAUUUACACUAAAGGAAUAAGGUGAGCUUAGUUUCAUAAUGAGUUAGUAAUAAUGUGUUUCAAAUUCGUCUUUAGCAAGAAUUGAAUCUAAGACAUCUCACUUACAAGUGAAGAGAAAUAUCAUUAGACUCAUGUGGUGUAUUAACUGCACAAGAAAACGAGAGCAAGGGAAAUUCCUUUUUUGAAGUGCUAAGCUAUCAUAUCUGUCAUCUAAAGUAUUGAUAAUUCAAAGGAUGUUCUCUAGACUGUCAAUCAUCUUAAAUUUGUCUAUUUAAACACGACAUUACACAAGCACUUCUUGUGUCGUCAAUGCAUGAAAAGAGACAUUUCGUUAAGAAAGAAAUUUAAAAAUAAUAAUAAUAAUAAAAAAAAGGUUAAAAAUAGACAUUUCAAAAGAAAUUAAUUUCAACGACGUCUUUUUGGUGGAAGGUUCAGUGGGUGGGACAAGGAUUGUCUGCCCUCCUUGUUUCCAUGCCCUUCCAUGCCCUCCUGAUUUAUGUGGUCAUGGUUAAGUCAUGUCAACAUUUUAUAUUGUAUUUUUAUAGAGAUAAUAAGACAAAAAUGAAUAGUAUGGAAGGGCACAGGAACAAGAGGGCAGACAAUCCUUGUCCUAGUGGGUGAUUCCCAAAAUGUAAAAUAUACAAUUCCAAGUGGCGAACACCAAGUUCGCCUUCGCCUAACAUGUUAGUUACUCUUGUCUUUGGUAUCUUUGAAGACACGGAUGAACUGAGAAAAACAAAUUCAACUAAUUAAAUUUGUUCAGACCGCGGAAUUGAAGUAUAGUUUCAAUCCUACGACCUAGCAGAAAAAUAAAUCAAUUAAAUAACGAGACGAGAAUACUAAAUUUUUUUACAAGAGAAACCUUCCACAUAUGAAGCAAAGAAAACCUUGGGCACACAGUCACGUGAUAAUAUAUCUAACAAGAGACAACUUACUUAACUGAGUUAACUAGAUGCUCAACUCAAAGCUUCCAUCAUUUGAAAUCGAAGGUCGUGCCAUUACCGAUGAUAGACUGGUUUGGUUGGGAGCAGUGCAGUCAGCUGCGAAGGAAGCUGUGAAUAACAGGAAGAGCAAUUUAGUUGUGAUCAUAAACGAAAAUGAAAAACAAAGAUAACCCAUGGAGCUUUUGUUCUUGAGCAAUGGUGGAGCUAGAAAUUUUUCACCAAGUAAGCUAGCUUAAAAAUUUAAAUCUUUAUAAAUAAAGAAACUUGAUACUAUAUUUUUUACAGUACUAGCUAGUUUAAGAAAAUUUUCACAAGGUGAGCCAAGAACUUUCGUUAUUCAAACAAAUGCAAACUUCUACAUGUACAAAAAGCAAUGAGAAAAAAGAUGUGAGAAAAAAAAAAUGGUUUGUAAACUGUAUUAUAUAAUUAAACUGAGAGAAUUUGAAUCAGGAACUAAAUAUAUGGUGAGCUACAUUCGAAAAUCAAGAAAAAUUACAUGUAAAAUUUUAUUUUCUACCGAAAGUUACCUGGGCUACACUCCAGGGAAGCCUUUAAUGUGGCUCCGCCGGUGUUCUUAAGCCUCUUGCCUACUGGUUUAUGUCAAGUUUAAGGAAGAGUAGCCUUUUGAUAUUAAGACAAAUUCUUUGCGGAUUUAAUGCUUUGUUGAAGGAAACAUGGCACCGGCAUUGACUAGUAAUGCAUGUUGGAGCAAUAUUAGAAAAUAUGAAGACUCCCAAUGUUGUUUAAAGAGGGAAGUUAAGGAACAAUCGAUUCGUCUGCCAUUGUUCACUAUUACAAAUUUUUAAUACAUGACGCAAUUUAUUGGUCAUGUUAAAAGUUUUAUGACGCAAGGGUUUAGCAUCAUCUCUGUGAGUGUUGUUGAUGCAUAAAAUUAACGAGGACUUUGAUACAACAGAAAGUGUUAAGUUUGUGACCUUCGCUAGAUUGCUCCGGUCACUAGUGUGGACAAGUAAGUAAAUGGAUAAGGACAGGGAAGCAAACACAAGAUGUACGUGGUUCACCCAGAUUGGCUACGUCCACGGAGUAUAGGAGUUCUCAUUAAUUGUGAAGGGUUUACACAAGUACAUAGGUUCAAGCUCUCCUUUAGUGAGUACUAGUAAAUGAUUUAGUACAAAUGAUAUUAGGAAAUAUUGUGAGAGAAUGAUCUCUAUUUAUAGAAGAGAGUUUCUAGUUUCAUUCUGACAUUGACACGUGUCGUGUUGUGAUUGGCUUUUGAUGUUAAUAUGUGUCGCGCUAUGAUUGGCUUCUGAUGUCGACACGUGUCGCGCUGUGAUUGGCCUCCUAGUUGGAGGGAAACUCUUCUGGGUCCUUGAUGGUAUAAUGUUGAUCGGUGCUCAGUUGUUUCCGGAUUGGUCAAGUAUGGUACUAACAAGUGUCAUUAAAGAUAUUUUUUAUGACGUUGAAGAGUGUCAUGUAUUACUUUUAAGAACGCCUAACAAGCGUUAUUGAAUUAAGAACUUGUGUCAACUAUUACCAUUUAAGACGCGUAAUAAGUGUCAUAAACAGAGUAAUGAGCGUCACAGUAUACUAAAUAUGACAUACGCACAAUGUCAUAUAUAGCUUCUAAAAGAACCUGACAAGUGUCAUUAAAUUAAAAUAACAUGUCAUCUAUUUCAAUUUGAGACGUAGAAUAUGUAUCAUAAACAAAGGAAUGAGCGUCAUGUAACCGACAUUGAAAUAAGAAUUUGUGUCAUCUAUUAUCAUUUAAGACGCCGAAUAAGUGUUAUAAAUAGAGGGAUGAGUGUCACAAUAUACUAAACAUGACAUACGCACAGUGUCAUGCAUAACUUAAAGACACCUACCAAGCGUUAUUGAAUUAAAAAAAACGUGUCAAUCAGGCAAACUGUGUUAGACCAAUUACAUAUAUUUACUGGAAAACUUAACUAAGAUCUAGGGUCAUUAGCUUUGAAAUCAAAGUUCAUCUCCAAGUAAAUGACUCAUCCGCAUGCACAAAUCAAUAAAAUAAAAACAUGAGCUAUAUGAUCAUUUAAAAAAACAGAGAAACAAGAUAAUCAAUGAAUAAUCAAUUUUACUCAGCAGUUAGCAGUAAGGGCGUCAACGGAGUGAUUUUAAAAGUAUGAAAGUUUACUAUGACCUCUAAUCAAACCUAUGAAUCCAACAAUUAAUAAUGGAUUUAUACAAGAAAACAAAUACAAAUGACAUAAAACAACAAACAAAUUGAAUGGUUCUCAGUGUGAAGAGAAGAUGAGGGAUGUAUGGACUGAAAAUAGCAAACAAAUACAAAAGACAGGAAACAGCAAAUAAAUGGAAUGUGCUUCAGUUCAUACUAAUAAGAUAGUAGCGAAUACACCCGCUUAAGUACUUUUUGUAAUAGUAGUACCAACCUUGGUAAUAAUUGAGCAAUUAAGAUCAUCAAUGAUUUUUUUCAUGUAUUUCAUCACAUAAUAUUCACAUUCUACAAUUCAUUCUUGCAAAAGGCACUACAUAUACAAAUAAAAAAGGACUUAGACUUGGCCACACAAUUAAACAGUCUCAAAUUUAAUACAAAUAUUAUAUAGUCUUCGUUAUUUAUGUUGGCAAAACAUUACUACAUUUAGGAGUAGAGACUUUUCAACAAACACAUACACGUUAUAUGAUUGUGAAUGGUCGUUAUCAACAUAAAAGUUAAUUCAUGGUCAAGGGGCCCUACUGCCGGCCAGUCAGUCAUCUAUUCAAAAACGAACGGAUCCUGGCGUGUUUACCAAAAUAAAAAGGAAAAAACUCCUUCUGGCUUCACCAAACAAAUUUUUUGUGACACUUAAUUUAGUUUACGUAUUUAGUCUACAUAUUUAAUUUAUCUAGCAUUACUUUUUUUUGUAAUGCAUGAAUUUCUACAAAAGUCCUUUUUAUAAGUUCUAAUUGAGUGUAAGAGGAGAGAGAUAGGAAAGUAUGAGUUAGAAAUUAAUUUAUUUUUUUAUUAUGAAAAAUAUGUUGCAGUCUUAGUUAGGAAUGUGAUUGUAUAAGCACUACGAAAUCUUUUUAGGAUUCUAUCAUAUUUUUUUAGACAGUAUCCUGUUUAAGUUGUAAUACUUAUUAGAUAAGAAAUUUACCUUUAUACUACUAUAAAAGAGAGGCAUAAUGGUAUGAGAUAAUACACAUCUCAGAAUCCACCAAAUUCUCUAUCUUGCUUGCCGCACCUCUCUCUCUACUGUAUAAUUUUUAGUUAAAUAGGUUUAUAACAAAAUAAAAAAUAUUUUCAUGUCCAAAAAAAUACAGUGAUUAGGAUUCUUUUCAUAUAAUUAUUGUAUUCUCUAUUGUAUUUGCACUAGGUUUUUUUGGUGUUGUAAUUUCUAUAUAUAAAUAAAUCCAAUGAGUCAUAAUUCCAUCCUCACAUUUCCCUACUAUUCAUUCUUUUUAAGUUUAAAUGGUUUCAUUGACCUAAAAAAGUUCAAAUGGUUUCGGUUGGUGGAAAGUUGAGUUUGUGAUUCCAACCUAGAAUCGGAAAUAUACAAUUCCAAGUGACAAACACCAAAUUCGCUUUUGGUAUGAAGAAUUUUCAAUCUUCCAUGGAUAUCUUCAUAUUAUGUAAAUACAAAUGUCCAUUACUUUUCAACAAUUUCGUUCUCUUACUUGGCGGCUGCUUCUCAUUGGGUCUAAUAUAAAGCAUCAUAUUGGCUUUUGGCAUUUUUACCAACAAGUUCAUACAUUCUUCCGAGAGAGAGAGAGAGAGAGAAGAGGAGAGAGAGAAAAGAUCGAUGAUGGCAAGAGUGGAGGAUGUGGUGAUAGUAGGGGCAGGAAUAGCAGGGCUGGCGACUGCCGUGGCGCUCAAGAAAGCUGGACUUAAAGCGUUGGUGUUGGAGAAAUCAGACAGCCUCAGAGUCACCGGUGCAGCUUUAACCCUCUUUCCCAACGCUUGGUGUGCCCUUGACGCCUUGGGUGUUUCCCACCACCUCACUUCUCUUUAUGCUACAAUAAAAAAGUGAGUGCUCGAAUCUCCUUCAUGUAUUAGACUAGUUUAAAAUAUCUCUGUCUGAAAAGAAACAUAGAAAACUAAUGUUUGGAUGCAAAGUCAGGAAGACUAAUACAUAUGUAGACACGCAUGAAGCUGAUCGCUGUUAUAAUUACAACCUGAAAGUCAAUGAGACUACUACAAUUACUGUCAGGAAUUUCUAACAAAGUCAAUCUUAACCACAUGAACCAUGUUUAAACUCAUAAUUCAACUUAUUUAUGCGUUGGGAAUGGUUGUCUGACAGGGGAUAUAUAACUAACAUUGAUACCGGAGAAAUCCAAGAAGUUUCUUUAGCCGCAUCCAAUGGGUAAGCGAACCAUAGUAUUGUUUAUUUGUUCAGUUUUACAGCUGGCAUGUACUGCUUUAGGAAUUUAGGACCUGAAUGUUGUCAAUCUUUUACAUGAAAUUUAGAAAUGACCUAGUUGGACCAAGAUCAGUACACCGAAAAGCUUUACUCAAGGCUUUGGCAGAUGAGUUACCACCAAAUUCCAUCCGUUUCGCUUCCAAACUUACUGCUAUCGAGGCCCAAGAACAUGAAGGCUCGUCCAUUUCAGUUAUUCACUUGGGAGAUGGGACAAUAAUCAAAGCAAAGGUAUAGUAACCAAAAUACACUGUUUAUAAGUAGUACAAUGAGAGAGUCACUCGUGGAAUUGUUAAAAACGGUGAUAUUUUUGUCUAGUUGAAUGAAUUCAAAGAAGGAGGAGUGAAAAAUACACAGUGAAAAGAAGAUUGGAAAAAUGGCAGCUUCUCUCUCUCUGCAAGUCACAGAGGAGCGAUUGGAAUUCUCACUCUACUUCUGAUAUGCACUCACACACUUACACAAAAAAAACUGUGUGGAGGGAAAAUUAUAGUUAGAAACAAUUGGAUCCUUUCUCUCACAGUACUUAGAUCACAACCGCUCAUCUAACAUGUAAUGACAUAAUAAAGAAAGACCAAAUAACCAAUGGCACUCAUGGCCUUUUACACAUAGGAACUUCACACUUGGCAUUCUUAGCACAAGUGAAUACACAUUUAAUCUCAACUUAUUGCUAAUACUCAAUCAGCUAGAGACUUAUAAUUCAACAGGAAUGCAGUACUUUAAGUUAUCUUUUUCUUUCCAUUAUAUUUUGUUUUAAUUGGAUGAUCAUCCGCUACAGGUUCUGAUAGGCUGUGAUGGGAUUCACUCAGUGGUUGGCCGCUCGUUAGGACUUGCCGAACCAGUGUAUGCAGGUCGAUCAGGAGUUCGUGGCUUGGCUGUGUUUCCUCAAGGCCACGGAUUGGACAAUAACGUGCAGCAAUAUGUAGGACUUAACAGAAGGGCUGGUUUUGUUCCCCUCAAUGACAAAGAGAUCUAUUGGUUCUUUGUCACAUAUCUGGCUAAAGGUUCAAAAUAAACCAUUCCCUUCGUUUUAAUUCGUGACAGACAACAAACUGAACACCUAACAAAACACCACACUUGUUUCUAUCGUUAUUGUAGGGGCGGAUCUUGCCAAUGAGCCGGAAGUUAUAAAACGAGAAGUGAUUGAGAAUUAUGCCAAGGAUCUUCCUCCUAUUUACCUAGACGUUGUACGGCACUCAGAUCUUUCAACAUUGUCAUGGGCUCCACUAAUGUUCAGGUACCCGUGGCAUGUAGUAUUCGGGAACCUAGGCAAGCAAAACAUCACGGUGGCUGGUGAUGCCAUGCAUCCCAUGACACCUGAUUUAGGACAAGGAGGUUGCUUGGCAUUGGAAGAUGCAGUGGUCUUGGGCAGAUACAUAGGGACAUCCUUUGUACAAAAUGGACAAAUCGUGCCGAAAGAGAUGGUUAGCGCGAUUGGGAAAUACGUGGAAGAAAGAAGGUGGCGUGUCGCGCUGUUGAUUGCAGGAUCAUAUUUAUCAGGAUGGAUACAGCAGCCGGGGUCUGGUGGGGUUAUGAAGUUCUUGAGGGAAACCAUAUUUUACAGGUUCAUUUUCAAUCAGCUUGUUAAACUUUCACGUUAUGAUUGUGGAAAACUUGAUUUCUAGCUAGUGCAUUUCAUUGUCCACAAGAAAGAAGAUGAUCAAGCUUCCCUCCUCCACGGCAUUAAAUUAUUGAUGAUCUUUCAACAAGGAUCGACCAGAGACAGGAAUCUAAGAAGAACAGGAAAGAUUUAUGGAACCUAGUAGCUAUUACAUAAAUUUAUAUUUUCACAUACCUCUGCUGCUUUGUUGACAAAAGGGUAUUUUGCAUUGUAGUCUGAGAUCAAUAGCUAAAUAAGCAGUAUAUGCUAGUUGUGUAUAAAUGCCAAAGGCCACAAUUUACAAAAACAGUGUGCUUUGCCCAGAAUUCUAGUACUGUAUGAACUAAUUUACAACAAAUAAAACGAUCCUUAUCGAGCCUCCAAACGAGUAAUGGAUAAUUUGUUGGUACAAAAUGUUUGAUUAUCUGAAGAUGAACCUGCUUCAUAUUAUUCCCUUUCGAUAAAGAAACCAGAUUAAUUAGGCUAAUCCAAUGCACCAUUAGUUCCCAACUACAAAGGGUAGUAGCCAUUUGGUUAUUAUUGUUGGGUUAACAAUGAUAUUACCAAUGAGAAUGUAAUGUAAGACGUACGAUAGAGAAGGCGAAUCUCCUAUACCUUUAUCAAUCACUUCCAAUGGGCUUCCUUCGUUCUAUAAUCGCCAUGCCUGAAAUAUGUCAAAGCUCCUUCAUCAUCCACCAUGUCAUCAGUUUAAUAUGUAAAAAUAAGAGUUGAUGUUUACAGUUAUUGCUACAUUUUUUUCAUACGAAGGUUCUACUCUAAGCGGGGUAGAUAUUUUACGCUAAGGGGAAGGAUUAGACUUAGCCACACAACAAUUCAACCAUAACUAGCAUCGAAUUCCACACAAGUAUUAUGUGCCAUCGUUAUCCAUGUGAGCUAGAUGUUGCUACAUUAAAGAAUACUAAGCGUUUCAACAAAGCUAGACAAGAAUGUCUUUACAGAUAUUUGAGCAAAAAUUAUGUACUUCUCUUAAUAGUUGUAGGAGGGCGCUGACAAAGCGAGACAAGAAUGCUUAAUACUUGAUCACUGUAGGGGCAAUUGUCAGAGUUCCCACCAGAUGUGUGGUGACUUUUGGAAGUUGUUUUUCGUACCUCCAGCGGCUCUAUUAUUGCGGGCGCAUCCAAACCUUGUUUGUCUUCUUUUGCUCUCCAAACUGAAGCUAAGGCAGCUCUGCUUGCUGUCCGUUCAGCGAUCGGUAACAAUUUCCAAGAUGUGGCCUGUGAAUCGGAUUCGCAGGAGCUCAUUAGAGGCAUCAAGGGUGACUUCAAGAAGGGACAUUGGACCAUCUUUCCCCUAUUAAUCGAAAUUCGGAAUCUCACUCAUCGCUUUCAUUGGAUUAGCUGGUGGUGGAUUCCUCGUCAAGCGAAUUUUGCAACCGAUUGGGUUGCUUGGCAUUGUAAAAGAGGGAUGCGUUCAGAUGUUUGGAUCAUAACGCCCCCAUCCUCUCUAUUCCCAAAGAUGGUCUCCCCUGCCCCUCUUAAACUAUGUGUACUUGAGAUGGGUGAGGAUAGCAGAUUGGACCAUAGCCCCGCUUUCGUGUUGUGCUCUGCUUUUUCUCCCCCGUCUUGGCUUCUGGGCGAGACCCAUUUUCCCACGUUUUUCUAAUUUUUGUAUGCUGCUCUGUUUUGUUUCUUUGGUAUUUUCCAUUUCCGGAUGGUUGUUUUCUCUCCUCGGCUUUGUCCCUAAUGAAGAUUCCCCAUUGGCCUAAAAAAAAGAAGGUAAAAGUUGAAUUCAUUAGUCUGAUACGUGAGCUUUUAUCGAUAUUCAAUAUAUCUAUCUAUAUUUUUACAAAUUUACAUAUAUAUAUUUUGACCGAUAUUGAUAUUUUAAACAUUUAUUAAAUCCAUUAAUGACCCAGAGGCCCUACUACACGUCAGUUAACAAAAACACUUUUCAUAAUGAAAGAAUUUCCAUUGAUUCUUUUAGACGAAAUUUCCAUUGAUUUCCAAGUCAUGUCUUUAUCAAUUAUAACUGGAUGACAUUCAACUCAAAUAUUGUCAAAUAAAAAAAAAAGAAAUUUGAUCUUUUUAUCUAUAAAUAAAUUUCAAAGUAGACUAAAACGUAGAAAUUUUGGAUUUUGGGUCAAGCGAUCACAUAAUUUACAUUUAUUAUGAUCAACAACAAUGUGGUUUAAUAUCUUAGUAAAUAGAGCACUAAGUUUCUACUCAUAUGUGACAAUUUAUAUUUUAAACAAAUAUAUUAAUUUAUUAAGCUAAGAACUUAAUUUGAACUUUCCAUUUUAACCGUUUUAGUCAGUUUUUUUUUAAGAAGGGAUUUUAUUUUUCACUGUUAAUUUAGUGUUUUUACUUUUUAUUCGUGCAACAGGCAUGUGGUUUAUUUUUUCACCGACUCUGGUUUCGAAGGUGAGAAAUCCUAUACAACUGAAGGUUGCAUGAUGGGCAAGUUGAAUCUCAUUUCUAUACAGCUUUAGGUUAUGUGAUGAGUUUGUAAUAAUUUAAGAUUACUAAAGAAUUCUAAAAUACAUAAAUCAAGAUUUUCUUGGAAAGAAUUAGAGUUGGCCGUGGAGCUCAAGCAGGAGUUUAUUAAAAGAGAAAUAACAGAAGGGAGCGACAAUAUGAGAAUAGUGAGUGGGCUCACGCUUUGUUGAGUGUUCACAAAAAUAUCUGAACUAUACUAUAGCUCAGCUAACGUGGAAUAACAUGGCUGUCGGUAAAUGAAACGAAAUCUACUUUUAUCAAUAUGUGAAACAUGAGCUAAAGAAACCUCCCAAAUCCACGGCCAAGUGAUCAAGUAUAGUCAGAAUUAGUUUUAUUUGGCUAACCCAGCAUAAGAAGAAAAUUCAAAUACGAAAAAUUUAAUGUGCUUCUAGAUCAUUAAUAUAUGAAUGAGAGAUGGUGGUUAGCAAACGUGCUACCAGUGAUGGAGAUAGGUGGGGGUGGUUGCGGCAUCGUGGUGAUGAUGGUGGCAGUGACAAACUAACAAUGGUGCCACUCAUGGUUAAGUUAAUUUUUAUCUUUUGCUAUUAAACUCUCACUCACAAAAAUUUGGAAAUGACAACUGUUUACAUGAAAUUUAAACUAGAAGAUUGGAGGCGCUGAAUUCCAAGUUUUUUGUUCCGCAUGGAAAUUCUAUUUUUAUCUUUAUGAAUCCAAAUACACUUUGCUUGGACGAGAAAAUUUUUAAGAUUACUAAGGAAUUUUAAAACCACGAAAAUUGAAAAUGAUGGAAUUUUAUUUUCUAAAAUUUGUGAAUUUUCUUGUUUGGGUAACGUAAAGGAACAAUAGAAUUUGUAAUUUUGUAAACUCUUACUCAUAUAAAUUUGAAAAUGACACCUAUUAUUGGAGCUCCCAAAUUCCAAGUUUUUAUCUACACGGAAAUUCUAAAUUUUUAUGUUUAUGAAUCCAAACAAGAGAAUUUGAGCAUGUUAAUUUAUAAAUUCAAACUUUUGUCAAAAUUCUAAGUUUAUUUCCCUCAUCCAAAUAUAAGAAAUUGGAAAUGACACCUAUUUACAUGGUUGGGAAUUUGAGGUCCCAAAUUUCAAGUUUUUUUCCACACAGAAAUUCUAAUUUCUAUGUUUAUGAAUCCAAACAAGAGAGUUAAUGCAUAUCAAUUUAUAAGUUAUGACUUUUUGUCAAAAUUCCAAGUUUAUUAUCCAAACAUAAGGAAUUGGUGUAUGUCAAUUUGUAAAUUUUGAUUUUUGUCCAAAUUUCAAAUUUAUUUACUUCAUCCGAACAUAGGGUUAGUGUAUUUAUAAAUUUAUAUAGGACACUUGUUUCUUGUUACUUGGUGUUGGUUCUUGAGCAGGAGAUUAAUUCAAAUUGAGAAAUUUGGGGGACGAUGUACUCUUUUAUGUUUAUGUGACAAUAAAGUUAACUAAUUUUCUAUGACAUAAUUUCUCACUUACCACUCCAAUUAAGUAGUAUUUACAUUUGUAGGUGAGAGAUUUUAAGUUUGAAUUUCAAGAAUAACGAGUUUGCAACCAAUUUAUUUCUCCACUCUCUUAAUGUAAAUAUAUUUUUGUAUAAAAAAGUAAGAAGUAUUAUGACAAUUUCUCAUAUGACGACGGGGUUUCCAAGGAAAGGUCUUAUCAAUGAUGUUCUAGUUGAGGAUAGCUCUACUUGAGUUAUAUUGUUUAAUGAUGUAUCUUUGUGGAGGAUAGUUAACUUUCCAAAGUUGUUUGUACGGGAUGCUCGUUUUAUUUUUGACUGGAUUGAAAUCUUCAGCAAGGUUUUUAGCGAAGCCCACUUAUGCACUCUAUCUUCCUUUUCUACAUCUUUUCUCUUAAUCGAUGAAUAUCGUACUUGCUUCUAAAAAAAUUCCAAUGGUAUACUGCAACAAUUGAACCGAAAUUAUAUAAUAGAUUAUGUAUAAUUAAUUUAAAUAACAAUUUCAUUAUACUCAUUUUAAAAAAGUGUAUAUUUAAGGUGUAGGAAGUAGGUAUAUUAAGGAAUGCUUAUAGACCCACCUUAUUGUCUUAUUGUCUUAUUUCCACACCUAGAUGUGCCCUGACAGUCAAUCUUUGGAAGAAACCUUUUAGGACAAUGUCUUAAUGUAUGGUUAAGUCUAAUACAUCAAAAAAAGGGCAAAGUCACUUAUUAGGACUAUCUCAAUGAACGAUAUACAUCCAAAAUUAGUGAGUCCAUGGACAAUGGAUCGAUGGAAGAAGUAAUCUAAAUAUGUUAGACUACAGAGACCUUCUUCACAUAACUAUAAUGUCCAAAAAGUUUAUAGUCAUAGGAUUGUUAGAGGGAUGCUGACAAUCCGAAUAGACUAAUACGUACUAUGUCUGCUUCAAUUGGAAGGAUGGAAAGUCUCAAGCCAUUUGUGUAGGGACACUAAGACAAAUAUGUAGGUGCUCGUUAAGGGAAUGAGUCCACUGAACACAAUCAAACAAGAGUACUUGCAUGAAGGUCUACUCACAUGUCAAGCAAGUAACUCUACUGGUUGGAAUAAUGUAAGUAGUCAUUUGACCUGAGACAUUAUAAUUGUCCAGUGGUUAGGUCCUUGAUCUUUAAUGGUGUCAAAAGGCAUUCCAUUCGAGAGUGUCCACGACAUUGUUGGGGUUAGGUUGCCUAAUCAUGUAGACAUGUGAAUGCUCAACAAGGAAUCUCUAAUCUUCAGUACAAGAGGAAGAAUACUCUAAGUUAUGAUUCGGGAAUCUUCGGCCAAAGUAUCGAGUGUAAUGAUGGAAGGCAUUCCUAUACGACUCAAUUAAACCAAUGAUAUAGUUUAAUCACAUUAGGGUUUUAACAUAAAGUAUCCAUACCCUAGUAAUGUGAUUGAGAGUAUUGAUUUAGAGAAGGAUCGAAUUACAUUGUAAUUCCAAUUGAAUAGGUUCUCCGACCAAAUUCUAUGUUAGCUUGGGUAGCCAUGAUAUAUGGUUAGAUGUCACUCAUGAAUUAUGGGUCCUUCUUGAUGAUUGAAAAAGUAGUCAUCAAAGAAGAAGGAAAAUUAAAAGUAAGUUUUAAUUCACUAAGUGAUUGGAUAAAUAUUAUUCAUUUGGAUUGGUAUCAAUCACUUCACUGCCUCACUAAUUAGAACCUAAAACGAUUGUACACCGAUACACUCUUGUGGUGAGACAACUAAAGGAUGAUGGAAUUAAUUAAUUGGAUUAAUUAGGUGCUAUGAUUAAUUAGAAAGUCUAAAGAAAUCAUAGAAGCAAUGAAAGAUCGUUUCGGGCUUAAAGAAAAGUUCGGGUUCAUUCGGGCCCAUUGGACCCAAACCCAUUGGGAUUUUUAUUCAAGCAUAGGAUGACUUGAAAUGAUAAAAACCCAAAGUCCAAACCAACACUAAGUGGUCGGCCAAGGAUGAGGAAAGAUGAGAGAGAAAGAGUCAAUUAGUUGACUUACUUCUUUUACCUUUGUAAAUGGAGUUUACUGAACAAAGUUUCAUUAGGGCUUUUGUGUGUUCUUUUCAACAAGAGAAAAAUAAGUCUCUCUCUCUCUCACUCUACACACACAUAGCCAGCCACCAAGAGGAGAAAAUAGCUAAUCAUCUCUUCUUCUUUUGGUUAUUCCAACAUCUAUCUCACUACACUAGUGGGUGUGGAUCUUUAGAGGUCUUUUAUACUUGGAGGCUUAAGGAGAACUAAGGAGCCCUAAAUCUUUAAGGUGAAGGAAGCAAGGAGGGAGGCUAGACUCAAGGAGUUCAAAGAACAAAGAGCUUGGAGGUGGUCUAUCAUUGGUCUAAAGUCUAGAUCAAGAGGUAACCUUCACUUUGUUCUUCAAUAUUUUGUUUGAUGCAUCAUAUAUGAAUCUAUCCUUCUUGAAAGGGAUUUGCAUAACUAUAGCUUUGAUAAUAUGUGAUAAUAUGCUUCCAUUGCUUAUGUAUAUAAAUUUGAAAUUGUAUAUGCGUGCUGGUCACUAGAACUCCCAUAGAAAUCUCAAAAUUUCCCUUCAAGUGGUAUCAGAGCCAAAGGUUUAUAUUUGAUGUCUCCUUUUAGAUUUUAUGCAUAUGUGUUUUGAUUUUAUGUUUGACAUAUUAUUUCUUCAUUCUAGAUAUGUUUAUCUUUUGUUUUUCAAGUGUUGAAAAAUGUGUUUCAAGAGUUGAAAAGGUUAUGUAUGCAAAAAGUGUUUUCGAUACAUGAAUGAAGAGUGAGUUUUUGAACAAAAAUUUGGGGCUUUUGUACCAUUGGGGAGGGCACUGUUUUUGUGAGGGGGGGUUGGCUUGUUCUUGUGUUUCUUUUUGAGUCACACACGCACACACACACUUUUAAGCUAGAAAGCCAAGGCCUUGUCACUUUUGUUUUUGGUUUGAAAAACCACAAAAAAAGUGCAAAUCUUGAAAUUGUAUUUAUGGUUUUGUUCUUGGUGUUCAUAUCUUUGUUCUUGAAGUUCAUACUUUGAUUUUGUAUUUGGGUAUUAAACUUUCUAUUAAGAACUUUCCUUGUUUUUCUCCAUCCUAGACUAGACUAGGAGACCAUACCCAAACCAUACCUUAAGGUAUCAUUUGGUAUGUAGAUGGGACAGGACGAAACAGAAUGGGACGAGACGGGACGGGACAGGACGGGACGGAACAGAGAGGGAGCAAAGAUGCCCUCGGAUGGAAACAAGGAGGAAGAAGAAGGAGACGGAGAGGUUAUAAUUUUGUGUUCCAUGGAUGUGGAAUGAGUCGUUCUAAGGGGUGAGGCGGAACGAAAAUUCACCCAAAAUUCGUCCCGUGGAAUAGCGCAUUCCACCCAUUUUAGGCGCACCAAACGUGGGACAGAACGCCUUGUCCCACUUCGUUCCGUCCUGUCCCACGUACCAAACGGUACCUUAAGGUCAACAAGUACAAAAGGUGAUAAGGAAAAGUAUGGGCUCUUAUUUUCUUUUGAAAUAAAGGGAAAAAGUUUGACAUUCUCCCUCUCCCCAUCACCAUAACCGGCCAUACCAAAUGAUGAGCCCUUUGUGGGCUCUUUUGAAAUUUUAAAAGGUUGUUUAUACUUUCUAGUAUUUGCGGUUUGACCCAUAACUUUUAAUAUUUGCAUUUUGGGCCCCACCUCACUAGAGAACAAAAAUAUAUUGAUAUUUUAUUUUUGUUUGUAGUUUAAACUCAUCAUAAAAUUAUACCCAUAUGUACUAAAUCUAAUUGAUUAUGUUGCAUUCCAAUUUAAUUUUUUAAUGUGAUUAAGUAGUUAGAAAAAUGGUUGACUAUGGACUUGUGCCUUAAAUGAUAAUUGAGCUAUGAGAAAAGCCGGUAAAUUCAAAUGGUUUGAACCUUGGAAAUGUGUUUUAAUUACUAAUUCAAUUGGACCACAACACGUUAGACGUUAAUCUUUUUCUCCCUCUUAGUAUAUGUAAUUUGUAGGAAUUUGUACAAAUUGGUUUGUAAUUCUUAUGACUUCUUUAUCUCUUUCAAUUAGUUGAUUCCCACUAGUACUGGACUAGAGUUUCUUUAACUAUUGGUAAGGAGACAUAUUAAAAGGAUUUUUCAUGAGAUUAAAGAUUUGUUGGGUCCAACACCCUAAUUAGCAAUGAAUGAUUAUCUUUCGUUUCUAAAGGCUCAAUGAAAAAAUCUUUUAAUUGGAUUGAAAGAGCGUAAUUAAAACAACACUACCUUCCUUAGAUCUUAUUCAGCAAUGUUGGCUCGUUGUUAAAUCAACCUUAAAAGUCCAUAGUCAUCCAAAGAGCCUAAGAUAACUAUAAAGUCCAAAUUAAAAAGGAAUGUAAACUUCUGUUAGUAGUAGUAUAUACUUCCAAUAUUUUGAAAAAUUGUUUUAAUAUUGAUUUGUUUUGCGAAAACGAAUAGUGGGAGUAUCAUACGCUACUAAACUAAAAUGAACUUAAUUAGUAGUUAUACAUAUCUCCAAUAUUUUGAAAAAUUGUUUUGAUAUUGAUUUGUUUUGUGAAACGAAUAGUGGGGAUAUCAUAUACUACUAAUCUCAUUUGCUUUGGACUAGUAGCUGUAAUAGGACACAAUUUAUUUCAAUAUGAUUAAAUAAAUAAAAUGAUGAGACCUUAAAAUCCCUCAAUCAACAUCCAAUAUUAAGUUGAAAGCGAAGAGGUGCUUUGAAUACUUCUUUGUGGCCUUCCACUAUAGUAGGCUCCAAUCAUUUAUGACUCAUACACCGUCUUCACCCUAUCAAGGGGGAGUUCAAAGUAUGUGCUUAUACUCAAGAAGAGUCUAUUUCAACAUUUGAUGUGGUGAAGGAAUGUGACGAGUAUGGCCAACAUCAUAUCAUUGUGAGGUCAUACUUGGACCCCUAUCGGAACCGUCAUGGUGGGUCAAAACUUAACUAAGAGAAAUGGUGCCAACUUCAUAUCAUUGUGAGACAUUGCUCUCUAGAGGCCAAUUAGAUGGGUAUUCAUAAGAGGUUGUUGUGAAUGGGUAACUUUACCCUCUAAUUAUUAUUUUUGCUAACGAACAUCAUAUCAUUAUGAGGUGGGCUUGGUAAUAGUGAGCCUCCCAUAACCCACUGGGAGCUUUCUUUGAAAUAUCCCAGAUUCCAUCUUGAGGGAUAUGAGAUUUGCCAAAAAUAGUGGGUGGUGUCAUUCGAUUUAAAGACUCGAAUCGUUUGACUUAAUCAACAAUCAAACUAAUUUAUUUUAUUGUUAUGUAUUUAGAUAUGGUUGGAAAUGCACUAUCAAAGAUACUCAACAAGCAUUACCUUGAGGGGCACAAUUUCCCAUCUUGGUACCGUAAUGUCAAAAUUCUCCUAACCUUGGAGAAAAUUGUUUACGUACAAGACAAGACUCUACCUCACAUACCUCCUGGCCCUGAGGCCACUGAGGAUGAGCGUGCUAAGUAUGACAAGCACGUUGAGGAUGAUACAUAAGCCAAUUGCUAUCUGUUGGUUUCCAUGAAUGAUGAGCUGCAGAGACAACACGAGGGUAUGGACAAUGCAUCCUCCAUUAUACUCUAUCUUAUGGAGUUAUAUGGUGAAGGGACUCGCAACCGUUGCUUCAGCACUAUCAAUGAACUUGUGAAGACCAAAAUGGUCAAUAGAGCUCAAGUGCAUCAGCAUGUAUUGAAGAUGAUUGGAUUCAUUGAACAAUUGGAGAACUUAGGUACUCCACUUGACGGGGAAUUGGCCUAAGACUUCAUCUUGGCUUUUCUUUCUGAUUCGUUCUUGCAGUUCAUAAUGAACUACAAUAUGAACAUGAUGGAUAUCACUCUUUCUAAGUUACUAAAUAUGUUAAUAACCGCUGAGAGGACUAUGAAGAAAGAGAGCGUUGUAGGGAUUGCAGCUAUCAUCCACAACAAGCCAUCCACUUCUAAGGCCAAGUCGAAAGGCAAAGGCAAGGGGAAGGAGAAGAAGUCAUCCAUUCCUAAGGCCCAAGGAGAAGUGAAGAAGAAGAAGGAAAAAGAGCCCAAGGGACCUUGUUUCCACUAUGGAAAUGACGGGCAUUGGAAGAGGAAUUGCAGGUCUUACCUCGCAUCUCUUAAGGACAAACCACAAGGUAUGAGUUUGUUCUUACGUUGAAUUCUAAUUGUUAGAUCUUCUAAUUUUAUAUGAGAUAUAAAAGGCUAAUCACUUAUGCAAUUGUAUGUAGGUGAAGCAGCCAAGUAGAAGAUGGACAAGUAAGGAAGAAGGAUGGAGAAGAAGAGUUCAAUCCAUUAUUUUUUGCUACUACUUAGGAGGACAUUAGGCAUUUAAAGACAGUCUUUAACUUGCUCUUCAAUUUGUUAAGAACUUAUUAUGUGGCUUCAUGUGAUGGAAGAUCCAUUUUGGUGCCUAUGUGAAGGCACAUAAUUAGUCUCUAAUGUUAGAGCUAAUACUUUCGUAUUAAACUUUAUGAAUGUUUAACUUAUUGUAUUAAUGUAAUAUGGUGAAUGCCUUCUACUAUAUUUGUUCCUUAAAGUAGUGUUAUGAAUUGAAUAUUGUCUAGUUAUAUUUAAGAUGAAAUACAAAAUAAUCUAUCACUUACAUAAUGUGAUAACCAAACUUUAGAUCUAUCAAUUAAAGAUAGGUCUCACAUGUUGGCCUUAGAUGGAUACAAUGAAUCUUUAGAUUUGGUUCCAAUUGCCUUCAUAUGAGUUCUAUAUGUAUUGAGAAAGUCUAGAGAUUCCUUUCUAGUAGAAAAGGAAGAUCACAUUAUAAUGAAGUGAAUAGGACAUAAGAAAACAUUUCUUAUAUGGUUAUAACUUACUUGAGCACAAUCACCAAGAUCACUCUUGGUUCAACUAGUAGUUUUGAACAACUAAUUGGACACUCUUAAAUUGUCUUAAGAAAUGUCAAAUGUGUCAGUAGUAACCAAACCAAGAAUAAGUGUCUAAAAUCUAUAAAAGGUUUAAAGACCUUAGUCACUUAAUAACAAGACAUCAACUUAAUGGAGUUAAAAUGAUAAGCUUGAAAGGUUUGAAGCUUCUCCACUAUGUCCUCUACCCGUGUAUUCAUAAUUGUACAUUUUGAAUGUAUAAUGCAAUUUCUCAUUAAGGUCAUGAGAAACAGUGGGAGGUGAAAAUGGAUAUAAACUUAAAUAUGAUAUGUCUUAUCUCAUUAAGGUCAAGUGUUAAAGAUUCUACGUUGUGUAACAUCCUAAGGGUGACUUAUGGAUGUUGGUUUCGCCAACCUAGCAUAUAAUGGGUAUGUUGGGAGUUGUCCGUCAUUCUCUUUUAUGAGAACAUGCUAAUAUCAAAGAAAAUGGACAAGUUGAUGAAACAAAAGGGAAUAGUUUCAAAUUGAGUCACAACAUAGUGUUUAAUGACAAGACAACCCAGUUUCGGCACCUCAUGUAACUAAUAUGCUCUAUGUAGUUUUGAUGAAGAAUUAAAUCAACCACCUAGAUGGUAUGGUUGAAUUCCUAUAUCCUUAGUAGGAGCCAUGCUUCCACUAAUGAUUUGGAUAAUUCUUAUAUGACUACUUUAAAGAUCUUAGUAUGACUAAAACUUGAAGUAUGGUGUUUGACACCAUACAAUUUAAAUGAAUGGACUUGAUAAAAUAAGUCACACAUAUCAAAUGGGAUUACUUGAGAAGGAAUUCUUUUGAGUAUGUUCAUUUAAAUAACUUGUGUUAGCUAGAGUUGUUGAUUGUCCCAAAACUGUUGAGACAUCAUCAAUAAGCUAAUGCAUCUUAAAGAUUAUCAAUAAGCUAAUGACUUGAAAUGAUAAAAACCCAAAGUCCAAACCAACACUAAGUGGCCGGCCAAGGAUGAGGAAAGAAGAGAGAGAAAGAGUCAAGUAGUUGACUUACUUCUUUUACCUUUAUAAAGGGAGUUUAAUGAAAAAAGUUUCAUUAGGGCUUUUGUGUGUCCUUUUCAACAAGAGAAAAAUAAGUCUCUCUCUCUCUACACACACAUAGCCGGUCACUAAGAGGAGAAAAUAGCUAAUCAUCUCUUCUCCUUUUGAUUAUUCCAACAUCCAUCUCACUACACUAGUGGGUGUGGAUAUGUAGAGGUCUUCUAUAUACUUGGAGGCUUAAGGGAGCCCUAAAUCUUUAAGGUGGAGGAAGCAAGGAGGGAGGCUAGACUCAAGGAGUUCAAAGAACAAAGAGCCUGGAGGUGGUCCAUCAUUGGUCUAAAGUCUAGAUCAAGAGGUAUAAAACUCAACCUUAACUUUGUUCUUCAAUAUUUUGUUUGAUGCAUCGUAUAUGAACAUAUGCUUCUUGAAGGGGAUUUGCAUGAUUAUAGCUUUGAUAAUAUGUGAUAAUAUGCUUCCGUUGCUUAUGUAUAGAAAUUUAGAAUUGUAUAUGCAUGCAAGUCACUAGAAAUCCCAUAGAAAUCUCAAAAUUUCCCUUCAUGCUAAUAUGCCUAUCUCUAUGUCUUAUUUCCCACCUAAUGCCUAUCUCUAUGUUUUAUUUCCCACCUACUUAAUAAAAUUGUAUUCACAAGUUUUUCCAUUGACAAAAUGAGGUAUAAGGACAUAGAAACCUGGCCAAGUGCAACAUUGCGAUUUUUAUUGUUCCAAGGAACUAUUUUGCUCUCUCUGGCUCCUUUUUUUUUCUAAAUUUUUUUUUACCGGAAUUGAAAGAUAGCGUGGGCUGGUGUUUGUCACUAGGAAGGGUGAUGGAUGAUAGGGGACUUGAUAGUUGUCGGCGCAUCGUGGAUGAUUUGGGAGAGUGAUGGAUUUAUUUUUAUUUUUGUUAGUUUUAGUUUUUCUUUAUUUUGGUUUAAUUUAUUUUGUAAGAUUGUGAGUAUAAAAUGUGAGGUAGAACCGGUUAUAGUGUUUGAGAUUGAUAUGGAAAAGUCUUGAUUAAAGCUAUUUGGUUAUCCUCAAUGUUUUAGGAUAACAGAAUUGUGUGAAGUUCAAUGGUUUGGGAAAAGAACUUAGUGUUGGAACUCUAUUUGGUUUCAUAGUUCUUUAUGGUUUGUAUAGUUUGAAUCCUAGACUAAUUCUGAUAGGGAAUAAGUUAGAGGACUACUAUAUAUAUAUAUAUAUCUGUAUCUAUACACUCAAACAACUGCUCUUGCAAUUUGGUAGCUUAUUUUGUCCAAGACCUAUUGACUAAAAGAGCUAUUAUUUUGCCAAAGAGGAGAAGGUUUUGAGCAAGCUGCAAUGGCUUCAUCAUUAGGAUCGAAUAAUGCAGGUAUGUUUUAAAGAUUUUGUUCUUGAGUGUGUUUAAUAAAAAGGCUUAUAUAAAUCGCAUAAUGGUGUCGUUUUUGUAAAAUGUUUAAUAACUAAAAUUUGACCAUUGGGAAAUAUGGGAUUUUGUCUUUUCAUUCUAUUCUUUGAAGAGGGUUCUCCCUCAUCGUCUUUGAUGGACCUUUCUCUUCCUUGUUACUUGUCUAAAAUAUAGUUUUGAGUCAAGAUAGAUGCUAAAGUAGACAAAGACUUCUUGUUGGUUCGUGUGUGUGUGUGUGUGUGUGUGUGUAUGUAUGUAUGUUGUCAAAGACUUCUUGUUGGUUCAUGUGUGUGUGUGUGUGUGUAUAUAUGUAUGUAUGUUGUACAAUCUGUGUUGAUCAAUUUUGCAGAAGUUUACUAAAUCUCAUUGAGUUGUUUACUCUAUAUAUGUCUUUGAAAAUAAGAUCAUAUGUAUGAGUAAGUUGAUUCAACAAACAAUUUUUGGGUAGUGAAAAGAUAGAAAUCAAGAAUCUUCAAGAUUCAUAGUGCUAAUUUCAUUGAUGUCUAAUGCAGUUUCACUAAAGUCACUCAAUUUAGCACCAGUGCCAAUACUCACUAGUGGAAGCAAUUACAAAAAAUGGAGAAAAGAGAUUGAAUUACUUAUGACACUAAAUGAGUAUGACAUCGCCCUUGAUAAUCCACAACCUAAGGCCAUGACUAAUAGAAGCACCAAGGUUAAGAAGACUGACUUUGAGAGAUGGACUAGAGCCAACAAAGUGGCUCUAUCCAUAUUGGAAGGUGACAUGACUGACACUGUGCGUGGUGGUAUCAAAAAGUCAACUUUUACCAAAGAUUACCUCCAAGCCAUUGAGAAUAAAUUUAAAGAACCAAAGAAGGCUGAGAUUGCUCAAUAUAUGUCUCUUUUAACUUCUUACAAGUUUGAAGGAGGAGGCUCAAUCAAAGACCACAUUAUGAAAAUGACUGAUGCAGCUGAGAAGCUGACUUCCAUGUAUGUUAACAUUGGGGAAAAACAACUUGUUUUCAUGAUACUGCAAGCAUUACCACAGAAAUUUAGUCAACUUAAAGUGUCCUAUAAUACUCAAGACAAGACUUAUACUGUGGAUGAACUCAUUGCUCAAUGUGUGCAAGAAGAGAACUAACAAAAGCAAUAGAAGGGCAAGGAAUCUGAGACUGUCAAUUUUGGGAAAGCUACCAAAGGGAAUAAGGAGGCAAAUUUUGGUAAAACUUCUAAAUCUCAGACUUUUGAUAAAACUGUUAUGCCUGCUAAAAGUUCUAGUUCCUCUAAGUCUAACAAAUUUAAAGUGAAAACUAAAAACAUUGAAAAAGUAAAAUGUCAUCAUUGCAAAACUAAGGGUCAUUAUAGAAAAGACUAGGAAAUAUUCAAGGAUUGGCUGAGAUCUAAGGGUAGAACUGAUAUCUAUGUCUGUGAGGAGCAAAUCUUAUAGAUACUCCCACAAACUCUUGGUGGUUUGAUAUUGGAGCAUUUGUGCAUAUCACUAAUUCUUUGCAAGGUUUUAAGGAACAAAAGAAAACAAGUAGUUUUAAUGUUUUCGUGGGGGAAGGAACCAAAGUGUCUAUGGAGGCCAUUGGUACUGUCAAGUUGAAAUUAGAUACUGGUUUAACAAUGCAGUUGAAAGAUGUGUUAUAUGUGCCUAAUGAGGAAAAAUUUGGUUUCUGCAUCAAAACUAGUUAAACAAGGCUAUGUAUUUAUGGGAGAUGCUGAAUGUGUCAAGUUUUUUAAAAAAGGAUCUUUGCAGGGAAAAACAUUUUUAUAUGAUCAUCUUUGGAAAUUACAGUGCAAUGUAGAUUUUGAAAACUUGCAUGUUUUAAAUACUGCCACUAAAAGGAUGCAUGCUUUUGAUCAAUCCUUUAUGCUUUGGCACAAAAGAUUAAGACAUACUUCAAAAGAAAGAGUUUUUCAAUUAUGUAAAUUGAACUUAAUCCCUGCAAUUGAUAUUAAAACUGUUACUGUAUGUGUUGACUGCAUAAAAGGCAAGAUGACUAAUGAUAGAAAGUUAGAUGCCAAAAGAAGUCAUGGCUAGCUCAAAAUCAUUCACACAGAUAUCUAUGGACCUUUUCCUAUCAAAAUCAUUUGUGAGAACACUUAUUUUGUGAACUUUAUAGAUGACUUCUCCAGAUUCACUUACAUUUACCUUAUUAGUGAGAAAUCUGCAGUCCUUGAAUGUUUCAAAGUUUUUAAAAGUGAAGUUGAAAAACAGUUAAAUCAUGUGAUUAAAAUUGUUAGAUUAGAUAGGGAAGAGGAAUACUUUGGUAGGCAUACAGAGGCAAGGCAACAAAGGGGUCCAUUUGCUCAUUUUCUUGAAAGUCAAGGGAUUGUGGCACAAUAUACCACUCCUGGUACCCAUAAUAGAAUGGAGUGGCAGAAAGGAGAAAUAGAACUCUUAUGGAAAUGGUGAGAAGCAAGAUUUCAAGAUCAAAGCUUCCAAAUUUUCUUUGGGGAAAGACAUUAAAGUCUGGAAAUUAUAUUCUCAAUUGAAUGCCAUCAAAAUCUGUACCCAAGACACCUUUUGAACUAUGGCAAGGGAUAAUACCAAGUUUCAAUCACUUCCAUGUCUGGGGCUGCAAAGCAAAGGCAAAAUUCUACAAUCCAAGUAAAAAGAAGCUAAACUCUAGAACAACUACAUGUUUUUUCAUUGGUUACUCAGAUAAGUCAAAGAGUUUCAAGUUCUAUUGCACACAAGCAUAUACAAGGGUUCAAGAAACUCACAAUGCCAUUUUUUUGGAGGAUGAAGAUGUAUCAAACAUGACUAAAGAUAAAUUUGGUUUUGAGGAAAUAGUGCAGUCAGAUAAUUCUUCUUCACAACUAAACUACAAUCAAGUACCUAUAUUUCAAAGGUCUCACUCAGAAAUUGCCGACUUUGAUGAAGGCAUGGCAGAGCUUGAGAAUACAAAUGCUAAGAAUACAAGUAUUGAGGAUUAAGUAGGAAUUUAGGAUCAAAAUCUCAAUGUUCAAACUACAGAGAAUUUGAUUGAUCAACCACAACUAAGGAAAUCUAAUAAAGUAAAGAAACAUGUGAUCUCAAAAGACUAUGUGUACCUCCAAGAGAUAGAAUUUGAUUAUGGUGAAUUGAUGACCCUGUGACUUAUAAGCAAGCUAUGAAGAGUCCUCAGGUAGUUCUAUGGCAGCAAGCAAUGGCAUAAGAACUUGAUUCAAUGUCUAAAAAUAGUGUUUGGUCUAUAGUGAAGUCGCCAGCUAACAAUAAAUCAAUUGGACGUAAGUGGGUGUUUAAGACCAAAAGAGAUGCCGAGGGAAGAGUUGAGAGAUUCAAAGCUCGAUUAGUUGUAAAGGGAUUCACAUAAAGAGAUGGUAUUGAUUACAAUGACACCUUAUCACCUAUUUCUUCCAAGGAUUCUAUGAGAGUGAUAAUGGCAUCGAUAGCACAUUUUGACUUGGAACUGCACUAGAUGGAUGUAAAAACUGCAUUCUUGAAUGGUGAACUUGAUGAGGAGAUUUUUAUGUCUCAACCUCCUGGAUUUGUUGAAAAGGGGAAAAAAGAUAUGGUCUGCAAGUUGAACAAAAUUUGAUCAAGUUGAUCAAGUUGAUCAAGACAAUGGUUUCCAAAAUUUGAUCAAGUUGAGGGUUUGUUGAAAACAAGAUGGAUGAUUGCAUCUAUAUCACGUCCAAGGGAUCUAAAUUCAUAUUUCUUGUCUUAUAUGUUGAUCAUAUCUUGCUUGCAAGCUUGGAUAUGCAACUAUUGAAAGAAACCAAAAGCAUGUUGAGCACAAAUUUUGAAAUGAUGGACCUUGGAGAAGCUCACUAUGUUCUGGGAAUUGAAAUUGUGAGAGAGAGAAAACAAAAGCUUCUUGAUUUAUCUUAGAAGGGCUACAUAGAGAGAGUACUUAAUAUGUUUAACAUGGAUAGUUGUAACAAGGCUAAUGCUCAUGUGAAUAAGGGUGAUAAAUUCUCUCGAGAUCAAUGUCCCAAGAAUGAACUUGAGACUAAGUUAAUAAAUAUGAAACCGUAUGCUUCAUUAGUUGUCAGUGUUAUGUAUGUUAAUAUCUGCACAAUACCUGAUUUGGCUUUCACUGUUGGACUUUUGGGAAGAUUUCAAUGAAAUCCUGGAAAAGCUCACUGAGUGGCAGUUAAGAAGGAGUUAGAUAUUUGUAGAGAACUAAAGGGUUUAUGCUAGUUUAUGGGCACAAUGAUUCAUUGGAGUUGAUUGGAUUUACUGAUUUAGAUCUUAUUGGGGAUGUGGAUGAAAGGAAAUCAACUGUUGGAUAUAUUUUAAGCUAAGUGGAAGUGCUAUGUCAUGGAAGAGUGCUAAGCAGACUAUAGUGUCAACUUCAACUAUGGAAGCUGAAUUUGUAGCAUGUUUUGAAGGAAUGAAGCAAGCUGUUUGGCUCAUAAACUUAAUUGUUGAUAUGAAGCUUGUAGAUUUAGUUAAAAGGCCUAUAAAGAUGUUAUGUGAUAACAAUGUUGCUGUAUUUUUCUCAAAGAAUAACAAGAGGACUUCAGCUUCAAGGUUAAUGGAUAUGAAUUUCCCGAAAGUUAGAGAAAUGGUCAAGAAAUGAGAGAUUGAUAUUCAGUACUUAUCUACUAGUGCAAUGAUUGCAAAUACUCUUACUAAAGCCUAGCCAAACAAUGUAUUCAAAGAGCAUGUUACAAAGCUGGGGGUUGUGGAGUCUUUUGAAUAGUGGGAGUCAACUACUUCGAAAUUGGAAGACUAUUGUGAUGUUUCAUUAGUGUAUCAUUGAGGCAACAUGUCUUCACAAUUAGGUAGUUUAUUUUGAUUUUGAUUAAAUAUGGUAGUAUCUGUUUAGCUAGUUUUACAGCUUAUUUUGGUUUUCAAUAAGUGUUCAAUUCUUCCAGUAAUGUGAUCAAUUGUUCCAGAAAAUAAGCUGACAGUGAGCUUGGGCAAAAUUUUUUAUGAGAACAAGAGAAAGGGAAUUUUUCGUGCACCAGCACCGAUUUGAGCGCUGCUAGGGAAGUGAGACAUGAACAAGAUGUGUGUUCUUCAUAAUGACUUUGGUCAUACUAUCAAUGAUUGUCGAAGCCUCAGGAACCAAAUGGAUGCUAUGCUGAAGAAGAGGAUGCUGUCAUAGUACUGCAUGGAAUCAAGAGAUGAAUGUAAGAAUGACGGAGGACUUAAAGUAAUAAUAGGAAACAUUGGGGCCGAUGAGAGACUAUUGGAUAUCAAUGUCAUACAUGGUGGACCCUAACUCCUUGAUGACGAGAAACACGCUCUCAGUCGCAAGGACGAGAAGUCUAGACGAGUACACAACAUAACAUCAGCCCUUGAAGCAUCCAAAGCAUUAGAGAAUCUCGGAGUUAUCUCCUUUAACGAAAAAGACCUCUUAGGAAUUCAAUUCCCUCAUAAUGAUGCACUAGUCAUCAAGAGUGAAAAGGAUAAUGAUUGAUAAGGGAGCAGCAUAAACGUUCUAUUCUGGAGCACAUUUAUAAUGAUGAAAUUAGACGAGAAAAAGAUAAGGCAAAAUCCAACUCCCAUUGAUGCGUUUGAAGGAACGAAAGGCCGACUCAUUAAAGAUGUGACUAUUCCCGUCACUGCAGCAGGUAAGACCUUUUUUCAUCAUUUUUGUCAUUAUCAAUGCACCAAGUGCGUAUAACGCUAUCAUGGAAAAGGACUAGAUCCAUCAAAUGGAUGGAGAAGAGUCAACCAGAUGUCAAGUGAUGAGGUGUUUGUCGACGAAUGGUCAAACAACAAUCAACAUCAAAGGGGAUCAACUGAAGGCCAGAAAGUGCUACAGCAUGGCUACAAACAUCAAGACAGUCAGGAAAGUGCAACAGAGCUCGGACUUGUAUAAGAAUAAACCAUUAUAACAAUUAAUGGAUGACCAAUCAUAACAUGAUCAGAAAAGUGACGAUUAGGAACCUCCGACUAUAGAACCACUAGGGGAAGAGGUUUUGGAUCCAACUGAUCUUGAGAAACAAAUUUGGGUAGGCUUAUUCCUAUCUAAUAUGGAAUUCGAAGAGUUGCUAAAAUUUCUAAGAAACAACAUGGAUGUUUUUGCAUAGUCCUAUAGAGACAUGCCGAGGAUUGACCCAGAUGGGGCAUGUCACCAGCUAAACGUUGAUCCGAGUUGUCCUUCACACUGACAAAAGCAUAGGAGAUUUGCACCAAAGUGAAAUCAUAUUAUCAGGGCAGAAGUCAAUAAACUCCUCGAAGUUGGAUUCAUUCUUGAUGUCUGGUGCCCAACUUGAGUUUCAAAUGUUAUAGUGGUAGGAAAGAAAGAGAAAGAAAAAUGGCGCGUAUGUUUGGAUUAUAGCAACCUAAAUAGGACAUGUCGGAAAGACUACUUUCCAAUUCCAAAAAUUGACCAGGCGGUGGAUGCUACGGUCGGGUACGUACUAUUGUCUUUCUUAGAUGCUUAUUUCAGUUAUAACCAAAUUCUUAUGGCUGUUGAAGAUCAAGAAAAAAAAUUACUUUUAUCAUUAAGCGUGGGUUGUAUUGUUACACCGUAAUGCCUUUCGGACUCAAGAAUGCCGGCUUGACUUAUCAAAGGUUAGCGAACAGGAUAUUUAAAAAUCAAAUUGGAAAUACAAUGGAGGUUUACAUUGAUGAUAUGGUCGUCAAAAGCCAAAAAUGGUGCCAACAUAUCGAUCAUCUACACAAAACUUUUGACGUAUUGAGAAGAUAUCGCAUGCGCCUAAACCUAGCAAAAUGUGCAUUCAGUGUAUAAUUUGGGCAGUUCUUAUGGCACAUAAUGAACAAACAAGGCAUUGAACCAAAUCCAGCAAAAGUUGAAGCCUUGUGUAACAUGCUGGAUCUAAUAACACUUAGAGACAUUCAAGUGUUAAUUAGGCGAAUUGCAGCCUUUAGCCGUUUCAUUUCAUGACAUUCGAUUGAUGCAAACCUUUUUUUCAAGCCAUACAAUACAGGGGAUGAAGUGUGUGGAGGCAUGAGCAAAAGGAAGCUUUCGAAUAACUGAAGAAGUAUCUCACAAGCCCAUUGUUGUUGAUUAUCCCCAAACAAGGGGAGUCGUUAUGCAUGUACUUGGCCGUAAGUGAAGAAGCAAUAAGUGUUGCGUUAUUCAGAGAGGAAGGAAUGGUUCAUCAACCCUUAUUUUAUGUGAGCAAAAGUUUAAUUGAUGCAGAGAAGAGGUAUUUGCCCACUGAGAAGUUGGUGUUGGGCUUAGUAACCGCAAAGAAGAAGCUUCGUCAAUACUUUGAGGCACAUACCAUUGUGGUGUUAACUAAUCGAUCGAUUAGGGCUAUCUUAUCUAAACCAGACUUAUCGGGAAGAAUUACGAAGUGGGCCAUCAAACUUAGUUCAUUUGACAUAAAGUAUCGGCCUCAAAGCGCAGCCAAAGGACAGGUAAUUGCUGACUUUCUUGUAGAGUGUUAUCCACGUGAAAGUUUGUUGGGUGAAUGCGAGGAAAUUAUGGAAGUCGACCCUAGUGAAACCAAGUGGGAGCUGUAUGUGGAUGAGUCACCCAAUUAAGCAGGAACUGGGGCAUGGGAUGAUUUUAAUUUCUCCUGAGGGUCUAGAGUGUUUAGUUCGGUUGGAUUUACCUAUAUCAAACAAUGUGGUAGAAUACGAAGCCCUGAUACUAGGCCUCGAACUUGCGAAACAAUUGAAGAUAAGCCAUCUUACCGUGCAUAGUGAUUCACAAAAUGCGAGGAUUGAGGCAUAUCAAUAGCUGGUUAAAGGGCUAGCGGAUGGAUUCAAGUAUUUUGAACUGAAGUAAAUACCUAAAGAGAUAAACGAAAGAGCGUACCAGCUAGUGUGCACAGCGUCAGCUGCACAAGAGAACCUACGGGUAACCGAAGUAGAAUGUCUGUACUCUUUGAGUAUUAGAGUAGAGAAAUCAGAUAUGAUGCAAAUAGACAGGCGAUGGGCGAAACUUGAUAACCCAUUACUAGAGCAGGCUUAAGCUAAAGAUGAUGACAGUUGGGUAACGCCAAUGGUAAACUACCUAAUUAAAAGGAUCCAGCCAAAAGAUUAUGAAGAAGCGAGAAAACUCUGAAUGAAAGUAGUGAGGCAUGCAAUCUUCAAAGACAUGCUUUAUAGGAGGUCAUUCUUAGGACCUUACUCCAGGUGAUUAAAUCUAGGGCAAUCUGAAUGGGUCAUAAGAGAAUUACAUGAAGGAAUAUGUGGGAAUCACUCUGGAUGAAGAAGCUUAGCGCAUAAAGCAUUAACUGAAGGCUACUUAUGGCUAUACAUGGCUCGGGAUGCAGAGUAAUAUGUAAGAAGGUGCAACAAAUGCCAGAAAUAUGCCCCGGUUAUUAUACAAUCCGCCAAAGAACUCAAUCCAAUCGUAGGACCCUGACUAUUCUUAAAAUAGGGCAUGAACAUCGUAUGCUCGUUCCGAGGGUGCUCGGAAGAUUGUAGUUUUUGUUACACAAAAGUGGGUAGAAACAGAAAUGUAUGUUUUUGUUACACAAGAUAACGUUGUAAGAUUCGUAUGGAGGAACAUUUUAUGCCAGUUUGGCAUACCAAGGGCGAUUGUGACGAAUAAUGGGACAUAGUUCGAUAAUCGAAGAUUUAGAAGUUAUUGCACAGAGAAAAGGAUCACAUUACAAUUCUCUUCCAGAAGUUAUCCCCAAGGCAAUAGCCAAGUGGAAGCCAACAAGUGAAAGGCCAUUCUAUCUCGCUUAUGGCAUUGAAACGGUUAUCCCCACAUAAGUAAUUCUACCUAUGAUCAGAACAUUAGUUAUGGCAAAUGGCAAGAACAAUCAGCAGCUAGCCCAUAACCUCGACUUAGUCGAGGAACAAAGGGAAAUUACUGCACUAUGACUUGCAAACUACCAAAACCAAGUUGCCACUUACUUUAACAAACGGGUCAAGUUGAAAAGGUUCAAGGUAGGUGAAUGGGUGUUGAGAAUAGUCAUGGAAAACACAAAAGAUUUGAAUAUAGGAAAGCUUGGAUGCAUAUGGGAAGGACCAUAUGAGGUGACUAAAGCCUUCAGAAAAUGAGCUUAUAAACUCAGGCACGUUGAAACAGGUUGGUAUGUGCCAUACCCUUAGAAUGCAAUUCAUUUGAGAAAGUAAUACAUUUAGUUUUUCAUGUCUGUGUUUUCCGUAUUUAAAUUUCUGUUUCUAGUAAUAUUGAAGGGUAAAUCCCUUCUUGUCUUCCUUGCAUGUCAAAUGGUGUAUCCUUAGAUAUCUGCUGACAUCUCCUUAUUGUAUGAUAAAUAAAGUUGCACUUUAUUCGAAUCUUCAACUAAAGUCUAAGGCUAAAGAGCAUAAACCAUAGAUUGAGGAUCGAAUCAAGAUCAAAAAUGUAAAAUCGAGUGGGAAAAUAAAACCCAAGAUCGGACGUACAGAGACCCAAUCAAGAUAAAAAAUUCUAAGAUCGAGUGGGAAAAGAAAACCCAAGAUCGAAUGGGCAAAGACCAAAUCAAGAUCGAAAAUCUAAGAUCAAGUAGGAAAAGAAAGCCUAAGAUCAAAUGGGCAAAGACCCAAUCAAGAUCGAAAAUCUAAGAUCGAGUAGGAAAAGAAAACCCAAGAUCGAAUGAGUAAAGAUCGACCAAGAUCAAAUAGGUAAAAACCUGAUUAAGAGAAGAAUUCAAGGUCGGUUUAAGAAUGAUAAAGAAGGGCGAAUUAAAUAAAUCUUUGCAAAGAACAAUUUUCCUCCCCAAACACGUCGUGUGUUUGCAGUGGAAAAUAAAGUAUUACGUGUGCAAAAGUAAAAGCUUAAGCAGUGGGACAUUGUUUUUCCUGCUCGUAAAAGGGAAUAUCUUUUAUUUAAAAGAGGAAAACCUCUUGGAUGAUGGAUUCAUAGUGCGAUAAAAGAUCAAAAUGAAAGAAGAAAUAAACCUACUAGUAGAAGGUGAAAACAAGGACAAUAUCACUAUUAGAUAUCCUAAUAGUGGUUGGACCUAAGGGCCUAACUUAUUACAAGCAAGAUGACAUCUAGUCUAACGGGAUAAGGAUACUAUCCCAGUUUAUGGAAGGAAAUGUCGCGUUAGCCUUGGAGCGAAAAUAGUGAAUGCCUUGCUUAAAACCAUCAUGUAUGUCAUCUGAGUAGUUGCAUAAUUCAUCAUCAGAGAGAUCUUUCCACCAACAACAUAAUUUAGAGCCCGUUUUCCACCCGACCUUGUUCGAGAUCGAUACGCGGAUUCACGAAAAGUGUUAGGAACUUCAGAAGAGUGAGAAGCCCUCAUUGUCGAACGAGAAAAGGAACUAGAACAUAGCUCGAUAAUAUUCUUAGAGCCCCUGGAACCCCUCUGAAAGCUUCCCUUUUUGGGGACAUUAGCACAGAGCUGGAAGUUGAGUUUCACUCUCCGAUUGUUAGCCAUAAGACUUAGGUACUACCUACUUACUCUCAAACACCUUUUUAUAUAAAGACAUUUCGAGGUUGCUAGAAACACUGAUUCAAAAUCUAAGAUGAUCGUAUCUUAUUGGGAUAAGUUAAUUUCUCGUUCAAAAACUCAAAUUUAAUGAUAAAGGAUAUUGUUUUCAUUUAAUUAAAAAUGAAAAUCGAAAGGAAUAGCUGGGAAGGGUUGGGCAAUGGAAGGGCGAAGGCCCAACUUGCGAACGAAAAUUACGCUAAGAUACAAUCAGGUAUAAUAAGUAAAAGUGCGAUGACAUAAAUACAAACACAAAUGGGGUUUUAGCCCAUGAGAACAUAUCUCACGAUUUCAUGGGCUACUAAGCACCAAAAUGAGGGUCGGACUGAAAGCCUUCAAAGCCUAAAAUCAAAAUGGGUCUAGAAUUAGUAAUAAAUCCGUUGCCUGGGAUAGGAUCAGAAUAAGCAUGUUCGUCUAAGGAUCUUCAAUCCUUAGGAUCCAUCCCCUCGUACCGCUCAUAUCCACUAGGCUCAAUCCCCCUAUGAUGAUCAUACAUGUCAGGAGCAAUUACAAAACGAUGUUCCGGACAUUGUUAGCUCUGUACCCAACCAAAUUUGAAGCUGAAGGCCAUCUCCUUGCGUAUCUAUUACAUGUUUAUCUCGUGCUCAAUGGUCCUCGCUUGCUUGACCUAGGCCAACUCUUCCUUUGUACGAGUUCCCUUCAAAUUUGUGAUCUCUUCCUCAUAUCCAUGAAGUCUAGCUUAGAACUCUCUGAUAUGCUGCUCAUUAAGGCUGAGGGAUUCCAACCUGGCAGCUAGUGUAUCUGAUUUUUUUCUUUUAGAGUAGAGCCAUUUGAAAAAUAACGGUAGGGUUAAAGCUUACAUAAAUGAUGAGAUAUGCAGAGGAUGAGAGAAUACCUUUAUAAGACAAUGAGAUUCAUAGAAGUUGAGAUCGUUAUUGAGCAUUGCCUCAAAGCGACCAGCGUCAUUAGUAUGAGUCAAGCCUCUCGCCACAGCAGUAGCAGUGCUUACAUUGCCUUAUAGAUUAUCACCAAGGGUGACGAAACUCCCAUCUCUUUUUGUGACUUCAAGUCUCCAAGCUUGAGAUGAAUUACUGGAACUAUAGCCACUAACUGAGCCGAAAAUGGGAGAAGCUAACUGCCAUUGCAUAUGUUUAGGGGUUGUGCCGAAGAUAGUCAGCAAACCACGCCUAAACUUUUUGGGCCUAUCUGCAAAAGGAUGUUUAUUAGACUUGCCUGCAAUUCUGGACACUGGAAGAUCACGAAGAGGCAAUGCAACACAGCUAGGCGGGGGAAGGUUAAAAGGUGGUAAAGUUAUAGUAGAAAAAUAAUUCGAGUUGAAGUCCGUGUCUGUUUACCAUGUCUCUUUGUUUUCUUAUCUUUCAUCUCCUUCUUCUGAGCCCUCUAUUCAGGAGUUAGUCACAAGUACAGAAGAGUCUACAUUGAACUGAAACUCAAUAUCAAGAGCGAAGAAGAUUUAAGCAAGGGGUUUGAGGGCAACGACCAGUCGUCCUAACAAUAUGGGAAGUAAAUGAUAGAGUUGCGGAGAGAGAUGAUUUAAGUAAGAGUGUUAGCAACUUCUCUAGAGCUCCAUAUCUUCCUUGUCAUAAACCUAUUUAGCCAACACUUUCAGCCUUUAGAGAUUAUCUGUUCUGGACCAUCCGAUAAAGCUGCGAAAGAAGGUCAUGGUAAGUUAUGUUUACAUAUUUAUGGAAAAAAUGAUAGCAAAAGUAAAUUUAUAUACUAGGGUUAGGACAAAAAGUAGAAGGGAUAGAUAGUUUAGAUAGCUCGGGAGCCUUCAAAUUCCCCGAAAUCAGAAUAAGGCGAUUUUUCCAAUCUAUGGCUCUCAAGAUAGGAAUUUCUUGCAAUAUCUAGAUUUAAAAUUAAAGAAACUAGUUUCACCCUUAAUGGUAAUCAAGUCGAAGAGAUAAAGGAAAUCUCUAAAGCCUAAGGAUACACCUAGCUUCAUACCCAAUGCCAGGAAGGUCGACAUAACUAAGUAAGAGUUCGGGUUCAGUUGCAAUGGGUGAGUAUUUGUGAAGAAUAAGAUGAGAUGAAUCAUGGGAUGAAGUGGGAAACUAAUGGCCUCUAAGUGGUCUGGAGACAAAAAGGUAGACCCAACUGGGAUACCAGAACCUAAAUACAUGUCGGCUCCGGCAGGAAGUGGACUAAGGUGCACGUCAUCUGGAAUGUGACAUUGGUCAUGAGCCUUGACGAUUUCAAAGUGUGGUGGAGUACCACCAUAUUUAGACCAAUGUGUACAUCUCGACAUAAGGAACAUGAUGGGAGACUUGCCGGUCAAAAUUGAUUCGAGAAGAUAAGAAAAGGAAUUUGGACCUGUAAACGUAAGUGAAAUGUUUGAAAUAUUUCCAUAGGAAGAGUUCAAAAUGGAAAGAUUACUUGUUAGCCAAGAUACCACUCUAAAACGAGAAGUCACAAGCUUGGUGGAGAACUGAGUGGAAGAAGUGAAGAAAAGCGGGGAUAGGAGAAACUCAAUUUAUAAAAAGAGAAAUGAGUGUAUGAGGAGUUUGAACUUAAAUCUUUAUCCCUAUGGAGGAUGGAUGAAACUCUAAUUGAGGGGACGUGGGCUAUAAACAACCUAGUGGAUAGGACAAGACAUGUAAGGAAAGUAUCAUUUUCUCAUGUGUAUUUCAGUGUGUAGUCACAAUCUAGGUGACGAGAGACAAUGAUUUGAGAAGAAGAGCAAAAUAAGAGAGCUUGUUCCGGAGCACAUUUUCAAAGGUGGAAAAGCGCACGUGAGGACAAAAUUUAACUGGGCAUGAAAUUAUGAAACAGAUUGAAGCCAAGGUAAUGAAACAUAAAUAUGUAUAUAUGUGUGUGCAUAGGGAUAUAUAUAAAUAUAUGAAAAGUGCGUGUAGAGAUUCGCAUGUCUAUACGCAGAGAUAUGCACAUAUAUGUUGUGUUUGCCUAUGUAUACCUAUAUAUCCACACACACUCAUACACACACACACACACACACAUAUAUAUAAAGAGAGAAAGAAAAGCAGGUGUGCAAGUGUCAGUGUGUAAGAAUGUGCAUAUAUAUAUGUAUGUAUGUAUGUGCGUCUAGAUAUACAGUAAAACUCAAACUCCCCUGAUACUGGUUCAGAGCAAUAAAAUGGCAAGAAUGCCUCUAAUUUUUUUCCUUCCUCUUCAUUUUAGUGUUGAGUUUCUACAGUAAUAUGAUCGUUUUGCCCUUAUGGUUCUAUGUGUCUUUCAUCGCUGAGUGCUUUGGCUUCGGUUGUUCCAGAUAUUUCUUUCUGCUUUCCUCUCUUGCAUACCUCGAGGCUCGAGUUCGUUCGUUUUUCUCUGCCUGUUUCUCUUCGCCUGGGAUUUUAUUUUCUGUCGUUUUGCUGCUUCGUUGGUUUUUUUGUUCAAAAUGUUGAGCCUUUUGUUUUGUUGUUCUUCGAUUACUUAUCAGAAUUGUUAAUUUCUGCCCCUUUUUGGUUCGAUUGGAAUUAUUUUGGCUGAUUUGAUCACUGUUUGCAAGUAAGUUUUGUAUGUUUCUCACCGAACAAGGUUUCGAUUUUCUAUGUUUUCUUAGAUGGUUUUUGAGAAUAUCUGAUGUGGUUUGGUUUUUGGUUUCAGAAAUUUGUACGAAUUUGGUUUCGAUUGGAAUUUCUGGGCUCAUCUAAUCCAACAUUUCCAAGUGAGAAAGUUGCUUAAAUUUUGAUUUUUAUUGAACUCAGGUAAGCUUCUUCAGUAUUUCAGAUUGAUUUGAAGGAAUUUUUUGCUUAAAAAGCUAGGGUUUUCUGGUAAGUUUUUUGAGUCAUCUUGGGGGUUUUGUUUUGUUCAAAUAUGGGGUUUUGUGAUUUUGGAUUUACAAAUGGAUUGAAAUUUCCUUUUUUUUUAUUUCACCUCCCACUCAGAACCUGAUACUUGGUGACCUUUAGAGCAGCUUCAUUCUCUCUUCUUCUCCGACCAUGGUUACUGAUCCACAGGGCAUCAAGGUGAGUUUGAUAUUGGCCAUAUUUUUUAGUUUUGUCAGUGCAUCUAAUUUAUUUUUUUGGAUUGGUGGUUUUCAAUUUAGGGAUGAAUAUUGUGUUUAAAACACAGGUCGUUCUGGCCUUUUCGUUUAUAAAGAACAAACAAGCUUGCUUAUUUAAGAGCCAAACUCUUUAAGUUGUUGAAAGUGUUGACCAAGUGGUGUUAAAAAGGUCUUCCAUUAUAAUUCCCGCCUGAUUAAUCUUAUUCCAUAUUGAGAUUGGAUGUCCUGUGUGUUAGUGUUUGAUUUAUGGAUUGAGAUUUCUUUUUAACAAUGAGAAUAGAAAUGUACAGAGAGGAAGAAUUUAGAGAGCCAUGGAAGCUUCAAAGGUAUAUUGUAUUCCACUCUCUUUUUUAAGCAAAGAACUCGGAGAGCAUAUAACCGUUAGAGGAGUGAGUAACGCACUCACUUUCUCACAUCAUUACAAAUCAAUCAGAACCAUUCAUUUUUUUAAGUCAUCAUGUAACAUGCUUACACUUGUCAUGAGCUAUGACUCAUUACAAUCUAAUCUAGAUGCCAUAUGGAAUAUGAUCCAAAGGCUCACAUUCAAUCUUACAACUUGCAUAUAAUAAACCAACACAUCAAAUACAUUUAUACACCAAUAAGCCAUUCUAAAUGUUUUGCUGAUUUUACUCCAAGUACAGCUCUCAAGUACUCAAACCGAUAGGAAGAGCCUUGCUAAAAAUGUCUGCCAAUUGCUCAUCUGUUCUGCAGUAGUUCAAUUCAAUGGUGCCAUCUUGAAUAGCAUCCCUUAUGAAAUGAUACUUCCUGUUGAUAUGCCUUGUUUUCUGAUGGAACAUUGGAUUCUUGGACAUGGCUAUUGCAUAAGUGUUGUCACACAGUAGAGAUGUAGCCUCAACUUGUUCUUCUCCAAAAUCAGAUAACAUAAACCUUAGCCACAUUGCUUGUGUUGUAGCUUCUGCAGCACUUAUAUAUUCAGCUUCUGCAGUGGAUAGAGCCACACUGCAUUGCUUGACAGAAGACCAAGAAAAUAUCCCUGAGCCAAAGCUGAAUGCAUAGCCCAAGGUACUUUUUAUAUCCCUGAGCCAAAGCUGAAUGCAUAACCUAUUAACACAACUUCGUUACCCUUCACAUACUCAAUUCCGAAAUCCAAUGUUCCUUGUACAUAUCUCAAGACUCUUUUAGCUGUCCCCAUGUGCUUCCUAGUGGGCUUAUGCAUAAAUUUUGCCAGUAAACAUGAUGCAUACAUUAAAUCUGGUCUAGUAGCUGGUAGGUAUAACAAACUACCAACCAUUUUUCUAUACAAGUCUUCAUCAGCAUCUUCACUUCCAUCAACCUUAGAUAGCUUCUCAUUAAUUGCAAGUGGAGUCUUCACAGCUUUACAGUAUUUUAAACCAAACUUCUCAAGUAAUGACUUGGCAUAUUUCUUUUAAUGGAUAAAUAUGCCCUUAUCAGUUUGAAUUAUGCCUAAACCAAGGAAAUAGUGCCAAAUCUGACAUCUCAUACUGUUUCAUCAUAUCCAUCUUAAACUCUCGAAUCAUUUCAUCAGAGCUCUCUGUGUAGAUAAUAUCAUCUACAUUCAGAGACACAAUAAGCACAUCUGCAUUACCGAAUUUUGUAUACAAAGUAGCUUCACUUUGACUUUUCUUGAAGCCAAACUUGUUGAAGUAUGCAUCUAUCUCAUCAUACCAAGCUCUGGGAGUUUGUUUCAGACCAUAUAAGGCCUUUUUCAGUCUGUAAACUUUGUCUUCUUGCCCUUGGACCUCAAAUCCUUGUGGUUGAUCAACAUAUACUUCCUCAUGUAGUGUGCCAUUUAGAAAUGCCGAUUUGACAUCUAAUUGAAACAAUUUCCAUUCCUUUUGAGCUGUCAAUGCAAUCAAGGUUCUAAUUGUAUCAAGCCUUGCCACAGUGCAAAGGUCUCAUUGAAAUCAACCCCAGGGUUCUGAGAGCAGCCAUUUGCCACUAACCUUGCCUUGUUCUUCUGCACUGAGCAAUCUAGAUUAAGCUUUGUCUUAUAGACCCAUUUGACACCAAUUACUGGUUUAUCAAAUGGUCUAUUAACUGACUCUUAUGUGUCAUUCUUUUCUAUCAUUUCAAUUUCUGUGGACAUAGCUUUUCUCCAAGCUUUGUCUCCUGAUGCUUCUUCAAAACACUCAGGUUUUAUUACAUAGAAAUUGCACCUCUCAUGCAUUUCACUCAAGCUUCUGAACCUGAGAGGUGUGUGAUGAUACUCUUGUGGUCCAGUGUGACUCACUUGUUCCCAUUGACUUGGAGGCAAAGCAAUAACUAGUUCUUGUUGCUUCUGUAAUGAUUCUAUGCAUUCCAAUUCUUCAUCAUUCCUUGCACUUUCAACAUCACUCCCUUCAUCUUCAUAUACUUCAUUUGACACUGAACUGGACAAAUUCUUCUUAGCACAAGAAUCCUCAUCAAAUAUUACAUCUCUAGAGAUGACAAUCUUAUUAGUUUUAGGAUUAAAUAACCUGUAACCCUUCUUACAGGUUCCAUAACCAAGAAAAAUGCAUUGGACACUUGUUGCAUCCAGUUUAUGUCUCAACUGUGAUGGAACUUGUGCAUAGCAUAUAGGUCUAAACACUCUUAAGUGGUUCACUCCAGGCUUCCUUCCAUUAUAAGCUUCAAAUGGAGUAUUCUUAUUCAGAGCUUUGGUAGGACAUCUAUUGAGAAAAUAGACUGCAGUGUUAAUUGCUUCUGCCCAAAACUCAAAUGGAAUACCCUUUUCCAACAUCAUGCAUUUAGCCAUUUCUACAAUGGUCCUAUUUCUCCUUUCUGAUACACCAUUAUGUUGAGGAGAAUAGGCCAUUGUGAGCUGUCUUUCCAAACCAAGAUCUUCACAAAACUGAGAAAAUUCAGGGGAAGUGUACUCUCCUCCCCUAUCAUUUCUUAAUUUUUUCAGUUUGUACCCACUUUGUAGUUCAACAAUUGCUUUGAAUUUCUUGAACACACCAAAUGCUUCAGAUUUAUUCCUUAGAAGAUAGACCCAUUCCAUUCUGGUACAAUCAUUUGUGAAGGUGAUAAAGUAUUUGUUUCCAACUUUAGUAGGUGUUUGCAUUGGUCCACACAUGUCAGUGUGAAUCAAUUCCAGAGGUAAGGCAGCUCUCCACUUUGUUUCUUUAAGAAAAACAUCUCUAGAAUGCUUACCAAGUGCACAUCCCUCACACACUGUGGUGUUCACUUUUAGCUCAGGCAAACCGGUUACCAUCUCAUGCUCUUGUAGCUGUAUUAGAGCAUUCAUGUUCAAGUGUCCUAGUCUUCUAACCAUAUCUCAGCAGAUUAUCCAAACUAGCUUUCAUGGCAACUUGGAUUCCUGGUUGCAACUUCAAGGGAAAGCUUCGAUUUCCUUUCAUUGGAACCUUAACAACUAGAUUUGAGCAUGUGGAAUCAUCAUAGAUUCUGACAUCAAUUCUUCCAAAUACAAGAUAGUACCCAUGCUCCAUCAUAUGUCCUACACUUAACAAAUUUUCAUUCAAGCCAUGUACUAACAUUAUUUCCUUUAUGUACCUUUUACCUUGCUUAGUUUCAACCAGUAAUUCACCCUUUCCAACCACAUCAGCCAAUUGCCUUGUGCCCAUCUGAACUUUGGUAGUGACACUCUUAUCUAUAUUCACUAGUAGAUCUUCUCUCCAUGUCAUGUGGUUACUACAACCAUUGUCAAUAUACUAAGUGUCUUCAUUCUUCUUCACAGCGGCUACCAUACACACAUAGAACAUAAUUGGAGUAUUCUCCACUUGACCAGCAUAAUUUGCCUAUUGAGUUGUUUUCUUAGCUCUGCAAUCCUUGGCAAAAUGCCCUGACUUAUCACAAUUAUGGCACCGUGGUUUCCCUUUGAACCAACACUCCCCAAAAUGUAAUUUGUCACAGUAUUUACAGGGAUUCUUAGCUCUAUCAGAAGGCGCAACAAGUUUCCUUUGUUGAUGCACAAGUUUGUUAUCCCACUUCUUACCCUUUUGUCUUCCAAUUCUUUGUGGGUUUGAAGUUUUGAUUUACAUUAUAAUUGUUCCUCCUGGGAGUUAUACUUAAGGUAGCAAAAGCUUUCUCAGUACUGCUUUCAGAAUGCCUCUCAAUUCUUUGUUCAUACCUUUUAGAGUAGCAACUACAUCCUGCACAUCAACUGUCUCCAAAUCCCUAGUAUUUUCUAUCACAGCUACGAUACUAUCAUAGGAUCUAGGAAGACUAAUCAAUAAGUUCUGCACAAUUCUCUGAUUUCUAAUAUCUUCACCAUAACUUUUCAUUUGUGUAAUAAGAUCAAAUAAUCGCACAAGGUACACAAAGAAUGCUUUAUGCUCACCCAUUCGAGUAUAUUCAAAAUCACGCCUUAAACUUUGAAGUUUCACAAACCUUACCUGUUUGUCUCCAAUAAACUCUUGCUUCAGUAUAUCCCAGGCCUCCUUUUCCAUCUCCAGUAUGGCGAUCCUUGGGAAAAUCUCAUCUGACACAACUCCUUGAAUAAUCCCUAGAGCCUUAGCAUCCUUGACUAUGUUCUCCUUCAAAUGCUUAAGCACAGUUGCAGUGAGCUUUUCUUCUCUCUUCGUCGGAGGACUAUACCCUUUCUCAACCAUAUCCAACAGAUCGUGAGAUCUGAAUAUAGUCUUCAUCUUUAUCUGCCAGAAAUCAAAGUUUUCACCAUUGAAAACUGGUGCUCGAAGGUCAGCACUACUCUCGAUCUAACCAUAUUAGACUUGUUAUCGAGUAACCCAGAAUUUUUCAGAACUUUCUUCAGUCGCAGCAAGACCCGAUUCUCCGCCGAGUUCCGUCGCUGUCAACCACGUCACAGUUUCACGCCCAGAUGAAGAUCCAACCUGGCUCUGAGGCCAUGUUAGUGUUUGAUUUCUGGAUUGAGAUUUCUUUUUAACAAUGAGAAUAGAAAUGUACAAAGAGGAAGAAUUUAAAGAGCCAUGGAAGCUUCAAAGGUAUAUUGUAUUCCACUCUUUUUUUUAAGCAAAGAACUCGGAGAGCAUAUAACCGUUAGGGGAGUGAGUAACGCACUCACUCUCACAUCACUGCAAAUCAAUCACAACCAUUCAUUUUUUUUAAGUCAUCAUGUAAGAUUGAUGUGAAAAUUAUGUUGACACACAAAUUAAACCCUAUUUGUGACAAUUGUAGUAAUAAUGUAAGUAGGGAUCAUUCUAACCGGGGAUUAACUAGGGGUACUAAUCACUUGAAAACUGAAUUAGAAACGUAAAAACAAAGUUUAAAACACUAGAUUAGACUCAAGGAAUGCAAAACUAACGUUUAAAAUACUAAAACAAACCAAAAACUCAAAACAGCAACCAAAAGACUCAAAACUGCCUUAAAAACACUUUCUGGGCAGUUUUGAACACAAAGCACCAAAUUGGACGAAUUUGGGUUUUAACUUGUACCAAAACACUUAAAAACAUAAACCAACACACUUUCUAGCUAAUCUAGGACUUCAAAACAAAUGGGGAUUUGAUUUGGACGAAAAUAACUAAAUGGGCAGAUUGUGAAACAAAAACAGAUUGUAAGAUAAAAUUGUAAUGAAUCAAUGGAUGAUGGAAUAACUAAGGGGUUCUUCUCCACACAUGAAAUACAUGCAACCUAAAUUGAUUUCCAGUUAUCAAAUUAAUAAGUUAUGAAUCUCGACACUCCAAGUUAAUUAGGUCCGCUUAGAUUAACCUUCAGAUUUCCCUAGAAUCAUUGAAUUGGAUGAAUAUGCAUCGCAAACAAAUUAUUCCUAACAAGUUCUCUAUAUGAACAACAUGAUAAAGAUACAAGUUAGAAUCAUUACGUUCUUUGGAAAUCAUAAGCAUCGACAAGGCAUUCGUAACUAUGAAAAACAUGAUACUCUUGCUAGGAAUCUACUUAACACGAUCGUGACUAGCGACCUUUACUACUUGCGAAUAUAAAUUCAUAACGAUUAGGUGAAACAAACUCAUAUCCUAGCAUCAAAUUCAAGCAUGCAAAUUAAGCGUGCACUCUCAAUCAACAUACAAGAAUAAGUUCUAAAUCAAACGGUUAAGCGAAUUGUAUUCACGACUUAUGCAACGAUAACUGGAAGUAAUCAACUUAUUUCACAUAUAUAAUCAUGGUUUUGAAUCCACCCUUAGCCAAAACGAAUUUAACCAAUCAUACUUAAAGAAAAACAAAGAUUACAUGAAUUUGACAUUGAAAUAUAAGAUAGAAAACACCUAAAAUCGUUCAACAACUCAUAUUGAAAAGCCAAACAAUUGUAGAGAAUCUGUCCCCUUUGUUGCUUGCGGCAGAUUGUAUGGUGAUGCUUCUUGGAUUGUUUUGAUGACGUAGAAUGGAAUUUGGGGGGUGUAGAGGCACGGCAAGGGUUGUAGGAUGAGUGUGGAUGAGUGGUGGAUGGAUGGAAGAUGGUGGAAAGCUCGGCAAGAAUGGUGGGAAGGUGCGGCAGAUUAUAGAACUAGGGUUUCUGGAAAUUUUGAAUGAAUGUAGCAGGUUGUAGUUCGGCCUAGGGGUUAAAACACAUAUAUAUAAGCACUACAAACCCUAGGGCAAACAGAUUAGGGCCUCUAAAACCCAAAUCCAUCAGAAAUUAGGUUAAAACAAUUAGAAUUUAAGUGGGAAAAGGGCCUAGGGUGCGGCUGGUUACUAGGGUAAAUGAAUGGGCCUUCUAGAAUGCCUUGCAAGGCAAGGAAAUCAGAUUUCUAAAGCCCUAGGUGCGGCAAGGGUUAGGGGGGGAAAGGCUAGGUCAUCUAAAAGCCUAAAGCCAAGAAUAGAAACUCUCGAAAAUGGAAACCUCCAAGAAUAGAAACUUCCAACUUUAGAAACUUUGGUUUCCAAUUCCGAAUUCUUUGUUCUUCACUUCAUUUCUUCCUUUCUUAAGCUCCUUUGACCUUCAAACUCGUCCAUUCCUUGUGCUCCAUAAGCAUACACAACAUUCCAGCUCAAUUUUGCUCUAAAAUGCUCCAUUUCGCACUUAUUUGCAUCCUUUGUCUUUAAACCUGAAAUUGCAUGAAACUGACUUUAAACAUUGAAAUAACUCAAGAAAAACAAUAUAAAUGCAUGAGAACAAGCCCACUAAGUCGCAUAAAUAUGCUCCUAUCAAAUUCCCCCACACUUAGCUUUUGCUAGUCCUCGAGCAAAACAAACAAAAGAAAGAAAACAAAACGAAACAAACUAACCAAAACAAAACCUAAACCUUCCAACGUUUGCCUCAGGGAUUUCCAAUGCACAUGACGUAUUAGAGAUUGUUAUCCCCACAGAUUUGAGUCAUCUUUACACAUGAGCACAUACUUAAUUAAAGCCACAACUUACUAGUUCACAAGUAAUCAAUUAAAACAAUGCUUUGAAUGUAGUACAUGCCUUAGAGAAUUCCCUCAAUUCCUUACAAGAUAUACACUCUAUUUUCACUCAGAUUUUAUAACUACACACCUUAUACUAGUCAUAUGUGAGAAGAUUGAUGUAGAUAUGAAAACGAAUGCUCACAUAUAUGUUUCACAAAGAACGUACUUUCUAGAGUUAAGAAGCAUGUUUAGAUAUAAUCUCAUGAAUGGAAUGCUACUACUUAGAUGCGAGAACCAGUGACACCAUAUGCUCAUACCAAAUUCAAACUCCACAAAUUGAAACACAUAACACUCAAGAUAGAGGUUAAGGGUUGUAAUGGGGCUUGGGGUAUUGGCUAACAAGGAAAGGAGAGGGAAAACAACCGUUCUUCAAGUGAUAGUAAGCAAAGUAAUGAACUUGAGACUUAGAAUUCACUUAGAUUGCAGAAAUUAACUUUAACACACAAGGGGGAGACUUAAACAACUCCUUAGGGUCAAAUUCAUUGUUUUGGACCCUUACUUCAACAAACAAUACUUUGGAACUCUUUUUCUCAACUUUUCAACUCUUUUUUCAAACUUUUCAUAUUUUUUUUUUCAUUUUUUUUUCUUUUUCCACGAAUUUUUUUCUUUUCUUUUCUUUGCCGUUCCUAUGGCACACAAUUCCUCACGAAAAAAUACUUCCCCCACACUUGUUUUCUGCUAACAUAGAUCAAAAGGAAUUCAAUUCGAAUCAUGUUUUACUAUGCUUUAAGAACAAGGGUAUGGAUGGUCCUAAACUAGGCUAGGUAAGGAUAUUGUGGGUUAACAAACAACAUAGGUUAAACAAGGCUCAACGGGGUUAAACUUAAACAUAAAAUGAUAUGGGAUACACGGUAGUUUGGCUAAGGUGGUGGUAACUACACAACUUCAUCUUGAAUAUGUGUUAUGCAAAUCAAUAACAUGCUUUGAAUGAAAUGGGCAUGAGUUCUAGCAUUUGGAACUAAAUGAUGAAACGCCUUCUAAGUAGUAACCAAGCAAGGAAAUAUGAGAUCAUGCAACGACUUAGAAAACAAUAAUGCACAGAUUUUAACUCUCCAAAUAAACGUUUAGGCUCAAGUCUCACAAGGUUGUAGCGUUAGUUUGAGUUCCUUCCUUCAAGCAUGUUACAAAAACUAAUUUUUUCUUUAUGAUUACCUGUGAAUUCAUAAGUUAUAACCACAACCAAGCAUAAACAAAGAGUAAAUCAAACUUUCAUCCAUGUUAAUCAUUCUCUUUAACAGUCAUGCAAUUACAAACCGAAUCCUCAUCAUUGUGUUGGAAGGUACCCUAAGACACGAACAAACACACAAAAAUAACUCAAACACAACUCUUUUUGUUUUUUUUUUUUCAAAACAAUUUUUCAAUUUUUUUCUGGGAUUUUCGGAUUUUUAGAACAACAUAUACUAAAACACACCAAAACAACCUAAAAACACCUAAAAACAGCAAGGAACAACAUUUGAAAUUAUGGGUGAUAAAACCCUACGAAUUUGUAUCAAAACACUUUGGUUACCCCCCCCACACUUAAAUCAAACAUUGUCCUCAAUGUUUCAAGCAUAAACUAACACAAAUAACCAACAAGCAAAGAAAACAGCAACUAAACAAUCUAAAUGGCAGAAAUGAAAUAACAACAAAGAGAAGGGUUUAGGAAUGCAAAUCUGGAAUUGGAGUGCUCUCUAGGUCUUCCUUUGUCGAAUGCAUGGGUUGCCUCCCAAGUAGCGCUUUCUUUAACGUCUUACAGCCGGACGAUGCCACAUUGAUCAACCUUCAUGGGAAGCCACGGCAUAGUGGGUUGUCUCCUCCAUAUCAUGUUCUACAAAGCUCUCAUAGUAUGGCUUCAAGCGAUGCCCAUUCACCUUGAACUCUUGACCUGUUUUGAAACUACGAACCUGGACUGCACCAUGAGGAAAAACAUCAGUAAUAACAAAGGGUCCAAUCCAACGUGAACGUAACUUACCCAGAAAAAGACGAAGACGAGAAUUAAACAACAACAUUUUUUGUCCAACAGCGAAGGACUUGGUGCGAAUCAUCUUGUCAUGAAAGGCCUUCGUUUUUUCCUUGUAAAGGCGAGCAUUCUCGUAAGCUUCAUUCCAGAUUUCCUCAAGAUCAUUCAAUUGUAGCUUACGAUGAAGUCCCGCCUCAUCUAUAUCCAUGUUGAAUUUCCUCACGGCCCAAUGAGCCUUGUGCUCCAACUCCACAGGUAAGUGACAUGGUUUCCCAUACACGAGCCGAAAGGGAGACAUUCCGAUGGGUGUUUUGUAGGCGGUCCUAUAAGCCCACAAUGCAUCUUUUAACCUCAAGCUCCAAUCUUUUCGUGUUGGCCCAACUGUCUUCUCAAGAAUCUGCUUUAUCUCCCGAUUCGACACCUCGGCUUGCCCGCUUGUUUGAGGAUGAUAGGGUGUGGAAACCCUAUGUGUAACGUUACUUCUUGAGCAGUGCCUCGAUUGUGCGAUUACAAAAAUGUGAACCUCCAUCACUGAUAAGGACUCGAGGCAUUCCAAACCUGGCAAAAAUGUUAGACUUCACAAAAUCUGCAACCACUUUAGAAUCGUUAGUCCGGGUGGCUUUUGCUUCCACCCAUUUGGAAACAUAAUCCACUGCCAACAAGAUAUAGAGAAAACCAUGCGAUGAAGGAAAAGGACCCAUAAAAUCAAUGCCCCACACAUUAAAUAUUUCAACAGAAAGUAUAGGGUUUUGUGGCAUUUGAUCCUUAGCACUUAUAUUACCCAUUCGUUGACAACGAUCACAUGUAAGGCAAAAUGUCCUAGCAUCCCUAAAAAUGGUUGGCCAAUAAAACCCACAUUCUAAGACUUUAAGGGCAGUGCGUUGGGUGCCGAAAUGUCCCCCACAUGCAUAUGAAUGACAGAAUGUUAAAAUAGAUUGAAACUCAGAUUCAUUCACACAACGGCGUACAAUCUGAUCGGGACAAAAUUUCCAAAGGUAUGGAUCAUCCCAAACAUAAAACCUAGCAUCCUUUUUAAGCUUAUCACUUUGAUUCCUAUUAAGUGUGCUAGGGAUAUGUUUAGACACCAAAAAGUUCACUAAAUCUGCAUACCAAGGCUCACUUACCUGGAUCGACAGUAGUUGCUCAUCGGGGAAGGUUUCAGAAAUUGGCGAUGCUUCCUCAUGCACCAUUCGACUUAGGUGGUCAGCCACCACAUUCUCCACGCCCUUCUUAUCCCGAAUCUCAAUGUCAAACUCUUGUAGAAGCAACAUCCAACGAAUUAGUCUAGGCUUGGCCUCCUUUUUCGUGAGCAAAUACUUGAGAGCUGCAUGAUCAGUAAAGAUAAUAACUUUAGUACCAAGUAAGUAUGAUCGGAACUUAUCUAAUGCAAAUACCUCAGCAAGUAAUUCUUUUUCAGUGGUUGAGUAAUUUAAUUGAGCAUCAUUUAGUGUCCUAGAUGCAUAAUAAAUAACAUGAGGUUGUUUGUUCUUUCGCUGCCCCAAAACAGCACCAAUCGCAUAGUCCGAAGCAUCGCACAUCAACUCGAAUGGAAGGCUUCAAUCUGGAGGUGUGAUAAUGGGAGCCGAAGUGAGAGCUUCCUUUAAGUGCUUGAAAGUCGUGGAGCAUGCCUCAUCAAACUCGAAAGCCACCUCUUUUUGAAGUAACCGGCAUAGUGGCUGUGCAAUCUUGGAGAAAUCCUUUAUGAAACGCCUAUAAAAACCUGCGUGACCAAGAAACGAACGAACCUCUCUAACCGAAGUUGGAGAGGGUAAGUGACGAACAAGGUCUACCUUAGAUUUAUCCACUUGAAUGCCUUUUUCAGAAAUAAUAUGUCCUAGAACAAUACCUUGCUUAACCAUGAAGUGACAUUUUUCCCAAUUAAGCACAAGAUUCGUUUCAACACAACGUUUCAGAAUUAAGGUCAGAUUAUUCAAGUAAUGAUCAAAUGAAUUACCAAACACGCUAAAAUCAUCCAUGAAUAUCUCAAUAAUCUUUUCCACAUAAUCAGAAAAUAUACUUACCAUGCAACGUUGAAAUGUCGCAGGGGCAUUGCACAAACCAAAUGGCAUGCGCCUAUAUGCAAAGGUGCCAAAUGGGCACGUGAAGGUUGUCUUUUCCUGGUCCUCCGGAGCUAUCACAAUUUGGUUAUAUCCAGAAUAUCCAUCAAGAAAGCAAUAAAAUUGAUAACCGGCUAACCUUUCUAACAUUUGGUCCAAGAAUGGCAAAGGAAAGUGAUCCUUCCUUGUCAUGGCAUUUAACUUCCUGUAAUCAAUACAAACACGCCAACCGAUCACAACACGAGUGGGUACAAGCUCUUGUUCUUCAUUCUUCACCACCGUGACUCCGGACUUCUUUGGAACAACCUGCACAGGUGACACCCAACGACUAUCAGAAAUAGGAUAUAUGACACCACAAUCAAGCAAUUUUAUAACCUCCUUUUUGACUACUUCCAACAUAGGCGGAUUAAGGCGACGUUGAGCCUCCCGAGAUGGCUUGGCUCCCUCCUCCAAAAGGAUGAGAUGCAUGCACGUGGUGGGACUAAUGCCUUUAAUAUCCGCCAAGGUCCAUCCAAUGGCAGGUUUGUGCUCCUUUAACACCCUUAUCAACUUGUCUUCUUCUUGGGCCGUGAGUGAGCUAGAUAUGAUGACGGGUAGUGUUUGAUCUUCUCCCAAGAAGACAUGCUUCAAGUGACUAGGUAAUGGCUUCAACUCAAGUGUAGGUGGCUGCACAAUGGAUGGAAGUAACUUGUUAGCCAAAACCGAAUCUAAAAUUGGGAGUGGAGACUUACCAGAAUGUGAUGGCAAUGACUCGAGGGACGCGACCAUUUCAACCACUUCACCACAAUGGGGCACGGCAAUAGGGUUCAAGUCCAUGCCGUGGGUUGCAUGGAUUCCCCCACACUUGUUUCUUGCUCCUAUGACGUGCACUAAGGCUAUUUCAAGUGCAUCAUCGUUCAUUCGAUCCAAGUGUACCUGUGCCAAAGAAUCAACAAUGUCAAUAGCGAAACAAGAAUGGUCCUCCAUUGGGUAUUUAAUGGUUUCAGAAAGAUUAAAACGAAUAAUGUCCCCAUCAAACUCCAUGGUUAAUGUUCCCAUAAACACGUCUAUCUUUGUUCUCGCUGUUUUCAUGAAUGGUCGGCCUAGCAAGAUUGGCAAUGAUGGAGCAUGGCUCGAGUCCUCCAUUUCUAAAACAUAAAAAUCUGCAGGAAAGAUAAGAUGAUUUACCUGCACUAAAACAUCCUCAAGGACUCCCUUGGGAUAAGCGUUAGAACGAUCGGCCAAUUGAAUUAUAACGCCAUCUUGUUUUAACUCACCAAGGUUCAUUGAUGCAUAAAUGGAAUAUGGCAUAACAUUAAUAGAAGCACCUAAAUCUAACAUGCAUUGUUCAAAUCUAGUGUUUCCAAUUACGCAUGGGAUAGUAAAGCUCCCUGGAUCCUUACACUUUGGAGGUAACUUUCGUUGCAAAACUGUGGAUACAUUUUCACUUACUUUCACAACUUCUUUGUUUGAAAUUCUUUUCCUAGUUGUGCAUAACUCUUUUAAAAACUUUGCGUACCUGGGUACUUGUUUAAUAGCAUCAAGUAAAGGAAUGUUUACUUGGACUUUUCGAAAGGUAUCCAAAAUGUCCUUUUCGCUUUCUUCCUUAUUCGAUUGUGCAAAUCUGCGAGGGAAAUGAACAUUGGGCAUAUUAGUGUUCGAAAUCACAACAUUUGGGACAUUCUUACCUGAAGUGGACGGAUGGGAUGUCUUAGGUGGCUGCGGCAUGGGUGAUGCUACCCUUGCCGUGGGGUAGGUGUGCUCCUCUUCUUCGAGUUGUAUCUUCUCAUCUUCCUUGUUUCUCACCUCUUUUCCACUUCGUAGUGUGAUAGCCUUCGCAGAUUCGAAACCACCCUUUGGAUUGACCACCGUAGUACUCGGCAACUUACCAUUUUCACGGAAUUGUCCCAAAAACUCGGCCAUUUGGCCCAUUUGCUUAUUUAGCUCAUUAACCUCCUUUGCUUGGUUCUGCAUUCCCUGCGCCAUUGUGGUUAGUAACUGAUAUGUUUUAUCAUCAUUCAUAGACGUACCUGGGUUGGUUUGAGAUGAUUGUGCUUGAGGAGGUGGUUGUGGUGCCAUUGGCCUUGGAAAGAAACCCGGGGUUUGUCGGAAUCCACUUUGUUGGCCAUAUUGUGGUGCAUCUCUCCAUCUGAAAUUGGGGUGGUCACGCCAUCCCUGAUUGUAUGUAUUGGAAAACGGAUCACCCCUUGGUUGGUUUUGAUUUCCAUAUCCCACAGCAUUGGCAGAUUCCCACCCUCUAUUCUCAAUUAAUUGAAGGCAUUGAUCAGAUUGGUGUCCUUGAAUGGAGCAUACACCAUAGACUGUAGUUCCUUGCGUUUUGGGGCCUUCAACCAACUGCGAUAACAUAGACGUAAGGUUAGCCAUUUAGGAUUGUAACUCAGAAAUAGAACUUACCUCAUUUACAUGAUGUGGCCGUGGGGUGUCUCGUUGCCCAACGCUUUCAUAUUGCUGUGCAUUGAGUGCUCGAUUCGCAAUGAGAGUUUUGGCAUCCCUGGGUGUCUUGUCCACUAGAGCUCCUCCCGCGGACGCAUCCAACAUUUGCCGUUCAAGUGGUAAAAGACCUUCGUAAAAAUAUUGAAGAAGUAGCUCCUCCUUCAUCUGAUGCUGUGGACAAGAAGCAACAAGUGAUUUAAAUCGUUCAUAAUAAGAUGGAAAAGAUUCACCUGGGCUUUGCUGAAUUCCACUAAUCUUCUUUCGAAGAAGAAUGACUCGUGAUGUCGGGAAGAACUUCUCUAAGAAAGCUCGCUGCAUGCUCUCCCAUGAUGUGACAGUGCCGGGAGCCAACUCAUACGACCAAUCCUUGGCCUUCUCCAACAAAGAAAAGGGGAAAGCCUUCAUCUUCAAUGUUGCCGUCCACGUUCACCGGUGUCAUACUCGAGCAUACUACUUCGAACUCCUUUAAAUGCUUAUUGGGGUCCUCCAUUGAUAACCCAUGGAACUUGGGUAUAUGAUGUAACAAACUUGACUUCAACUCAAAUUCAUCGGUCUUCUCAGGGGCUGCCCUAGGGUAUUGGAUGCAAAGAGGGGCUGCAUUGGCCAAACCCGAGGCAGAAAGCUCCUUAAUGGUUCGAUUGUCGACUGCCAUGGUUGGUACUUCUUCUUCAACUCUUGCUGUGGCCUCCUCUUCAACCUCAACUUCUUGCUCUUCUAAUUCAGGUUCGGGACUAAGAGGAUUAGACUUGUGCAAUUUCUUUUUCCUUCUCAACGUCCUCUCAAAAUCACCGUCAAAGUCGAAGAUAUGCCCACGAACAGGUUGUGAGCUACGGGUCAUAAACUAGUACCUGCACACAAGAGCAACAAGGUUAGUAACCAACUCACUAGACUCGGCACAAGUAAGAAAUUAAGGUGCCUAUGCACGGCACAAAAACAAACACACACACACGGUGCAAAAUUCAAAAACAAAACAGAAAACGAAACAAUUUAAACAAGACUCAAGACAAGGGAUUAGCAACUUUGCUAAUCCCCGGCAACGGCGCCAAAAUUUGAUGUGAAAAUUUUGUUGACACCCAAAUUAAACCCUAUUUGUGACAAUUGUAGUAAUGAUGUAAGUAGGGAUCGUUCUAACCGGGGAUUAACUAGGGGUACUAAUCACUUGAAACUGAAUUAGAAACGUAAAAACAAAGUUUAAAACACUAGAUUAGACUCAAGGAAUGCAAAACUAACGUUUAAAAUACUAAAACAAACCAAAAACUCAAAACAGCAACCAAAAGACUUAAAACUGCCUUAAAAACACUUUCUGGGCAGUUUUGAACACAAAGCACCAAAUUGGAUGAAUUUGGGUUUUAACUUGUACCAAAACACUUAAAAACAUAAACCAACACACUUUCUAGCUAAUCUAGGACUUCAAAACAAAUGGGGAUUUGAUUUGGACGAAAAUAACUAAAUGGGCAGAUUGUGAAACAAAAACAUAUUGUAAGAUAAAAUUGUAAUGAAUCAAUGGAUGAUGGAAUAGCUAAGGGGUUCUUCUCCACACAUGAAAUAUAUGCAACCUAAAUCGAUUUCCAGUUAUCAAAUUAAUAAGUUAUGAAUCUCGACACUCCAAGUUAAUUAGGUCCGCUUAGAUUAACCUUCAGAUUUCCCUAGAAUCAUUGAAUUGGAUGAAUAUGCAUCGCAAACAAAUUAUUCCUAACAAGUUCUCUAUAUGAACAGCAUGAUAAAGAUACAAGUUAGAAUCAUUACGUUCUUUGGAAAUCAUAAGCAUCGACAAGGCAUUCAUAACUAUGAAAAGCAUGAUACUCUUGCUAGGAAUCUACUUAACACGAUCGUGACUAGCGACCUUUACUACUUGCGAAUAUAAAUUCAUAACAAUUAGGUGAAACAAACUCAUAUCCUAGCAUCAAAUUCAAGCAUGCAAAUUAAGCGUGCACUCUCAAUCAACAUACAAGAAUAAGUUCUAAAUCAAACGGUUAAGCGAAUUGUAUUCACGACUUAUGCAACGAUAACUGGAAGUAAUCAACUUAUUUCACAUAUAUAAUCAUGGUUUUGAAUCCACCCUUAGCCAAAACGAAUUUAGCCAAUCAUACUUAAAGAAAAACAAGAUUACAUGAAUUAGACAUUGAAAUAUAAGAUAGAAAACACCUAAAAUCGUUCAACAACUCAGAUUGAAAAGCCAAACAAUUGUAGAGAAUCUGUCCCCUUUGUUGCUUGCGGCAGAUUGUAUGGUGAUGCUUCUUGGAUUGUUUUGAUGACGUAGAAUGGAAUUUGGGGGGUGUAGAGGCACGGCAAGGGUUGUAGGAUGAGUGUGGAUGAGUGGUGGAUGGAUGGAAAAUGGUGGAAAGCUCGGCAAGAAUGGUGGGAAGGUGCGGCAGAUUAUAGAACUAGGGUUUCUGGAAUUUUGAAUGAAUGUAGCAGGUUGUAGUUCGGCCUAGGGGUUAAAACACAUAUAUAUAAGCACUACAAACCCUAGGGCAAAUAGAUUAGGGCCUCUAAAACCUAAAUCCAUCAGAAAUUACGUUAAAACAAUUAGAAUUUAAGUGGGAAAAGGGCCUAGGGUGCGGCUGGUUACUAGGGUAAAUGAAUGGGCCUUCUAGAAUGCCUUGCAAGGCAAGGAAAUCAGAUUUCUAAAGCCCUAGGUGCGGCAAGGGUUAGGGGGGGGAAAGGCUAGGUCAUCUAAAAGCCCAAAGCCAAGAAUAGAAACUCUCGAAAAUGGAAACCUCCAAGAAUAGAAACUUCCAACUUUAGAAACUUUGGUUUCCAAUUCCGAAUUCUUUGUUCUUCACUUUCAUUUCUUCCUUUCUUAAGCUCCUUUGACCUUCAAACUCGUCCAUUCCUUGUGCUCCAUAAGCUUACACAACAUUCCAGCUCAAUUUUGCUCUAAAAUGCUCCAUUUCGCACUUAUUUGCAUCCUUUGUCUCUAAACCUGAAAUUGCAUGAAACUGACUUUAAACAUUGAAAUAACUCAAGAAAAACAAUAUAAAUGCAUGAGAACAAGCCCACUAAGUCGCAUAAAUAUGCUCCUAUCAAAGAUGCUUACACUUGUCAUGAACUAUGACUCAUUACAAUCUAAUCUAGAUGCCAUAUGGAAUAUGAUCCAAAGGCUCACAUUCAAUCUUACAACUUGCAUUUAAUAAACCAACACAGCAAAUACACUUAUACACCAAUAUUGUGUUGGUAAUGUCCAUGAGAUUGAGUCAAAAGCUCCACCAUUUCAAAUUAUUUCCCAUGUAAAUAUUGAGAAGAAAAGAAAACAAGUUUGAAAUUUUGUUGUAAUAAUUGGUGAGAAAAUGAUAUUAGAAAGUGUGUAAUUUGGGAGAGAGGUCGCAGUUGGUAGGAAUAAAAGGAGAUUAAAAGAUUAAACUUGUUGAUAUUGACAGUGGAAAAAAGAAUUGCUUUUGCUUACAAAUUAGGAACUUAGUCCACUGGUGUCAAAUGCAGUAAAAAAGUUUUUGAUGGGAAUCAAUUAGCAAAAUGGUUAGGCUAAAUCUUGAGAAAAUUUGAAUUCUUUUUGGUAUUUGGCAGACUUUUUAAGUGAUUUUUAAGGAUUUUUUAUUGUUGUUGCAUUUGCAGAUCAUUUGAUGAGUAUGAAGGGAUAUAAGUUGCUUAGAACCAGGUCAAGCUCUAAUCUUUUAGCAAUCGAACAUCCUCAGUUAUAGGUUUGGGCCUUACCUUCUGUAUUUUAAUGUUUGUUUUAUACCAUUUCCUACAUUGUUUUGUUGUUUUAGGCUGUAGAUGAAAUGUAAAGUGUUAUUUAUUCCAAGUAAAAUUAAAAAGUUAACUAGGUCUUCUUCAAAAUGCAUGGAAUAAGCCUAUGGGUUUUAACUUGGUUCUUAAAUUAUUUUCUCAGUGAUAAAAUCAAUUAUGAAUGUUUACAUAAUUUGUAAAGUGAUGAAUAAGUUGACAUAUUAUACUUAUUACUUAACUUUUGUUAUUAAAUUGUGAGUUUGACUGUACAAAUCAUUCAUUAAUCCUUCUUUUAUGUGGAGGCCAAAUUGCAGAAGUUUUACUCUUUUUAUGGAUAAUUUGAAGUCUUUUAUGCAAAUUGCAAGUUAUUUUUACUUUAUUUGAUAUUUAACAUUCUAAAUUACAUUUAAACACAGGUACAAUGUAACAUUCGUUCUUGAAGAUGAGACUGAUGAUGAGGCAACUACAAUGUUUCACAAAAAAAAAAAGAAAAUCAGAAGACCUCUUUUUAUCGGUGGCAAAAAAAGGUUACACCCUACUAAAUAAUAUCUUUUCCUAUAUUUAAUCUUUUGUAACACAAUUUUUUAUACCUUUCAAACAUAAUUUUUCAUAUGAUUCUUAAUCCCGUAGCAACGCGCGGGCAGUGUUUUCUAGUGUGUGUGUGUGUGUAUAUAUAUAUAUAUAUGUAUGUGUGUGUGUGUGUGUGUGUGUGUGUGUAAGCAAGUGCACAAUUGUCAAUGUCAGUUUAUAUAUUGUCAAUGUCAGUUUAUAUAUAUAUACACACACUAAACCAACAUAGGUGCAAGUAUGCAGCCUAUAGACAUGCAAUCCAGGCGUACAAAAUAGGAACUAGGUGUGCAGAGAUAAUUUUGUCAAUCCACUUUCGUAAACCAUGCAAAGGUGUCAGUCAACUUUUGUAAACCAUACGAAGGUGUCAGCCCACUUUCGUAAAUUAUGCUUCAGUCCACCACGUUCAUAAAUUGUGUGAAAGUGUUUCACGUUCGUAAGUUCCACAUUCAUAAACUAUGUGAAGGUGCUCCAAGUUGGUAAAUUAUGCUGUGAUGUUUGUAAAUUAUAAUUAUGCUUUAGUCCACCACGUUCGUAAAUUUUGUGAAAGUGAUCCACAUUCGUAAGUUCCACAUUCAUAAACUAUGUGAAGGUGCUCCAAGUUCAUAAAUUAUGUUGUGAUGUUUGUAAAUUAUGCGAACAAGUCAGUUGACUUUCGCAAGUUACGGAAGGAGUUAGUCCACUUUCGUAAGUCAUGCGAAGAUAGUCCACAUUCGUAAAGUUACGGAAGGAGUUAGUCCACUUUCGUAAGUCAUGCAAAGAUAGUCCACGUUCGGAAAGUUACAGAAAGAGAGUCCAUUUUCGUAAGUCAUGCAAAGAUAAUCCACGUUCGUCAACUAUGCAAAGGUGUUCCAAGUUCGUAAGUUAAGCUGUGAUGUUUGUAAAUUAUACAAAGGAGUCAGCUAACUUUCGCAAGUUACGCGAUAGUUAACUUUCAUGAAUUAUGGUUUAGGUGUCAGUUUACACUCGUAAAUAAGGCUAAGAUGAUAGUUCCUAAAUUUUGCGAAGAUGUUAGAGUUAGGCAAAGGCUGUUGUAAAUUAGGCCUUAGAAAAAGUGGCUUCCACAAAUUGGGCUUUAGAAAGAAAGGUUUGAAGUUUUAGCUUGGCUUAAAGAAUAUAGUUUCAAGGCCUCAUGCGAUCGAAAAACUCAGUUUUUUUCUAUUUUUCAUAUGUAAAAAAAGGGAGAAAGGGGGCAUUAUGGGAGGAUAGAAUCUAGUUUCGACUCAUGGGCCAAUACCAAUCAUCCAAAGAGAUGAUGUUGUGCAAGAUAAAUUGUGAGGAAAGCCCACAAGAAAUAUACAGAUGCAAGAGAAGGGAAACGUGUCUAAAUAACUAUCUCCACUACGGAGGACCACUAAGGAAGAGGGAGAGGAAGACAAGUUGUGGUACUUGUUUCCCAAGCAUGUAGUUCGUAUCUAGAUAACUACCUCCACUAUGGAGGACCACUAAGGAAGAGGGAGAAGAAGAUAGGUCAUGGUACUUGUUCCCCAAGCAUGUAGUCCUAUAAAUAUGGAGAUGAGCCAAAGAGCAAGGUACGCAAUCAAAACCAGAGAGAAACCAGAGAAUAAAAAAUCAAUCGACUGACUUAAGCGUCAGAGUAUCUCUUGCAAGUGCCCCGCCCAGACAAGCUACCAAGAAAGACUGCUCAGGAAUGCCUCUUACUAGGGAUUCGACGAACGUGAGGAUUGCGGUUAACAAAUCUGUAGAGGUAUUUCUUCCCGUAGGAAAUUUCGCUCCAACAACUUGAAAUCCUGAUAGAGAUAAACGAGACCCCGAGCAAUUCCACAUAUUUUUAAUUUCAAUCCAAAUCACUUAAUGACCUAUAUAUGAUUCCAUGAAAUUAUUUUAAGGCAACCAAGCAAUAACUAAAUCUGCAUAAACUUAUAGGGUGUCAAAGAUUCAAACCAAAAUGGAGCUGUUCGUUUGGAAGAAUUUCCGAUGGGGACGUUUCCUGACCAACGAGCACACAGCUCCCCAAGAGGUUGGCGCCAGUUGAUAUUGUAUGUCGGGCUUCUGCUUAUUGGCGGGUUGUAAAAGAAGGACAGAGUUACUUUUGAAAGGUGUCUUUGUGGGGCCUUAAGUGUAGGCCUUGAUGCUCACAAUCAAAAUUAACUGUAAGUGUUCAGGCAUGCCACUGCCAUCUUUAGCAUGACAAAUGUAAAACAUAUGUUAUAUAUGCCUGAGAGACCGAAUGAGCUCUGAAAGGUGCCUUUGUAGGGCCUUAGGUGUAGGCCUUGAGGCUUCCAAUCAAAACGAACUAAGUACUCGAAUAUAUAUUGGUUGUUUAAUUGUUGUAAAAGUAUCAUAACUGUUAUCCUUUAAUUACCCGUGCCCGAAGAGUAGAACGAACCCAGAUAGGUGCCUUUAUAGGGCCUUAGGUAUAGGCCUUAAGGCUUCCCAUCAGAGUUAAUUCUAUACUCAAGCAUUUUAUGGCAAUCAUAGUAUAACAACAGUAAAACUGAGAAAUAGGCUGAUUACUUGCACCGCACCCUAAGUAACUUUGGACUUCUUGUUAUCAAAGACUGUCGUGGAUGGGUUAAGUCCACAUAAAGUUCUUGUGUAUGCCUUGAGACCAAGGACUUUUAAUUGAUCAAUCUUGUAUGCCCGAGAGGUUAGAACUUAGAAGCCUUUUAAUCAUAAACUUGUUAGAAAUAACUUGGAUGCAGAUGGAAGUAUACAUCAUAUUACUAGAUUUAUGACUGAAAAAACAAAACAAAGAGGGUCGGGCAAGGUUUUCACUUUGUCGGGCAAGACUGAUCGUCUUACAACUUCCUCUCUUUGUAAUUUACAAAGUAUUUGAGUGCUAGAAGGGGAGAUUGGGGGAUGAGUUUACAGGAGGGAAUCAAUACUACAACAAGAUUUAGACAGGGUAGCAGAGCUUUUACAAAGGUUUUUUGGUGAAGGUUAAUCCUGAAAAGGAUGAAGGCUUGAUGCUGACUACAGCUUCGUAUGCAAAUCUGGCUUACGCAUAGUUUGUGUAUUUGUUUGUUUGUUUGAGUGUCCCUAUCUUUGAUUUCUCUUUCCCCUUUUAUAGAUGAUUUGACUUGACUGCCUGCAGUAUUAAUCUUGCCCGCAUGCUGCUGAAGGGUAGUGACUCAUCAGCUUUUUACUUGUACUGCCAUUGUAAAGUACUUUUGGGCUGAUUAGCUGGCCAGUCUAAACCACUUGAUCUCUAGGUAGGUGAGCAAGUGGCUUAAGUGAUCUUCAUUUAGUCGGGAAAAGGGCUUCUCCCUUCUUCUGGGCUUCGGCUUCCUUCCUUCUGGAUCUUCUUAUGGGCUAUCCCCAUUUUGAGCCCAAAGUUCAAGUUUUAACCCAGACAGUGCCCCCCUUUAAUUAAUAUUCAGGCUGGAAUUCCAGGCGCCAAUAUUGAUUGAAUAGCCACCAUUCAUACCCACGUCUUUACUUGGGACUUGUACCCUUUUCAAAAACAACCGUCACUUACCUACGAUCUCUCUACUGACCCACGAAUCAUCAGAUAUCCCUAAUACGAAAUCCCCCUUUUUUUGACUUCCUUUUGCUCUUCGCCCCAUAUCUUCUGCUCCUAUCACCUUCUUGUCACACCUCUUCCAAACUUAUCAAAUGGCUUCAAGAUCUGGCCAAGUUCAGCUAUCAUACGAAUCUGGUGAAGGCAUCGCUACUUUACGCCGCUUACUCAACAGAUUGCAUCGCCCUCGAGCAGGUUUGUGCUCUGAACUUUUCUUUGAAGCACACGGGGUACAAUCGUUGGGUCCUGCAUGGAUUUCUCACGUCCCUGCUGUGAUAGAGAGUAAUAUGUCCAGGGGUAACUGGUUCACCCCAAAUCCUUUCUUGGCCAAGUCGGGCAUCUCUUCAUCUAAAUGGUCAUCAUAUUGUCGUGGCUUUCCUCUAAUGAACGACCUAGCUUGGACUCAGUGGAUUGAUGAACUAGAACCAACCUUCAAGAAGAAGUGGAUGAACAAUGGUAUUUAUGAACUAAUAAUGCUUUCAAAAACUACCAUUAUUCCCAAGCCCGAACUGCUUGUUACUUCUCUUCUUUUCCGGAACUCGGGCACAAAUACUUUUGAUUUUCGCAUGGGUCCCAUGUCUCCAACUAUUCUAGAUAUGGCCCAAGUCUUCGGGCUAAGACCAUCGGGUAAGAUUGUAGAUGUUACUCAAGAUUGGGUUCCCUUUUCUUCUUCAAUUGCUGAAAGCUCCGGUUCCUCCUCCUCUUUUCUCCGAUUAGAAUAUAACUCUGCUACUUUUAAGAGUUACGAGACCUCUUUCAAGGGAUUCAUCCCCUUUGUAAAGGAGAAUUUUGGUGCAGAUUCCUCUCAUGCCAAUAAAGAUCAGGAACAUAUGUACUUCCUCUUAUAUUGGCUCAACAAGCAUGUUUUCCCAAAUAAAUCUAAAGGGGUGAAGGUUGAAUAGAUCCCCUUAGUAGAAGCCCUCCACAACUUUGAUGAUGUAGCCAUAGGUCUGUUUCUUCUUUCUCAUCUUUAUCACCUCAUCUUUGAAAUGACUCAAGGUGAGCCAUUUGAAACCAAUCUGAAUGGACCCAUAUGGAUGAUCCAAAUAUGGCUCCAAUGGUAUUUCCUAGAAUUUCGGGCUGUUAACUUAGAAUUCCCAGAAAGUGUGGCCCCUACCCGAAUAUUAGCUGAAGCCGCUCCCACAGAUCACUCUACUUUCGCCUGUUUUUAUUUCUUCAAAGUUUGUAGAACCCGAUCAUACUUGGAGUAGGGCGCUUUAGUUUUGAGAAUAUAUCAUUGGUUCUCGGACCAAGCCUUUCAAGACGUUCCCGGGGAAGAUGCCACCUCAUUUUGCAGGGAUAAAUUUAUCAGUUGUAUUCAACCAAGAGACAUAGCCUGGGGAGUUCGUGGUAACCGCUAUGAUCGUGGGUUGGAAGUAUAUCACCCUAAUUUUUGUAGCAAGCAAUUAGGCUUUAGGCAAGCCAUUCCCAUCCCAUUCUUUGAUUCUGUUCACUGUGGCACCUCCUUUAGGUUACUAUCCCCUUCAGAUGUGACCUUUCGAGAGACCCGACGAAGUCUUGAAGUUAUGAAUCAGGCUGCCUGAAAGUCUAUAGUUCUUAACUUCGAAUGCACUUCACUCUUCUCCACCUGGUGGGAAGCCAAAUGGACUAAGAAAUAUGGAAGAGAUUUGCGAGAAACUCACGACCCUCUUUUUAACCAGCUCUCCCUCAAAUCAUACCCAAGUUUGGGCGAACUUGAAAACUGGACGGAAAUGAUUCAGCAGAAGAAUCGGUUACUUUUGAUAGGUAUUUCUCUCCCUUAUUCGAAUCUGCCUUCCUUCGAAGUUUUUUCUAUCUCUAAACCCUAAACCUUAUUUAAGUCUCAUUUUUCUUGAUCCUAUAGCUCAAGCAGAUGUUGAAUUAGCAUCCAUUGAAUCAGAUGAUGAUUCAGUUGAUGCAGCAAUUCUUCAUGGAGCCGCAGUAGAGGCUCAAAGACAAGAAAUUGGAGAAGAUGGAGAUGUUUCAGAAUCUUUUGGAGAUUCAGAAGCUGAAGACGUACCUGAGGCAAACAUCAAAAAGCCUAAGCGGAGGAAAGUAGUUGUGGUCGAGACCUCAGAAUCUGAACCUACAUCACCACCCAAACCUAAACGGUCAAUCCCUACCAGAAAAAGUAAGAGGUCAAGAACUAUUCAGGCGUCUAAGUCUUCAGCCUUGUCGGUUCUAGUUUCUAAGGCAGGCAUAAAGAAACAAAAGUCUUCAAGUAAGUGUUUUUUUUUCUUUAUCGAACUUCCAUCCUUCUUCUUUAUCUAAUUGUCCCUAUUUUCUUUGAAAUUAGAGCCUCAGGCCUCCAAGAAACCAACUACUGCAUUCAGGAAGGAUCCACUAGGAGCUUAAAUGCAUCAAAAAGAUGAAGAUCUGCAGAAUAUCACCUUUAGGAAGCUUGAGGUAUUUGCUUGUACUUUGAACAUGAUUGCUUGAUUCAGGCCAUAAGGGAAAAGAUUCUUCCACUCGAGGCCUCUUUAUCAUUUGCCUGAAAAACAAGUGUCUCUUUUCCUCGGGCUAAUCCUUUAGAAGUGCAUUUCCCUCAUUCUGGAAUCUUGAAUAACUUUAUAGUCUCUCGAACAGAUGACCGAACUUUCUCUUCCUCUCUUUUAUCCAGGUUGGGGUAUCUGCCCCUUUGCUUAGCCAAGGUUCACUUCCAAAAUCUUCUAUUUCUCCUUCUGCCCUGGAGGCAACUCCAGCUUCUCAAUUUAAUCCAGCAACAGGGGUCAUGUUGCAUUUUGUGGAUGAGGACAGCAGUUUGGUGAGCAGUUAUCUUGACAUUGAACUUCUAUACAUUGUGCCCAUAUUCACUUUCUAUUUAUCCUUUCUCUAGCCAUCUCAAAUGCAUGAAUCACAACAACCAUCAGUGGUGACUUUUAAAGCACUCGUAGCCCCUGAGAUUCCUGUGACCCCAAGAGUAGCUAUCUUGCAGGUGCUUCCGUGCCCGAUAGCUACUACCGACGAACCUCCUUCUUCUCUUCAUACCCAGGUAUGGAGGCAUCUUCUCUUUCUGUUUUCUUCUCAUAACAUGUUUACUAACAACUGCUACAAUUUUUGGAUGUUCUUAGGGCAUUGGUGAAGGUUCGGGCAUAGCUUUUUCUUCCUCUGCCGGUGGUAGUAAUUCUCCUCAUUUUAAAACCCCAGGUCCCAUUCAAGUAUAUUUCUUCUUUCCAAAGCUUCUCUCUACCUUAAAUUGUCCUUUUUGUUGUAACCUGCUCUUCUUUGGUUCUUGCAGCAAGCCCUAGGAUAGGCUUCGGGCAAAUCUCCCCCACAUUUGGUGCAUAAGACGAAGUUCCCCCGGCCUCUUUCAACUUCUAGAGACACAGGGAUUUCCCUUUCUGGAAUUGAGAGGACCGAGACCGAAACUAGAGAUUUGGCCUCAUCAGUGGUCACUCCCCCAUUAGAAGAAACUGGAGUACAAACCCCUCAUCUUUCUUUUUCAUUUUCAACAACUACUAACUUGCCCAAACUUUUUGAAGAAUUCGGGCAACUUGAGACAAGGCUGAAAUCUUCAAAGCGUUCUUCUGAAUCUUCCGGCUUUCAAGAGCAACGCCGAGCAUUUCAAGAAUGGGUGAGGAAGGACUUUUCAACGUCAUUCAGCCUCAAGGCACUUCAUGACAUAGAAAAGGUUACAAUAGAGCUUUUUAAAGUCAGCCAGCUAUCCAAAACACAACAUGAUUCCUUUCUCUCUUUCUUUGAGAACUUGAGGGCUCUCAGGGAUCAACAUCAGAGAGCUGAGAGACAAGCCAAUCGUGUAAGAUGUUUUAAGAAGAAAGAAUCAAGUACUUAUGCUCAGGUUGACCAGUUGAUGGAUGAGGGCUUGCUGACAAAAGAAAUGAUUGGAGUGGUAACUUCUAAAAUCCAAAAGCUGGAAGAACAACUUGUUGCACUGAAAGCUGAGCAAACAACUCUUCUUAGCACCUUUAAACAUCAAAUUGAAGAAGUGAAGAAGUCAAACUCAGAGCUAGAGCACACUAGGUCUCAACUUAUCAAUAGUAACACUGUUCUGGCUGAACCUAGUAGAAUUUUCACAAUCAUGUAGACUUAUCAUUCCCGAAUAAUUACUUUAAGUGAAGAUGUAAAUCUGUUAGACUAGGAUCACUUGUAACCUUUUUUUUUAUCAGAAUGAACAUGUGUUUUACCUCUGCUUGCCUUGCUCAUGGAAUUGUCUGAACAAAAACCCCAUGUUUAUAUAUUCGGGCAACUCCCUGCCCCCCUCUUUAUUUUCUUUUCUGCUUCCCUUACUUAUACCAAUUUCAGAACCUGAUCAUGAUCACUUGGUCCAUCUUCUAGUGCUAUUAUUAUUAUCGUGGGGGCGUUGGAGCAACAAAUGAUGACCCCCAAAUCAGGUUGAUCGCGUUGAUAGGGGCUGCCGGGAAAGGGUUUGUAUUAACCAUCAUACUGGCUUGGGGUUUGUCCAGCAACAGCUUUCCCUUCAUUAUAAGGUCUUGUAUCCAAUCUCUGAACUGGACAUAAUUGGCUAUGGAAUGGUUGAAGGUAUAGUGCAACUUGCAAUAUUUCUUCCCCCUUAGCUCUUUUGGUAUAGGCAUCAUUUUAGUACUGUCGGGCAAAAUUACUCUUGCCCGCACCAGUUCUUCAUAGAUCUCAGGUGUUUUGGCCAAAUCAAAUGAAUAACUCUGGUACUUGGGAGGUUUCAUAGGUAUGAACCUUCCAUCGUUCAUUACGAUUUUCUGGUCUUUAAUGGGUUGAACCAACCCUUUCACUAUCAAUGGUUUGAAAGACGUGGUCAUUUCAGCAGCAUAAACAUCAAUUUCCCCUCUACCAUGGUCAUCUUCAUGCUCUGGCCUUGCUUCUUCCACCUCCACACGAUGAAUUGUGACUUUGUUUUUGUAAAAGGGAGGCACCUUGGAAGUAUGUUUCACUUGCUGUUCUUCUAGCAGCAACCUUUUAUACUUGGUGGCGGCGAUUACCAACUCCUGUAACUCGUUGAAUUGCGUGUCAUAGAACCUUUUCCUCAUAGGUAAUCUCAAAGCCCUUUGAGCAAUCGAUAUAAGCUGAGCUUGGUUAACAGGGAAUUGGCAUCUCAUUCUUAUCUUUCUGAACCUCAUCAUGAAAUCUUCUAUGGAUUCAUAGUCGUAUUGUUUGACUUCAAUCAGGUCAUUAAUAGUCAUUUCUAGCUCUAUUCUGUAAAACUGUUCAUGGAAGGCCAUCUCCAUUUGCCCCCAGUUGGCAAUAGAGUUAGGAGGCAAUAGAGAGUACCACUGAGAUGUUAGCCCCACCAAUGAAUUUCCAAACAACCUCAACUUGUAGUUCGGGUUGUCUUCAUAUGCAACACAAUGAUUGGAGAAUUUGAAAAUGUGAUCUUUGGAUGAUACACUGCCAUCUUCUCCUGUGAAUGUUGGGAAUGCAGGCAUUUUAAAGUUGAGAGGAAAAGGGUUUUGCUCAUCAAUAUAUUCAGGAUAAGGUUUUUGAUAGGUAACCUCGAAUACUGGACAAGCUCGUGGUUGAGCAUUAUGAGCCACAAUCCUCUUUAAUUCAGCCAACUCCUCCCUUAGUUGCUGAGUAACCGUAUUAUCAUGGAAGAUAAAAGCAGACUCAUUCCUUGGGCUUCGGUCAGUGCCCGCACCUACUUCCUUCUUUGAUUCGGGCUUUCUCCAGUUGACUCCUCCUCCUCCCUUAUUAGCCAGCGGGGGUGGCCUAUAAGAAGGAGGCUUAUCUGAAGUUGUGAAGCUUUCUUUUCCGUUGGAUUCUCCGAUCAUUAUGGGCAUCCCAUACUUUGGUCUUUGUUCAUUCUGCUUCCUAUUAUUAAAUGAUAAUAAUGGGAAGCUAGAGAAUUCUUUCUCUAGAACUGGUUCAAUCAUGGGUUGACCUCCUUCAAGAACUUCCUUUUUCUUUCCCCUUUCCUUUUCUUCUUCAAAUAACGGAAAUAGAGGAAGAACUGGUUCACUUCUAGAGGUAGCCUGACUCAUCACACCUCCUUGAACACUUCUUAGGGUAGAGAACUCCAGAUCUAGUCUCCUCUGUAGAUUCCCUGUUAAGGUACAAAGUCUGCUUACUUCUCCCUUGGUUUCCAAAGAAAUCAUUUCCAUGCUCUUCAACACUUGUAUCAUAGUAGCCUGCAGUUCUUCAUUAGUUCCUUUUCCUUCAGACCUUCCAGAUGAAGUCGGGCUUUCCAAGACCACCUGUCUUGAUGGAGAAGAAGGAUUUCCUGGUUGAUCUGUCAUCUUUAACGAAAGUUGAGAUGAUUCGUACUUUGUACUCUUUCGGAAAGGUUUAUGGCUUUUCUUCUUUAACAUAUUAGAUUAAAUUCGUGUCCCACUGGGCGUGCCAAAACUAUGUUCGUCUGGAGGAAUUUCCGAUGGGGACGUUUCCUGGCCAACGAGCACAUAACUCCCCAAGAGGUUGGCGCCGGUUGAUAUUGUCUGUCGGGCUUCUGCUUAUUGGCGGGCUGUAAGAGAAUGACAUAGUUACUUCUGAAAGGUGCCUUUGUGGGGCCUUAGGUGUAGGCCUUGAGGCUCACAAUCAAAAUUAACUUUAAAUGUUCAGGCAUGCCACUGCCAUCUUUAGCAUGACAGAUGUAAAACAUAUGUUAUAUAUGCCCGAGAGACCGAAUUAGCUCUGAAAGGUGCCUUUGUAGGGCCUUAGGUGUAGGCCUUGAGGCUUCCAAUCAAAACUAACUAAGUACUCGAAUAUAUAUUGGUUGUUUCAUUGUUGCAGAAGUAUCACAACUGUUAUCCUUUAAUUGCCCGUGCCCGAAGAGCAGAACGAGCCCAGAUAGGUGCCUUUAUAGGGCCUUAGGUAUAGGCCUUGAGGCUUCCCAUCAUAGUUAAUUCUAUACUCAAGCGUUCUAUGGCAAUCAUAGUAUAACAGCAGUAAAACUGAGAAAUAGGCUGAUUACUUGCACCCUAAGUAACUUUGGACUUCUUGUUAUCAAGGACUGUCAUGGAUAGGUUAGGUCCACAUAAAGUUCUUGUUUAUGCCUUGAGACCAAGAACUUUUAAUUGAUCAAUCUUGUAUGCCUGAGAGGUAAGAACUUAGAAGCCUUUUAAUCAUAAACUUGUUAGAAAUAACUUGGAUGCAGAUGGAAGUAUACAUCAUAUUACUAGAUUUAUGACUGAAAAGACAAAACAAAGAGGGUCGGGCAAGGCUGAUCGUCUUACAACUUCUUCUCUUUGUGAUUUACAAAGGAUUUGAGUGCUAGAAGGGGAGAUUGGGGGGAUGAGUUUAUAGGAGGGAAUAGAUACUACAACAAGAUUUAGACAUGGUAGCAGAGCUUUUACAAAGGUUUUUUGGUGAAGGUUGAUCCCGAAAAUGAUGAAGGCUUGAUGCUGACUACAGCUUCGUAUGCAAAUCUGGCUUGAGCAGAGUUUGUGUAUUUGUUUGUUUGUUUGAGUGUCCCUAUCUUUGAUUUCUCUUUCCCCUUUUAUAGAUGAUUUGGCUUGACUGCCUGCAUCAUUAAUCUUGCCCGCAUGCUGCUGAAGGGUAGUGACUCAUCAGAUUUUUACUUGUACUGCCAUUGUAAAGUACUUUUUGGCUAAUUAGCUGGCUAGUCUACACCACUUGAUCUCUAGGUAGGUGAGCAAGUGGCUUAAGUGAUCUGCACUUAGUCGGGAAAAGGGCUUCUCCCUUCUUCUGGGCUUCGGCUUCCUUCUUUCUGGAUAUUCUUUUGGGCUAUCCUCUUUUUGAGCCCAAAGUUCAAGUUUUAACCCAAACAGAAGUCGAGGCUUCUAUCGGGCAUGUAUUCAUAAAGCAUCAUUUUCUCCUCUCCUUGAACGCAAACAAUCAAUAUAACUUCAUUUAUGAACUCUCUCAAUCCUUGGCCAGAACUUCUUGAAAGCCUCUUCACAGCAAUUUUUUGUCCAUCGACAAGCGUCCCCUAGAAAUUUACACAAUUUCCAAUGUUGUGAAAUUCAUCAUGGAUUUGAUUCUUUGUUAGUCCGGUCAUUAUUAUGAAGCAACUUAGAAAUCUACCUUAUAAACAUGUCCACAUCCACCUACUACAAGCUUUUAUCUCUUGAAAAAGUUAUACGUGGCGCUAGCUACUGUCAUCGGGUCAAAGAGUGGGAGCUCCAUGUCCCCUCUUAGUGUCCCUUCAUUGUCCUGAUUUCUUUCCCUUAUUUUCGUGAUGGGGUUCCUGUUAGCUAGAGAUGUAGUAACCAAACUAAAACUUAUAUGUGCAGAUAGAUUACAUGUACAGUUCAAAGGCCUGGCAUUUUCAACCCGACCCGACCCGUUAAAAUUAGUAUUCGGGUGAGUGAUAAAUAGGUCAGGUGGUUAACGGGUCAUUUUGAAUGAACCCGCGAAACUCGUUAACCACCUAUUAUUGAGGACUUUUAUGUAAUUUUAAUAGUCCUAAUAGAAAACCCUCAGGUCCUUCAUGACUCUCUCUCGCGCAUGCCGUUACUCUCUGAGAGAUUUAUGUGCUCCUUCCCUUCUGGCUCCGGUUAUCUCCCUCAUCUUCUUCACAUAAAGUUACAAACUUUCAAAGACCAGUAAGCUGUUUGCAAUCUCAUAAAUUUCACAGUGCAAAGUAACUUUAAAUUUCCAUUUUCUGUUAAUUUCCUAGAGAGAGGGGGGAGUACCUGGCAUGGUUUGUAUCGGCGGCGGGAUUGGGUUCAGAAUCGAAAGAUGGAGCAAAAGAGGAGGAGUCGAGCUCCGAAGCCAUCGCCACAAAUCGCCAUCUGGAGCUGCUUGUUGAUAUAGGGCUUAUUGGGUAGCUGAAUUUGGAGCAGUUGAUGCUAUGUAGUUUGUACGGACUGCAUCGAUUUACCGGGGAAGAAACGGCCAAAAGUCUGCCGGAGCAGAGCAUCUCUCUCUGUGUGUCAAACCAGAAGGCAGAGCUUUCUGUUAAUCCGUUAGCUUAACGGGUUAGGUUCGGAUGACCCGUUAGCUUAACAGGUUAGGUUCAGAUGACCCGUUAACUUAACGGGUCGAAUUGAACCCGACCCAUUUUCAGGUCUGGUUCCACCCAAUUAAACUCAAUAAAACUUAUAAUCCCGUUCUCUCACAAAUGCAUAUCCAAACACAAAAAACAUUGACAAAUACUGGAAGGAUGGUCAGGGUAAGGAAUGAUACCUUCAUUUUUUCUCUUUCUUUGGCGAAUGAAAUAGCCAACUAAUAGCACUCCCGAAAAUACAACUAUUGCUAUGCCAAGAGCAACUAUAAUUGCUAUCUUCACUUUUCUGUUGUUUUCCUUUAUUGUUGACAGAUCAAAUAAAGCAGAUAAAUUUAAGAUGAAGCAAGCAAAAAAAAAAAACAAAAAAAAAAAACAGCUGGGGCAGUUCAACUUUGCGAGAAACAAAACGAACUUCUUACUGAAACUUGUUGAAAAACAAUAGUUGAACUUGACAUAAAAGUAUAAACAAGAAGCUCGUUUUGUAUAGGUCAAUACCUAGUUCAGCAGCUGACAUUCGGAUAUAUGUUUCCUUCCCAGCAACAGGAACCUAUCUGAUAUCUAUUAGAUCACCACACCAGAUGGCACAGCCACUACCUCCUCCUCUGAUAUCUGAGCAUGUAUAAGCAGUACAGGAACAGUUUUUCAAGCAUUUGGCUAUGCAUUCCUUGAGAUUCGUACCUUUUUCCACCCAAAAAUUUAUAGUAUCUGGCAAUUUCAAGCCAAAAAUUUGAGAAACUCAUCAUUAUCUCUUUCGUGGCAGCUUAGUGGUUUAUUGCUCACGCAACCUAGAGACCAGUCCGUUAAAUUCCAAUUUUCUUGAGACUUGGGGCUGAAUCCUUGUAUACAUUGGCAGACUGGAUCUUCACAGGUACAAUUUCCAUUGGCUCUACAGAAACCAUAAUGAUCACACAAUUCUGUAGGUCUUGAUGACUUGAUCUCCCACCCUCCACUGAAACCGAACACAUGCUGAUGGUUUGGUUCACUCUUAAGAUUGUAGAGUCAAUCUUAGGUUUGUAUGCGAUGUAAACUUUGUCUUCAUUGUAGACAAAUUUGAAACUAUAACGAGGUUUAGGACCUUUGGAUGGACGAAAGAUUGUCUGUCCAUUGCAUGUGCUGGUGCAAAAGAAUUUUGUACUUCCAUUCAGAUAUAUGCCUCAGGAUAUGCUUGAAGUUUCGUUUCAAUUCCAUAAGUAAAAUCUCCUGGGGAUGGGUCCUCUGAAUCUUUCCAUGAUGACAAAAGUUGUUUUAGGCCUGUCCUCAAGUCCCACCCCAACUUCAUUCCCGGUAACCAUGUAUCAGAAGGAUAGUCGAAGCUUUGCCACAAAUAGGUUCCUGAAUUUUCGCAUCUUUAAGUACCAAAUUCCCGGAGUCUAAGAGCUCCACCGUUGCACUUUGGGCCUGAUUAAUUAAGCUCGUUGACCAAAAACACUCUUAUUCUGACUCAAGGGCACAAGAUUGCCUGUGCUGUUUAAGAAUCAUUGUUGGGUUUGCAUCUGUUUGCAACCCAAACAAUAUUUCUAACCGGGACAUUUUUGAACCAAAUUCCCAAGUAAUGGUUCUUAGAACUAACCGGACUAAAGAAACCGAGUUCAAAUCUUCCAUCAUGAAACCAACGUCAUUCCACCAAGAACAGACUGCGAAGGUGUACUGCUGUCAACUGCAAGGGAAAUUGUUAAUAACAGAUGGAACAAAUAAGCACUGAUCAUAAACGAAAAACAAAGACCACCCAUAAAAAUUUUGUUCUUGAGCUCCCUGACUACUGAUUUGAUUCAAGCAAAAGAUUAGAAGCAGAAGGAAAAGAUCUCUGUGGUUCAUAACCAUAACGAUAAGACCAUAUACCAACAACCGAAAAGACCUCAUACAGAUAAGAUAAUUUGGGAAGACCCUGUGGUUUCAUUCAUCAGAAAUAGAAAGGGAGGGAACCAUAAUUUACUAGCUAGUAAUGAACUAUGAUCUUUACUAGCAGAUCUAAGUUUAACCAAGUUGGCUCGAGAACACAGUGCUCAGCCCUCUCCAUAUUUUAGAUGAAUUUAGUUUAAUUAUCUUAUCCCUUCUCCAAAAAAAAAAUGUGAAAGAAAAAGAAAUUUUCAUACCUCCUCCGGGUUUCUUUUGGAACAAAUUUUGCUGUGCGCAUCGUGCCACAUAUUUGUGCCACUAUGCCAGUCAUUGAUAUCUGUUCAGGUAGAUGAAAAUCAACUGAAGGAUCUACAGUUUUACUGCCUCAACUAAACUAAAGAGAUUUGAGCAUUUUGGCUCAAAUUUUUUUUCAGAUUUGAGCUCAACUGAUUCUGAAAUUUCAGAAGAGAGUAAAAAGUAGAAAAUUGGGGUUUGACUACUCACCAUUGGGAGUCACAGAUUCUGAAGACAGACAAAGGAAGCGGAUUUGUUAUUUCUUAUGCGACAUCCAAAUACAAGAUCAUCACUGUAAUCAACUGUUUGUUUUCACAAUGGUUGUGCUCUCUCUCUUCCUUGUUCGGUUAUUUGGUUGUGGAUAAUUACACUAUUGGGCAAAUCCAAUUUGCACCUGUUUUCACAAUGGUACGAGCCAUUUAAGAAACGGAGUGUUCCUCCAAGGGUUACAAGUCUGAGCCUCCAAAUUUUGUACUCAUGCAUUUACGUGUACUUGACAAGAUUUGAAUGAAUUUUGGAUGAAUUUCAUGUGACCCUAAACCCGACCUGUAAGAUUAGAUUAACACAUAACUUGUUCACUAAACCAAAUAAUAACCACUGACCUGAAAAACCCAUGCUUGCUAGGGUUGAAGUUAAGAGUCUUCUGCUACUUAGCAAUCUCUGAAUGCAACUACCCAGUUCUAUGGGGCGUGAGGCACUUAUAUUGCAUAUCAACUGAGAGUGCAGGGACCCUUUAUUUAUACUGCAUGCAGUGGUGAUCAGUAAGACGAUUUCCCAUAAUACCAAUCCUUAUCAAACUCAACCUUGUCACUACUUUACCCAAGUGUUUAUAUCAGUAAGUACAUAUAUCAAUAUAUAUGUUUAUCAGAAGUGUCAAAGCUACGAAACCUAAAUGUACACACACUCUAACAGCCUACAAACACUGUUAUACUCAAUCUCUAUGAUCACAACCUUCUAACACACUUGAAACAAGUGUGCAGCUUUCUUAAGUAUUACAUUCUCCCACUAGGGCUAACACUUGUUUAUCACGUUAUCUCCAUAUUCGUGAUCAUACUUAAAUGGCCACGAGUUUGAGCUCAACAUGAUCCUGAGUUCAAGUUUUUGUCAUUACUGAGUAUUCAGAGAAAACUAAAAGGAUUUGUAUUCAAUCUUUAUGAAUUCCAUCCCCAUAAUCACAUCCAUGAAACUCAGUCACACAUAAAACCCCAUUAUGAUAUGAACUAUAUGUAAAUGUGACUGAACAUGUAUUAUAACACAUUUAACAUGCGGUCCUCUUCAUGACUGCCCAUGCAGUCUUUCUUCAUGCUUCAUUUCGAAGCCCUUUCGUUGCUUUCUUAAAACAAGAAGUUAAAUUGUCAUCCUGAUAUAUACAAUGUAUAUCAUCAUAACUAUUAUUGUAAACCUUUAGGGAA
This 89885-nucleotide long non-coding RNA is filed under the name Malus domestica (apple). RNAcentral describes it as "long non-coding RNA (MDOM_LNC010820)". The record is from RNAcentral. Lineage: Eukaryota; Viridiplantae; Streptophyta; Magnoliopsida; Rosales; Rosaceae.